RNAcentral lists this long non-coding RNA (155739 nucleotides) under Triticum aestivum (bread wheat). Its description in RNAcentral is "long non-coding RNA (TAES_LNC006571)". The stretch from base 112741 to 112875 matches the Rfam family "MIR1120/MIR1122 microRNA precursor family". The record is from RNAcentral. Lineage: Eukaryota; Viridiplantae; Streptophyta; Magnoliopsida; Poales; Poaceae.
AUAAAUAUUUAAUAUGUAAAUGGUAGGUAACAAAUCCAAACACAAAAUUGUGCAAGCAACCCACUAGCUAGUUUUAUUGAAUAUUAAAAUAACAUAGUUGAUUUCUAAAACAUACAAAAAUUAUUAUCUCAUCAACGCAUAAUUAUUUUGAGAACCAUAAGGUUGAGAUUUAUCCACCCAAAAACUAUUGUGUUGUUGUUGCUGGUGUGCAAUUAAUCUUGCAGGGACAGUUGAUGAAGCAUUCUCCAAGAUCUGGCCAGCACAAGUUAUCUAUUUGACAGCAGAAUUCCCGUCCUGGGAGCUGGUGCCCAUCUUUAUAACAAGGGGGUCUAGUUACAUGGCUUACUUUGCUCAUCAUGUUUCUCCCCUUGUUGUUUAUGAUUUCACCUAAUUAACAUAAAAUAAAGAAUAUACUUAUCAUCUCAUCAUAUAAACAAUAAAAGUCCACAAUAUCAAUACCACCAAAAAAUCGAGUUGUUAAUUACCAUAUGUGCCUCCAAGACAAGUCAAACACACCACAAGAAGAAAAGAAAGUAGCACAAGUCCUUGCACAUUGUUCCUCGUGAACUUGGUCAUCGUCACUAAGGAAUAGAGGCUAUUAAUGGGUGGUACUCUUUUAAGUGGAGUUGAUGAGUGUAUGACCGUGAAAUGCUUGCUCCAUGAAUGGUUCAUAUAUAUAUAUAGGAAAAGCUUCUCCGUGUUGAUGUGUGAAGUUAUAGAAAAUAUUAAUGCUUGGAGUUAUGGCUUGUGUGAAUUUCCAAUUUUAGUUUCACUUCUAAAGAUUCAUGGUUCCUUCUAGAGUAUUUUUCUCAAAUUUAUGCUUUGUCAUAGCAUGUAAGUUACUUUAAUGCCCCCUCUAGAAUUGAUCGCUCAUUGUUUUCAAGGGGUAGAAUUGACCUCUUAGAAUGGGUAGUAAAAAACUGGUGCAUGGCAAUAUUAUGUUUAAGGCAUUGAUAAUAAUUGGUAUAAUAUCAAUAAUUCCUAUAUAUAUGAUGCCUUAUCAAUAAAACUAUUAAUUUCUGUCUUGGUAUAAGAGAACAAGACUCAUCCACUUAACAUUGGACUUGUUUUUUAAUGUAUGUAAGCAAUUGUUCUUAAGUAUAUCAACAAGUUACAGAUACAUUUUUUUUACUUUUAUUCCAUGAACAUAGAUUAAUUAUGGGAUGGCCAUUUUCUAAAUAUAAGAUGAUGAUUUAUUUUCAUAUACAUGAACAUUUUAUAUCAAGGUACUUGAGCAUUUUUUACAUUUUUCUAUACACAAAAUUUUCUCCAAUAUUAAGUCGAUUUUUUUAAAUAGAUUAGUUUCCCCAAAACUUUCUUUAUUAGAAUUGUGAAAAUGUCGCACUUGCCCAGCUAGGGAAAAUUUCGUUAGGCAGAGCUGCCCAACUCUCGGAACUCCCUAUAAGUUCCUCCUUGCCGCUACCAACCUUCCCUUCAGACAGCGCAUGCCUGGCUGGUCCGACCCAUUGACGACACGAAUGGACACCACCGAGUGGGAGAGUAGGCGUUGAGCCAAUCCACUUUAGCAACAAUUUUUUCAUUUUUGGAAAAUAUCUUUGCAAAUUGAACAAGCAUUGAUAAAUGCGAAGUUUUUUUUGAACAUAUUCUAAAAUUUAAAAUUUCUUAAAACCCCAAUUAUGUUUGGAAUUUCAUACAUUCUUCUGAAAAAAUGAACACUUUUGGAAAUACUUAACAUUAUUUGAAAACUAAGACCUUUUCUUGGAGAAACAACAAUUUUAUGAAAAACGUGUUAGUUUUAUAAUUUGUAGAAUGUUUUUCAAAGUUAUGAUUUUUAAGAACACAAACAAUUUUUUAAAUUUCGAACAAAAUAUGAGAAUCGGAACAUUUCCCGAAAACUUGAAUAUUUUCUAAAUUUCAAAUUUCCACACAUUUUAAAAAAAGGAGUCUUUUUGAUAAAGAUAAUAAGAAAAAUAAAACAAUGAAAAAACAAAUAAGAAAAACUGUAACAUCCUAAUUUUCAAUUUGGAUGUUAUAAAUAGAUCAGCAGAUGCAUAUCAUAUUUAUUCUUUCUUUUGGUUGAGAUCCUAGAGAUCUUAAGCAACUCAAGGACCCAAGGAGAGAGUUGGAGGUUUCACAAAAUUCAUAUUUGAAUUUAUUUCAAAUUUGAGGGAAGGAUCAAUUUGAUUUUAUUAUUUUUCUCUCUAAUUUUUUCCAAUAAUAAAAAUACAUGCGAGAAGAUAAUAUGACUUCUUCAACCUAAGAUAAAUAUUGGAGAAAGAGUUUUAAAAUCAACUUAUGAUUUUAUUAGAAUUUUAUUUGGAUUAGAAAAAUAUUGCAUUUUUUAAAAUUGCAUCUUAGUCCAGAAAAAUGUUUAUCUUGUCCUAAAUAUUAGGUUUGGACGGUGAGAAUCAUUUCUGGAAUUUUUAGAUUUUUCUUUAUAAUUUAUAAGGAUUUUUCUUUCGGGCAAAAUUUAUUUCUAAAAAAAAGUUAUUUCCGCCCGAAUGUGCCGAAGGCCUAGCCGAGCCGGCCCAGAAGCAGCGCCGCCGCCAUCCCCGCGCGGUAGUCCGCCCUGCUGCCGCCAGCGUGCCGCUGGCCAAGUUCUAGGCGGGCACGCCUCCCGAGGCCGCCCCCUUCCCCAAGACGAGGUCGAGCCCCUUCCUUAAAUAGCGCGUCGCCCCGCCACCUCUCCUCCACACCGCCGCCGCCUCCCACCACCAGCAGCAGCAAUAGCCCCGCGCCGCCGCUGCUGCGCCGCUUUCCGCCGCCUGUGACGCCCCCGAUUCAAUCGUACACUAAUCAUACAUGUAAAUAUGUACGAUCAAGAUCAGGGACUCACGGGAAGAUAUCACAACACAACUCUAAAAAUAAAAUAAGUCAUACAAGCAUCAUAAUACAAGCCAGGGGCCUCGAGUGCUCGAAUACAAGUGCUCGAUCAUAGACGAGUCAGCGGAAGCAACAAUAUCUGAGUACAGACAUAAGUUAAACAAGCUUGCCUUAAGAAGGCUAGCACAAACUGGGAUACAGAUCAAAAGAGGCGCAGGCCUCCUACCUGGGAUCCUCCUAAACUAAUCCUGGUCGUCGUCAGCGGCCUGCACACAGUAGUAGGCACCUCCAGUGUAGUAGGAGUUGUCGUCGGUGGCGUAUGGCUCUUGGGAUCCAACGUCUUGUUGCGGCAUCCGAGAAGAAGAGGAAAAUGGGGGAAAAGAGGGAGCAAAGCAACCGUGAUUACUCAUCCAAAGUACUCGCAAGCAAGGAGCUACACUACAUAUGCAUGGGUAUAUGUGUAAGGAGGCAAUAUCAGUGGAAUGAAUUGCAGAAUGCCAGAAUAAAAGGGGGAUAGCUAGUCCUAUCGAAGACUACGCUUCUGGCAGCCUCCGCCUUGCAGCAUGUAGAAGAGAGUAGAUUGAAGUCCUCCAAGUAGCAUCGCAUAGCAUAAUCCUACCCGGCGAUCCUCCCCUCAUUGCCCUAUGGGAAAGCGAUCACCGGGAUGUCUCUGGAACUUGUAUGGAUGUGUUUUAUUAAGUAUCCGAUUCUAGUUGUCAUAAGGUCAAGGUACAACUCCAAGUCGUCCUGUUACCAAAGAUCACGGCUAUUCGAAUAGAUUAACUUCCCUGCAGGGGUGCACCACAUUUCCCAACACGCUUGAUACCCUUCGGCCGGACACACUUUCCUGGGUCAUGCCCGGCCUAGGAAGAUCAACACGUCGUAGCCCCACCUAGGCACAACAGAGAGGUCAGCACGCCAGUCUAACUCCUAUGGCACAGGGGUUUGGGCCCAUCGCCCAUUGCACACCUGCACGUUACGAGGGCGGCCGGAAGUAGACUAGCCCCCUUAAUACAAGUGCAGGCUUACGGUCCAAUCCGGCGCGCGCCGAUCAGUCGCUGACGUCAAGAAGGCUUCGGCUGAUACCACAACGUCGAGUGCCCAUAACUGUUCCCGCGUAGUUGGUUAGUGCAUAUAGGCCAGUGGCCAGACUCAGAUAAAAUACCAAGAUCUCGUUAAGCAUGUUAUUAUGAAGUAACCCCGAAGGCCGACUUGGGCCAGGCCCACCUCUCUCCUAGGUGGCCUCAAACUGCCCUGUCGCUCCACCACAAAGAUCCACACACAGGGCCGUCGGGAAAGUAUGCCCUUUCAUCCCCCAAUUCAUGAAUCAACCGCGGGUACUCAACGAGCCGACACGACUUUAGUCACCAUCUGUAUAGCAUGUAUAUAUGUAUAGUAUAAACCCGUGAUCACCUCCCGAGUGACCACGGCCUGAUAGUAUAGCAAGGCAGACUGACAAGAAUGUAGGGCCACAGAUGAUAAACUAGCAUCCUAUACUAAGUAUUUAGGAUUGCAAGUAAGGUAUCAACAGAUGUAGCAACAAUGACAGGCUAUGCAUCAGAAUAGGAUUAACGGAAAGCAGAAACAGGCUACACUACUCUAAUGCAAGCAGUAUAGAGGAGAGUAUGCGAUAUCUGGUGAUCAAGGGGGGGGGGCUUGCCUGGUUGCUCUGGCAAGAAGGAGGGGUCGUCAACUCCGUAGUCGUACUGGGUGCUAGUGUAAGAAACAAUUAAUAUAGUGCAAACAUAAGCAUGACGAUAUAAGACAUGAAAAUGAGCGGUGCUAGGUGUGGCCUAACGAGGUAGUAGGCGAUACCGGCUAAAGGGGGAAACAUCCGGGAAAGUAUCGUCGGUGUUUCGCGUUUUCGGACAGAUGAACCGGAGGUGAAAUGUUGCAGGUUUGCUAUGCUAGGGAUGCGUGGUGGACUAACGAGAUGUGUAUUCGGAUUUGUCUUGUUGUUCUGAGCAACUUUCGUAUACAAAGUUUUUCCAUCCGAGUUACGGAUUAUUUAAUAUUAUUUUUUAAAGAUUUAAAUCAAUUUAUAAAUUAUUAGUAUUAAUUAAAUUCGAAAAUGGCAUUACUGCAUCGGCAUGACGUCAGCAUGACAUCAUUAGUCAACAGAGGUGUUGACUAGGUCAAGCUGACGUGUGGGUCCCAUCUGCCAUUGACACAUUGCCCUAACUAACAAACUAGUUAGUUUAAUUAAAUAUUUAGGUUAAUUAAGUUUAGUUAUUUUAACUAAACAUGAUAAAUUAAGUUAACUAAUUAGUUAAUUAAUUAAUUAACCAAUUUUAUUAUUAUUAUUUUAUCUUAUUAUUAUUAUUUUUUAAACGUUCUGGGGGUGGGGCCCCCUUAUCAUAGGCCCCCGGGGACCUAGUGGAGUGCGUUAACGGGCGCCGGGGCAUUGCGGGCGUGCGCCCGAGUCCACCAUGGAAGGGGACUCCGGACAGGGGAGGGGGCGCCGCCGUGGCGGCUGGCGCCGGCUGUGGCGGAGCGGUGUGGGACCGAUGGGGCAUAGGCGAUGCACGCGACGGCGCGCGCGAGCUGCAGCGGUGGAGGUGGUGGCGGGGUCGCGCGGGCGGAGCAAAGUCGCGACAGCCAGAGCGGAGUAGUGCAGCGAGCAGCACUGCUCGUGGCGUCGCGCGGGCAUAGUAAGCACGGGAGGCGGGCCGACGCAGGACCAGGCAUAGCAGCGGCGGCGCAGGGCGCGGCCAGCGCCCGUUGCGCGCGUGCUUCAAUGCGGGUAGGCACAGCCACGGCGGCGUGAGCCACGGCGGGAAGAAGGAACACGGGAGGGGGCGCAGUAGCAGCAGGCGAGAGGGGCACGCACGGGGCGACGAUGGGAUGCGACAGCGAGCGCGGUGGGGCGGUGCGCGUGCGUGAGUGCACGAUGGACGAGCGGCCGGAGCGAACAACGAGUGCGGGGAGAGGAGGAGAGGUUGGGGGCCUCAGGCAGCAGGGGUGGGGAGGACGACGGGGACAACGUGCGGCGGGGCGACGAGGUCCGGUGGCAGGAUGGACGUUGGCGAUGGCGUCCGACGAGGUGGUGGCGCGGUGGCUACGGUGACUGUGCCGGGGCGCCGUGGGCGCCCAGAUCCAGAACGGGGAGGAGGAGGUCGAGGACGGGGCGUCAGGGCAUCGAGCGACACCGGCAAGGGGCGACGGAGUCAGGGACGAUGGGGUCGGGGCGGUUUGCCCCGAUCCAGAAACCGGGAGGGGAGUGGGGGAGCGAGCGAGUGUGGGGUGAGUGGAAUCCUGGUAUCUAGGGUUUUGGGCGAUAGGAGGAUAUGGAGAGUGGGGUGGGCCGGUCUGGCGAGGGUGGGAGUUGGGCCGGGUGACCCAGUUGGCCUGGGGCUUUCCCCCUCUUUUUACUUUAUUAAUUUUUUGUUUAGUCUCCUUUUUUUUAUUCUUUUCCAUUUUCUAUUUUAUUUAUUUUAGAGCAUCAUAGCAUUUUCUAAAUAUGGGUUUUCUUCACUAUAAUUACCUAUGUAAUAUUUGGCACAAUCCGGACAUUUUAGUUUAAUUGUUUGAAAACCUUUUUGUUUGCCUGAUUUUAAAUUUGAAUUUGAAUCGGUUUUGAACUAACGCGAGAUUAGUAAUAGUAAUCAAGGUGACGUGGCAUCAUUAGCAGAGGUUCAAUGUAGCUUAAGUAUCCGGGUGUCACAAUUCUCCUCCACCACAAGAAAUCUCGUCCCGGGAUUUAAGCGGUGUAUUAAGGGGGGAGGUGCUGGUAGUGAAAAAGCUAACGAGUCUUCUCGGUCUUGGCUGCCCUUUCGAAGAGGUUGAUCCCUUUCGUUGAUGUCUUCAUUUCUCUGCUUCAAGUCACCAUGACCAAGUCGUCAUCCUUUCUUCGGGAUCUCCAUCAUCCUACGAACGCGACCAAGGGGAAAACUCUUGAAGAACGCAUCUCCGCAAAGUUGGGCAUCUGGCGGUGAACUCAAUGGGAAAUACACAAGGUACCCCACGAGUUGUAUUUCAGUGAAUUCAUUGAGUGCAAUAUACGAUGGUACCAAAGUUUCAAACGGGUAGGCAAUCAUUCGAUGACUAGACAGAAGCUGGAAUGGGGGUUUGAACAAUGAGAAUAACAUGGCAUUUGAUUCCAAGAGGAAUAAUGGUAUAGCAUUUAGCUCGUGAAUCACAUACGAAGCCAGGUGCAAAGGAUACAUUAGAAUCCGGGUUGUAAAGAAGAGUCAGGUUUCGAUCCAGUGGACCUGUGGGUUAUGGGCCCACCAUGUGGGUUGACAGUAGGAAGGGUGGUGACAUCUUGCACAGCCGCAACAGGGAGGCAUGUCAGGGCAACAAUUGUCAGUAACAAGGACGGGGAACGAAGAGAGCAAUUUUCCUGCUUGUUGAACAGGUGAACCAAUUGGCAAAGUUAUCACCCAUCGGUGGUUACCGGAAUGUCAUCAACAAUAGUAACAUGGUCUUACAAACAGAGUGGUACAACAAGUUGCCUACCUAAGCAGGGAAUUAUCUCUGCUCAGUUAAGUCAGAUUUAGGAAAGGUUAAACAAAAGAAUGGAAAGGAAAACGCGAUUAUCAGAUUAAACAGAACAAUGGAAAGGAAAAUUGUGAUUACACACAAUUAUUAGGAGUAUGUCCUUCCCAUGUACAAGCAGAACAUGGAAUACAGGAUAGGAGAGCAAGUACCCAACCAUUCAGAUAAGGGGCAAGGAUUAAUCAAGAUGUUACCCAUACAACAUCGUUUGGAUAACUGACCAAGAAACAUUUAGCAUCGCGCCUUCAAUGUUCUUGUUGAUGAGCGGGGUAUCAUAGUCAUGCUUCGAGGUAGCAAUGAUAUGGGGUUCCAAUCAAGGCCAGACUUUGGAUACACAAAUGAUCCAUCAGGAGCAACUUAUAAAAUAAGUCCUACAAUUUCCUCCAGGAAGAAUGGUUAUCCUUGCAAAAGAAAUUAUAAUGAUAGGUCCUCCAGCCAGGGGUGCUAGGCAUGACAUCAUAUUACCUGGUCAUCAAAGGACCAACAUCAUAACUCCUGGAAAGUUGUCCUAACCAUAAUAUCUGACCGAGAUUCCGAUCCGAUUGGUGUCAUGAUACCUCAGACUCAGGAUGUCCGAGAAGAAAAGGCGCGACACAAAUUGAUGAAAUGACAUUGCAAGAUUCUCAGGAAAUGAACUAUGGGAGUGGGUUCCUGAAACAAUAGUUCAUCAUUAAACCAAGGAGGGGAUGAGGAGAUUGCUGAUGGGCUCAGCGACAAUUCAACGAGAAUUCCAAACAGAUGGAUUUCCACACUUAUGUGAACAAGAAGAUGAUACUUGUUAAUUCAAAUGAUAUAAUGUUGUAUGCUCGAGGAAAACAUACACCAUCAAGCAAUAGUUGUAAGGUGUGCCCGAAGUAUGACCUUAGGCAGCAGGAUCAAUGUUAGAGUGAUGAUUCAAUGACCAACAGUCUAAGAAUGAACUGUUGAUCAUUAACUUCAACGCAAUAGGGUUGCUAGAAGUACAGAACUCAAGCAGGAUCGUUGGCAUAUCGGUAUCCCGGUUAAAAACAACACGGGGACCAAGGAAGAAUGGUGAUGGUGGGAAGUAUUAUCAUACCGAGAAUUUCUAAGAGGUGGAGCAAUCCACACAACAUCCUCGACAGAAAAGACAGUAAUACUUCAAGGAAGAACACAACACUAGCUGGACAGCAAGUUGUAUUCAUAAUAUGGGCAAGUUCGCGAUGAAAGGAAGACAAGGGUUUUGUCGAUGAUAAUAAAAAUCAUCGAGGGCAAGGAGGGAAUUUCUCAUCAUGAACACAGUUGGCAUCUCAGAAGAAGUCAAAGUGUUGAAGGUGACCCGACACAUUUGCCGGGAGAUUUCAAGAGGAUGAAAUCAAACAACAACGGCAACAAGCGAGGGAAUGACGAAGUGGCAAGUUAUAGGAUCAAUAUAUAAGAUGCAAGCUCGGGACCAAAUUGCCUUUCAAGACAAGCAACAUGAUGUUGAAAGCUCGACGUAAGUCAUGCUCACACACUGAAGAUUCGUGCACCAGAGAAUGACGAGGUAGCACCGUCAAAGGUAGCAAGACCUGGAUGCAACCGAUAGUCUAGGAAUGACCAGAUUUAGUUCAGAAUUUCCUAGUAAAAAUACUAGGGGUAUUUGAUUUGUAGUGCGGAAUAAAUUCACUAGUCGGUGUCCUCGGUUGACAACAACCCAGAACCCGUAGAGUGAUUACGGCAAGGAAAGACAUUACUUCAACAAAGUUAGUAAGAUGUGGUGCAAUGGCAAGACAUCUCCGAGAUACCAGGGGCUAAUACUCGAAGGUAGAACAAGAUAGAAGUAGAACCGGGUCAUUGACCUAUGACAUUAGAUACUUCAACCUUGCCAAAAAUAGACGAGGGACUGGAAUGAAUUCCCAUCAGAUAUAUCAUAUCAGGACAACAUGGUCGGAACCAUAACUAUAAGGAAUCAAUUUCAAGAAUACCGAAAGAAUCAUACAGCUGGAUAAUCAUUUUGCAAGAAGCUUCUCAGAUGGUCUACAUCAUUUUCAUGGGCAUGAACACAAAGUUCAAGGUCGACUCCCACUUCUUUAAUGCAUAUCAUCUCAUUCACCUUUUGCUUUGAUAUAACAGUAGUGUUGAAAGUUUAUCUGGUUGAAAACCGGAAGAGUGUGACUUGUGAAAACUUUCGGGUUCUCACGAAUUAGGGGAAGGCAUAGGUUCAACCCAUCGGGCAACUUAGUAACCUAUACCACAAGUUUCAAAAGUAAAUACACAAGCUCGAAAGCAGAGCAUGGUUGUCCAGGUAGAGGAUACAAUUUACCAAAGGCACUAUGUAUCAGGGAAAGAACUCACAUGGUGAUUUAAUAUGAAGGACACUGUCGGAUAACAAUCCAACAAUGGAUAGGGCGAUCCACAACGGAGCUGAUGUGAGUAUCGGUACUCACUCGGAGGAAGAAAGAAUGCAGAGGCAUCAGAUUCAAGAAUCACCUGAUUAGUCUGAUGCUUAAAUAGAAAGAAAUUAUGGUUUCCAAAAUGAAGGAUCAGAAGCAGAUGCUCUGAUCAAGGAUGGAUAAGUUGAAAACACCUAGUUGGACAAUCAAUAAAGGUUUGAAUUGCCGAGAACCAACUCAUGUCUGGAAUGACGUCUGAGCCGGAAAGAGAAUCUUAAAAAGGAUAACAUGAUGACUGCGUGUGUACGCACACAUUGAAUCAAUAGGCUCAAAAUGACUAAGACAAGGGAUGUUAACGAGGACUACUAGUCAUAUGGAAUUAUCCAUAAUGCAAGCAGGCAAGCGUUUCAAGAGUAACAGGCUGCAGAGGAUUUUUGAAAGAUCGAAAAGUAUUCCAAAGAAUCAUGUGAGACACAUGAACAAUUGAGAAGAAUGGAUCCUUGAUAAAUGUGAGGAAAAACCCGUAAGGGUUUUCACGCGAAAUAAAACUGCAAGACAGUAAACUCAAAGGUUUUUUGGGACAACGACGAAUAUUUCGAGGCAUCAUGUAACAACAAGAGCGGCGAGGAAUGAUCAACAGAAUGACAAGUGCAUACAGAUAUCCAUAGGGAUAUAUCGGUGAUAAUGGAUUGCAACGGUGAUGAGCACAAGGGUCUCGGGAAAAUAUCAAGGGAUAUCUUCAGAAUCUUCUGAUGCAAUAAGCAAUCAUCUGGAGUGAGGGAUCUCUAGGAGAAGUAGUUACGAGAACCUAGAGUCGGCGUUAAUAAAAUCAUUUAACCCGAAUAGAGGAGAGAUCAGUGUCCCAGAGUAAAGGUCGAGGAGUAAAAGAUCCUAAUACCACCCAAUGGCGACGUGGGCCCGUGAGCCACACAGCUAAGGUAGUAAAACAGUUUUCGGCUUCUAGACUCAACUUCGGCCAAGGAGUUGGAAAGGGGAUUCCUACAGGCAGUCGGCUCUGAUACCAACUUGUGCCGCCGCCGAUUCAAUCGUACACUAAUCGUACACGCAAAUGUGUACGAUCAAGAUCAAGGACUCACGGGAAGAUAUCACAACACAACUCUAAAAAUAAAAUAAGUCAUACAAGCAUCAUAAUACAAGCCAGGGGCCUCGAGGGCUCGAAUACAAGUGCUUGAUCAUAGACGAGUCAGCGGAAGGAACAAUAUCUGAGUACAGACAUAAGUUAAACAAGCUUGCCUUAAGAAGGCUAGCACAAACUGGGAUACGAAUCGAAAGUGGCGCAUGCCUCCUUCCUGGGAUCCUCCUAAACUACUCCUGGUCGUCGUCAGCGGCCUGCACGCAAUAGUAGGCACCUCCAGUGUUGUAGGAGUCAUCAUCGCCGAUGUCGUCUGGCUCCUGGGAUCCAACAUCUGGUUGCGGCAUCCGAGAAGAAGAGGAAAACGGGGGAAAAGAGGGAGCAAAGCAACCAUGAGUACUCAUCCAAAGUACUCGCAAGAAAGGAGCUACACUACAUAUGCAUGGGUAUAUGUGUAAGGAGGCAAUAUCAGUGAACUGAACUGCAGAAUGCCAGAAUAAGAUGGGGAUAGCUAGUCCUAUCAAAGACUACGCUUCUGGCAGCCUCCGUCUUGCAUCAUCUAGAAGGGAGUAGAUUGAAGUAUCAUCGCAUAGCCUAAUCCUACCCGGCGAUCCUCCCCUCGUCGCCCUAUGGGAAAGCGAUCACCGGAAUGUCUGUGGAACUUGUCUGGAUGUGUUUUAUUGAGUAUCCGGUUCUAGUUGUCAUAAGGUCAAGGUACAACUCCCAGUCGUCCUAUUGAAGAUCACGUCUAUUCAAAUAGAUUAACUUCCCUGCAGGGGUGCACCACAUUUCCCAACACGCUUGAUCCCCUUUGGCCGGACACACUUUCCUGGGUCAUGCCCGGCCUCGGAAGAUCAACACGUCGCAGCCCCACCAAGGCACAACAAAGAGGUCAACACGCCGGUCUAACUCCUAUGGCGCAGGGGUCAGCACGCCCUGCCUGUUCCGUUCACCACCCCUAGUGACCAGUGUUUAGCCCCAACGUCUGUCCCACUAGGUCCCAGCCCCAUUUCAUUGGUUAAUUUUAUGUAUAAUAGUGUGAUAAGAUAGUGAGGUGUAUGCAUAUCUAUAACCGUAUAUCAUACUUCUGAUUGUAGUGUAAGACAGAGAGGUGUAAUCUUGCCUUUUUACUUCAGAGAGAUAAUUCGAUCACUUUAAGUUGUUGCAUGCUGUCAUAUGCACUAUGCUUAUGUUAUUUGCUACUAAACCAAUAGUGGAAUAUAGUUUUAUGUUUCAUGUAUUGUUUGGUGGCUUCUCAAUUUGUGCAUGAAAACAAACAUUGCUUCCGAGUGACUCUUCAUUAGGCUCUUGUUUUAUUCAUGGGUGAUGGAACAAUGAAUGCAAAGAUAAGCUUCCUUUGAUUUGGUUGCUCGGUUGACAAGAAUAUGCAUUCCUUUGUAUACCACCUUACCUCUCCUGUGAUGCUUUCUACAUUGUAGAUUCCCUGUAUUAGAUAAGGGCCAGUACUAGGGUUGAUGAUUUAGUACAGAAAUCAUUGCAUUCCAUAUAUCUCACAGUUUAUUUGUAUCAGAUUCAUGUGAGGCGGUCCCUAUGAAGUACAUGGACGAGACAGAUGGAUUACGCCAUCUAUUAGUAUGCUUAGUGAUUCUGUAGUUGGCUCUUUUUAUUAUGUUCAUGUUCUUAUUAACUCCUCUUAUGUGUUCUCGCAAUUGGUAUCGAACUUCAUGUCGAAUGGCUAUCUUUUGUGGUCGUAUGAACGGGUCGAGCUUGAUCCUGCCUUAUAAAUUGAUGUUGUCUUGUGCUCCAUUACGUUUUACUUUUAUCACAAUUGAAUGUUUCUUUAUUUUAUUAUUAUCCUGUAUAAGUGCAAAUGCUAUAUCUGGGUUCCUACUGACAUGGUGUUACAUGCUUUGGCAAAGUGCUUGGACCGGCACCCUCGCGCCAGGGCGCGAUCCUGAUCUAGUGUAUCAUGUAGCAAGCCAUGAGCCGAGGGUUGCUACAUGAUCAAUUGCUGACUAGGCAGUGUGUUUUCUUCAUUUUGGGCAGAUCACAAGUGUUUGACACCUCUCUCUACAUUGGGUAUCCUUUUCCACUUGAAUUUUAAAAUGCGCAGAAUGUGCUUUCCUUGUUGUUGCCUCGUCAUUCCAGCAUGGAAUCAAAGCAAAACUGAUAUUACUACCUUUAAAAAUUCUCUCACUGUCUAUGUCCAUAACAUGCCCAUUGGACUGCACGGCAGAAGUGAAGGUGUGUGCCUAGCUGGCGGAGCAGACGCACUCAUGUGACCUCUGAUCUAAGAACGACUUGUACUCUGUUGUGAGCCCAUGGUGCGUGUGGGUUGGAACGCUGCUUAGGAAAUCUAGACUUAUUUUGCAGGCAAGCCAAGAUGAGAUCUGUAGCCCAUGUGAUUUCCAUCAAAAUCACGGCCAGUUCAACUCUGGUUCGAAUCCAAAUAAAAAAAUAGACCAGCAGUCCUAGAUGGAUAUGUCCAUCGCUAAAAAACGCAGUUGUUGAAAGAGUCAAUAUGACUUGUAGCUAGAGUACGCCAACACCCCUCACUUCUUCUACAUGCACUAAACAAACCCUAGCUUAUCCGACUCAAUUUGCUUUAAGGUUUAUGUGUGAAAGAAGUCGUGUUAAAACAGAACACCACACUCUUCAACCUGAGAAAUCAAUAGUCAAUUUACCUAUGGAUAUUAAAUCUAUAUACAUCGUACUUGAUGUGUGAAGUUGAUAAUACUUAUUAAUAAUAUUUUAAAUUACAAUAUUUGGUGCUUCACAGCCUGUGAUGAAAUUAUUGUUCACCCAUCCAAUGCAGUAAAAAGUACGUGCGAGAGAGAGAGAGAGAGAGAGAGAGAGAGAUUAAAGUACAUUUUGUUCUGAUGUCCACCAUAGUUCCACGAUCAGUACACCUAGGAGGAGACAAUCAAAAUAUGGACAGAACAUAAAUAUUUAAUAUGUAAAUGGUAGGUAACAAAUCCAACUACAAAAUUGUGCAAGCAACCCACUAGCUAGUUUUAUUGAAUAUUAAAAUAACAUAGUUGAUUUCUAAAACAUAAAAAAAUUAUUAUCUCAUCAACGCAUAAUUAUUUUGAGAACCAUAAGGUUGAGAUUUAUCCACCCAAAAACUAUUGUGUUGUUGUUGCUGGUGUGCAAUUAAUCUUGCAGGGACAGUUGAUGAAGCAUUCUCCAAGAUCUGGCUAGCACAAGUUAUCUAUUUGACAGCAGAAUUCCCGUCCUGGGAGCUGGUGCCCAUCUUUAUAACAAGGGGGUCUAGUUACAUGGCUUACUUUGCUCAUCAUGUUUCUCCCCUUGUUGUUUAUGAUUUCACCUAAUUAAUAUAAAAUAAAGAAUAUACUUAUCAUCUCAUCAUAUCAACAAUAAAAGUCCACAGUAUCAAUACCACCAAAAAAUCGAGUUGUUAAUUACCAUAUGUGCCUCCAAGACAAGUCAAACACACCACAAGAAGAAAAGAAAGUAGCACAAGUCCUUGCACAUUGUUCCUCGUGAACUUGGUCAUCGUCACUAAGGAAUAGAGGCUAUUAAUGGGUGGUACUCUUGUAAGUGGAGUUGAUGAGUGUAUGACCGUGAAAUGCUUGCUCCAUGAAUGGUUCAUAUAUAUAUAGGAAAAGCUUCUCCGUGUCGAUGUGUGAAGUUAUAGAAAAUAUUAAUGCUUGGAGUUCUGCCUUGUGUGAAUUUCCAAUUUUAGUUUCACUUCUAAAGAUUCAUGGUUCCUUCUAGAGUUUUUUUCUCAAAUUUAUGCUUUGUCAUAGCAUGUAAGUUACUUUAAUGCCCCCUCUAGAAUUGAUCGCUCAUUGUUUUCAAGGGGUAGAAAGUACCUCUUAGAAUGGGUAGUAAAAAACUGGUGCAUGGCAAUAUUGUGUUUAAGGCAUUGAUAAUAAUUGGUAUAAUAUCAAUAAUUCGUAUAUAUAUGAUGCCUUAUCAAUAAAAUUAUUAAUUUCUGUCUUGGUAUAAGAGAACAGAAUUUAAAAUUCAACAAGACUCAUCCACUUAACAUUGGACUUGUUUUUUAAUGUAUGUAAGCAAUUGUUCUUAAGUAUAUCAACAAGUUACAGAUACAUUUUUUAAAUAUAAGAUGAUGAUUUAUUUUCAUAUACAUGAACAUUUUAUAUCAAGGUACUUGAGCAUUUUUUACAUUUUUCUAUACACAAAAUUUUCUCCAAUAUUAAGUCGAUUUUUUUUAAAUAGAUUAGUUUCCCCAAAACUUUCUUUAUUAGAAUGGUGAAAAUGUCGCACUUGCCCAGCUAGGGAAAAUUUCGUUAGGCAGAGCUGCCCAAUUCUCGGAACUCCCUAUAAGUUCCUCCUUGCCGCUACCAACCUCCCCUUCAGACAGCGCAUGCCUGGCUGGUCCGACCCAUUGACGACACGAAUGGACACCACCGAGUGGGAGAGUAGGCGUUGAGCCAAUCCACUUUAGCAACAAUUUUUUCAUUUUUGGAAAAUAUCUUUGCAAAUUGAACAAGCAUUGAUAAAUGCGAAGUUUUUUUUGAACAUAUUCUAAAAUUUAAAAUUUCUUAAAACCCCAAUUAGGUUUGGAAUUUCAUACAUUCUUCUGAAAAAAUGAACACUUUUGGAAAUACUUAACAUUAUUUGAAAACUAAGACCUUUUCUUGGAGAACCAACAAUUUUAUGAAAAACGUGUUAGUUUUAUAAUUUGUAGAAUGUUUUUCAAAAUUAUGAUUUUUAAGAACACAAACAAUUUUUGAAAUUUUGAACAAAAUUUGAGAAUAGGAACAUUUCCCGAAAACUUGAAUAUUUUCUAAAUUUCAAAUUUCCACACAUUUUAAAAAAAGGAGACUUUUUGAUAAAGAUAAUAAGAAAAAUAAAACAAUGAAAAAACAAAUAAGAAAAACUAUAACAUCCUAAUUUUCAAUUUGGAUGUUAUACAUAGAUCAGCAGAUGCAUAUCAUAUUUAUUCUUUCUUUUGGUUGAGAUCCUAGAGAUCUUAAGCAAGUCAAGGACCCAAGGAGAGAGUUGGAGGUUUCACAAAAUUCAUAUUUGAAUUUAUUUCAAAUUUGAGCGAAGGAUCAAUUUGAUUUUAUUAUUUUUCUCUCUAAUUUUUUCCAAUAAUAAAAAUACAUGAGAGAAGAUAAUAUGACUUCUUCAACCUAAGAUAAAUAUUGGAGAAAGAAUUUUAAAAUCAAAUUAUGAUUUUAUUAGAAUUUUAUUUGAAUUAGAAAAAUAUUGUAUUUUUUAAAAUUGCAUCUUAGUCCAGAAAAAUGUUUAUCUUGUCCUAAAUAUUAGGUUUGGACGGUGAAAAUUAUUUCUGGAAUUUUUAGAUUUUUCUUUAUAAUUUAUUAGGAUUUUUCUUUCGGGCGAAAUUUAUUUUUUUUAAAAAGUUAUUUCCGCCCGAAUGGGCCGAAGGCCCAGCCGAGCCGGCCCAGAAGCAGCGCCACCGCCAUCCCCGUGCGGUAGUCCGCCCCGCUGCCGCCAGCGUGCCGCCGGCCAAGUCCGAGGCGGGCACGCCUCCCGAAGCCGGCCCCUUCCCCAAGACGAGGUCGAGCCCCAUCCUUAAAUAGCGCAUCGCCCCGCCACCUCUCCUCCACACCGCCGCCGCCUCCCACUAGCAGCAGCAGCAAUAGCCCCGCACUGCCGCCGCCGCGCCGCUUUUCGCCGCCUGUGACGCCCCCGAUUCAAUCGUACACUAAUCAUACAUGCAAAUGUGUACGAUCAAGAUCAGGGACUCACGGGAAGAUAUCACAACACAACUCUAAAACUAAAAUAAGUCAUACAAGCAUCAUAAUACAAGCCAGGGGCCUCGAGUCCUCGAAUACAAGUGCUUGAUCAUAGACGACUCAGCGGAAGCAACAAUAUCUGAGUACAGACAUAAGUUAAACAAGCUUGCCUUAAGAAGGCUAGCACAAACUGGGAUACAGAUCGAAAGAGGCGCAUGCCUCCUACCUGGGAUCCUCCUAAACUACUCCUGGUCAUCGUCAGCGGCCUGCACGCAGUAGUAGGCACCUCCAGUGUAGUAGGAGUUGUCGUCGGUGGCGUAUGGCUCCUGGGAUGCAACGUCUUGUUGCGGCAUCCGAGAAGAAGAGGAAAACGGGGGAAAAGAGGGAGCAAAGCAACCAUGAGUACUCAUCCAAAGUACUCGCAAGCAAGGAGAUACACUACAUAUGCAUGGGUAUAUGUGUAAGGAGGCAAUAUCAGUGGAAUGAACUGCAGAAUGCCAGAAUAAGAGGGGGAUAGCUAGUCCUAUCGAAGACUACGCUUCUGGCAGCCUCCGCCUUGCAGCAUGUAGAAGAGAGUAGAUUGAAGUCCUCCAAGUAGCAUCGCAUAGCAUAAUCCUACCCGGCAAUCCGUCCCUCGUCACCCUAUGGGAAAGCGAUCACCGGGAUGUCUCUGGAACUUGUAUGGAUGUGUUUUAUUAAGUAUCCGGUUCUAGUUGUCAUAAGGUCAAGGUACAACUCCAAGUCGUCCUGUUACCGAAGAUCACGGCUAUUCGAAUAGAUUAACUUCCCUGCAGGGGUGCACCACAUUUCCCAACACGCUCGAUACCCUUUGGCCGGACACAAUUUCCUGGGUCAUGCCCGGCCUAGGAAGAUCAACACGUCGUAGCCCCACCUAGGCACAACAGAGAGGUCAGCACGCUAUCUAACUUCUAUGGCACAGGGGUUUGGGUCCAUCGCCCAUUGCACACGUGCACGUUGCGAGGGCGGCCGGAAGUAGACUAGCCCCCUUAAUACAAGUGUAGGCUUACGGUCCAAUCCGACGCGCGCCGAUCAGUCGCUGACGUCAAGAAGGCUUCGGCUGAUACCACGACGUCGAGUGCCCAUAACUGUUCCCGCAUAGUUGGUUAGUGCGUAUAGGCCAGUGGCCAGACUCAGAUAAAAUACCAAGAUCUCGUUACGCAUGUUAUUAUGAAGUAACCCCGAACGCCGGCCAGGGCUAGGCCCACCUCUCUCCUAGGUGGCCUCAAACUGCCCUGUCGCUCCACCACAAAGAUCCACACACAGGGCCGUCGGGAAAGUAUGUCCUUUCAGCCCCCAAUUCAUGAACCAACCGCGGGUACUCAACGAGCCGACACGACUUUAGUCACCAUCUGUAUAGCAUGUAUAUAUGUAUAGUAUAAACCCAUGAUCACCUCCCGAGUGACCACGGCUUGAUAGUAUAGCAAGGCAGACUGACAAGAAUGUAGGGCCACAGAUGAUAAACUAGCAUCCUAUACUAACUAUUUAGGAUUGCAAGUAAGGUAUCAACAGAUGUAGCAACCAUGACAGGCUAUGCAUCAGAAUAGGAUUAACGGAAAGCAGAAACAUGCUACACUACUCUAAUGCAAGCAGUAUAGAGGAGAGUAUACGAUAUCUGGUAAUCAAGGGGGGGGGGCUUGCCUGGUUGCUCUGGCAAGAAGGAGGGGUCGUCAACUCCAUAGUCGUACUGGGUGCUAGUGUAAGAAACAAUUAAUAUAGUGCAAAGUUGCAAACAUAAGCAUGAAGAUGUAAGACAUGAAAAUGAGCGGUGCUAGGUGUGCCCUAACGAGGUAGUAGGCGAUACCGGCGAAAGGGGGAAACAUCCAGGAAAGUAUCGUCGGUGUUUCGCGUUUUCGAACAGAUGAACCGGAGGUGAAAUGUUGCAUGUUUGCUAUGCUAGGGAUGCGUGGCGGACAAACGGGAUGUGUAUUUGGAUUUGUCUUGUUGUUCUAAGCAACUUUCAUAUACAAAGUUUUUCCAUCCGAGUUACGGAUUAUUUAAUAUUAAUUUUUAAAGAUUUAAAUCAAUUUAUAAAUUAUUAGUAUUAAUUAAAUUCAAAAAUGGCAUUACUGCAUCAGCAUGACGUCAGCAUGACAUCAUCAGUCAAUAGAGGUGUUGACUAGGUCAAGCUGACGUGUGGGUCCCAUCUGCCAUUGACACAUUGCCCUAACUAACAAACUAGUUAGUUUAAUUAAAUAUUUAGGUUAAUUAAGUUUAGUUAUUUUAACUAAACAUGAUAAAUUAAGUUAAUUAAUUAGUUAAUUAAUUAAUUAACCAAUUUUAUUAUUAUUAGUAUAAUUUUAUCUUAUUAUUAUUAUUUUUUAAAUGUUUUGAGGGUGGGGCCCCCUUGUCAUAGGCCCCUGGGGACCUAGUGGAGUGCGUUAACGGGCGCUGGGGCGCUGCGGGCGUGCGCCUGAGUCCACCAUGGAAGGGGACUCCUGCCAGGGGAGGGGGCGGCUGUGGCGGAGCGGCGUGGGACCGAUGGGGCGUAGGCGAUGCACGUGACGGCGCGCGCGAGCUGCAGCGGUGGAGGUGGUGGCGGGGUCGCGCGGGCGGAGCAAAGGUGCGACAGCCGGAGCGGAGUAGUGCAGCGAGCAGCACUGCUCGUGGCGUCGCGCGGGCACAGUAAGCACGGGAGGCGGGCCGACACAGGACCAGGCAUAGCAGCGGCGGCACAGGGCGCGGCCAGCGCCCGUUGCGCGCGUGCUUCGUUGUUGGUAGGCGCAGCCACGACGACGUGAGCCACGGCGGGAAGAAGGAACACGGGAGGGGGCGCAGUAGCAGCAGGCGAGCGAGGCGCACACGGGGCGAUGAUGGGCAGCGACAGCGAGCGCGGUGGGGCGGUGCGCGUGCGUGCGUGAACGACGGACGAGCGGCCGGAGCGAACAACGAGUGCGGGGAGAGGAGGAGAGGCCGAGGGCCUCACCGCGGUUGUAGGGUCUUAGGCAGCGGGGCGUGGGGAGGACGACGGGGACGACGUGCGGCGGGGCGACGAGGUCCGGCGGCAGGGUGGACGUAGGCGAUGGCGUCUGACAAGGUGGCAGCGCGGUGGCUCCGGCGACUGCGUCGGGGCGCCGUGGGCGCCCAGAUCCAGAACGGGGAGGAGGAGGUCGAGGAUGGGGCGUCAGGGCGUCGAGCGACACCAGCAAGGGGCGACGGAGUCAGGGACGAUGGGGUCGGGGCGGUUUGCCCCGAUCCAGUAACCGGGAGGGGAGUGGGGGAGCGAGCGAGUGUGGGGUGAGUGGAAUCCUGGUAUCUAGGGUUUCGGGCGAUAGGAGGAUAUGGAGAGUGGGGUGGGCCGGUCGGGCCAGGAUGGGAGUUGGGCCGGGUAACCCAGUUGGCCUGGGGCUUUCCCGCACUUUUUACUUUAUUAAUUUUUUGUUUAGUCUCCUUUUUUAUUCUUUUCCAUUUUCUAUUUUAUUUAUUUUAGAGCAUCAUAGCAUUUUCUAAAUAUGGGGUUUCUUCACUAUAAUUACCUAUGUAAUAUUUGGCACAAUCCGGACAUUUUAGUUUCAUUGUUCGAAAACCUUUUUGUUUGCCUAAUUUUUAAUUUGAAUUUGAAUCGGUUUCGAACUAACACGAGAUUAGUAACAGUAAUCAAGGUGACGUGGCAUCAUUAGCGGAGGUUCAAUGUAGCUUAAGUAUCCGAGUGUCAUAAUUCUCCUCCACUACAAGAAAUCUCGUCGCGAGAUUUAAGCGGUGUAUUAAGGGGGAAGGUGCUGGUAGCGAAAAAGCUAACGAGUCUUCUCGGUCUUGGCUGCCCUUUCGAAGAGGUUGAUCCCUUUCGUUGAUGUCUUCAUUUCUCUGCUUCAAGUCACCAUGACCAAGUCGUCAUCCUUUCUUCGGGAUCUCCAUCAUCCUACGAACGCGACCAAGGGGAAAACUCCGGAAGAACGCAUCUCCGCAAAGUUGGGCAUCUGGCGGUGAACUCAAUGGGAAAUACACAAGGUACCACACGAGUUGUAUUUCAGUGAAUUCGUUGAGUGCAAUAUACGAUGGUACCAAAGUUUCAAACGGGUAGGCAAUCAUUCGAUGACUAGACAGAAGCUGGAAUGGGGGUUUGAACAAUGAGAAUAACAUGGCAUUUGAUUCCAGGAGGAAUAAUGGUAUAGCAUUUAGCUCGUGAAUCACAUACGAAGCUAGGUGCAAAGGAUACAUUAGAAUCCGGGUUGUAAAGAAGAGUCAGGUUUCGAUCCAGUGGACCUGUGGGUUAUGGGCCCACCAUGUGGGUUGACAGUAGGAAGGGUGGUGACAUCUUGCACAGCCGCAACAGGGAGGCAUGUCAGGGCAACAAUUGUCAGUAACAAGGACAGGAAACAAAGAGAGCAAUUUUCCUGCUUGUUGAACAGGUGAACCAAUUGGCAAAGUUAUCACCCAUUGGUGGUUACCGGAAUGUAAUAAACAAUAGUAACAUGGUCUUACAAACAGAGUGGUACAACAAGUUGCCUACCUAAGCAGGGAAUUAUCUCUGCUCAGUUAAGUCAGAUUUAGGAAAGGUUAAACAAAAGAAUGGAAAGGAAAACGCGAUUAUCAGAUUAAACGGAACAAUGGAAAGGAAAAUUGUGAUUACACACAAUUAUUUGGAGUAUAUCCUUCCCAUGUACAAGCAGAACAUGGAAUACAAGAUAGGAGAGCAAGUACCCAACCAUUCAGAUAAGGGGCAAGGAUUAAUCAAGAUGUUACCCAUACAACAUCGUUUGGAUAACUCACCAAGAAACAUUUAGCAUCGCGCCUCCAAUGUUCUUGUUGAUGAGCGGGGUAUCAUAUGAAGGAAAUAUGCCCUAGAGGCAAUAAUAAAGUUAUUAUUUAUUUCCUUAUUUCAUGAUAAAUGUUUAUUAUUCAUGCUAGAAUUGUAUUAACCGGAAACAUAAUACAUGUGUGAAUACAUAGACAAACAGAGUGUCACUAGUAUGCCUCUACUUGACUAGCUCGUUAAUUAAAGAUGGUUAUGUUUCCUAACCAUAGACAUGAGUUGUCAUUUGAUUAACGGGAUCACAUCAUUUGGAGAAUGAUGUGAUUGACUUGACCCAUUCCGUUAGCUUAGCACUUGAUCGUUUAGUAUGUUGCUAUUGCUUUCUUCAUGACUUAUACAUGUUCCUGUAACUAUGAGAUUAUGCAACUCCCGUUUACCGGAGGAACACUUUGGGUACUACCAAACGUCACAACGUAACUGGAUGAUUAUAAAGGAGUACUAUAGGUGUCUCCGAAGGUACAUUUUGAGUUGGCGUAUUUCUAUUUGUCACUCCGAUUGUCGGAGAGGUAUCUCUGGGCCCUCUCGGUAAUGCACAUCACUAUAAGCCUUGCAAGCAAUGUGACCAAUAAGUUGGUUACGGGAUGAUGUAUUACGUAACGAGUAAAGAGACUUGCCAGUAACGAGAUUGAACUAGGUAUUGGAUACCGGCGAUCAAAUCUCGGGCAAGUAACAUACCGAUGACAAAGGGAACAACAUAUGUUGUUAUGCGGUUUGACCGAUAAAGAUCUCUGUAGAAUAUGUAGGAACCAAUAUGGGCAUCCAGGUUCCGCUAUUGGUUAUUGACCGAGAAUAGUUCUAGGUCAUGUCUACAUAGUUCUCGAACCCGUAGGGUCCGCACGCUUAACGUUACGAUGACAGUUUUAUUAUGAGUUUAUAAGUUUUGAUGUACCGAUGUUUGUUCGGAGUCCCGUAUUUGAUCACGGACAUGACGAGGAGUCUCGAAAUGGUCGAGACAUAAAGAUUGAUAUAUUGGACGACUAUAUUCGGACACCGGAAGUGUUUCGGACGUUGUCGGAGAAAAACGGAGUGCCGGAGGGUUACUGGAACCCCCCGAGGAGAGAUAAUGGGCCACAUGGGCCUUGGUGGAAAGAGAGAGGGGCGGCCAGGGUGGGCCGCGCGCCCCUCUCCCUCUGGUCCGAAUUGGACUAGGAGGGGGUGGGGGCGGCGCCCCCCUCUUUCCUUCCCCCCUCUUCCCCUUCCUUCCCCCUCCUUGUAGGAGUAGGAAAAGGGGAGUCCUACUCCUACUAGGAGGAGGACUCCUCCUCCUUGGCGCGCCCACAAGGGCCGGCCGGCCUCCCCCCUCCCUCCUUUAUAUACAGGGGCAGGGGGCACCCCAGGACACACAAGUUGAUCUACGGAUCGUUCCUUAGCCGUGUGCGGUGCCCCCCUCCCCCAUAUUCCACCUCGGUCAUAUUGUCGCGGAGUUUAGGCGAAGCCCUGCGCCGGUAGAACAUCAUCAUCGUCACCAUGCCGUCGUGCUGACGGAACUCAUCCUCGAAGCUUUGCUGGAUCGGAGCCCGGGGAUCGUCAUCGAGCUGAAUGUGUGCUGAACUCAGAGGUGCCGUACGUUCGGUGCUUGGAUCGGUCGGAUCGUGAAGACGUACGACUACAUCAACCGCGUUGUCAUAACGCUUCCGCUUACGGUCUACGAGGGUACGUGGACAACACUCUCCCCUCUCGUUGCUAUGUCAUCACCAUGAUCUUGCAUGUACGUAGAAUUUUUAUGAAAUUACUACGUUCCCCAACAGUGGCAUCCGAGCCUAGGUUUUAUGCGUAGAUGUCGUAUGCACGAGUAGAACACAAGUGAGUUGUGGGCGAUACAAGUCAUACUGCUUACCAGCAUGUCAUACUUUGGUUCGAUGGUAUUGUGAGAUGAAGCAUCCCGGACCGACAUUACGCGUACGCUUACGCGAGACUGGUUUCACCGUUACGAGCACUCGUGCUUAAAGGUGGCUGGCUGGUGUCUGUCUCUCUCACUUUAGUUGAACCAAGUGUGGCUACCCCCGGUCCUUGAGAAGGUUAAAACAACACCAACUUGACGAACUAUCGUUGUGGUUUUGAUGCGUAGGUAAGAACGGUUCUUGCUCAGCCCGUAGCAGCCACGUAAAACUUGCAACAACAAAGUAGAGGACGUCUAACUUGUUUUUGCAGGGCAUGUUGUGAUGUGAUAUGGUCAAGACGUGAUGAGAUAUAAGUUGUUGUAUGAGAUGAUCAUGUUGAAGUUAUCGGCAACUGGCAGAAGCUCUAUGGUUGUCUCUUUGUUGCAUAAGAUGCAAGUGCCAAAUAAUUGCUUUACUUUAUCGCUAUGCGAUAGCAAUAGUUGCAAGAGCAAUAGUUGGCGAGACGACCAUGUGACGACACAUUGAUAUAGAUCAAGAUGAUGAAGAUCAUGGUGUCGUGCCGGUGACGAUAGAGAUCAUGACAGUACUUUGGAGAUGGAGAUCGAAGGCGCAAGAUGAUCAUGGCCAUAUCAUGUCACAUAUUUUGAUUGCAUAUGAUGUUUAUCUGUUAUACAUCUUAUUCUGUUUUGUUUGACGGUAGCAUUAUAAGAUGAUCUCUCACUAAUUAUCAAGAAGUGUUCUCCCUGAGUAUGCACCGUUGCCAAAGUUCGUCGUGCCCAGACACCACGUGAUGAUCGGGUGUGAUAAGCUCUACUUCCAUCUACAACGGGUGCAAGCCAGUUUUGCACACGCGGAAUACUCAGGUUAAACUUGACGAGCCUAGCAUAUGCAGAUAUGGCCUCGGAACAUGGAGGCCGAAAGGUCGAGCGUGAAUCAUAUAGUAGAUAUGAUCAACAUAAUGAUGUUCACCAUUGAAAGCUACUCCAUUUCACGUGAUGAUCGGUUAUGGUUUAGUUGAUUUGGAUCACGUGAUCACUUAGAGGAUUAGAGGGAUGUCUUUCUAAGUGGGAGUUCUUAAGUAAUAUGAUUAAUUGAACUUAAAUUUAUCAUGAACUUAGUCCUGGUAGAAUUUUGCAAAUUAUGUUGUAGAUCAAUAGCUUGCGUUGUUACUCUCAUAUGUUUAUUUUGAUAUGUUCCUAGAGAAAAUUGUGUUGAAAAAUGUUAGUGGCAAUGAUGCGGAUUGGAUCCGUGAUCUGAGGUUUAUCCUCAUUGCUGCGCAGAAGAAUUAUGUCCUUGAUGCACCGCUAGGUGAAAAACCUAUUGCAGGAGCAGAUGCAGACGUUAUCAACGUUUGGCUAGCUCAAUAUGAUGACUACUUGAUAGUUUAGUGCACCAUGCUUAACGGCUUAGAAUCGGGACUUCAAAGACGUUUUGAACGUCAUGGACCAUAUGAGAUGUUCCAGGAGUUGAAGUUAAUAUUUCAAGCAAAUACCCGAGUUGAGAGAUAUGAAGUCCCCAACAAGUUCUAUAGCUAAAAGAUGGAGGAGAAUCGCUCAACUAGUGAGCAUGUGCUUAGAUUGUUUAGGUACUACAAUCGCUUGAAUCAAGUGGGAGUUAAUCCUCCAGAUAAGAUAGUGAUUGACAGAAUUCUCUAGUCACCACACCAAGUUAGUAGAACUUUGUGAUGAACUAUAGUAUGCAAGGGAUGACGAAAACGAUUCCCGAGCUCUUCGUGAUGUUGAAAUCGACGAAGGUAUAAAUCAAGAAAGAGCAUCAAGUGUUGAUGAUUGACAAGACCAGUAGUUUCAAGAAAAGGGCAAAGGGAUAGAAAGGGAACUUCAAGUAGAAUGACAAGCAAGUUGUCACUCCCGCGAAGAAGCCCACAGCUGGACCAAAGCCUGAAACUGAGUGCUUACACUGCAAAGGAAAUGGUCACUGGAAGCGGAAAUGCCCUGAAUAUUUGGUGGAUAAGAAGGAUGGCGAAGUGAACAAGAGUAUAUUUGAUAUACAAGUUAUUGAUGUGUGCCUUACUAGUGUUUAUAGUAGCCCCUGAGUAUUUGAUACUUGUUCAGUUGCUAAGAUUAGUAACUCGAAACAGGAGUUAUAUAAACAGAGACUAGUUGAAAGGGAAGUGACGAUGAGUGUUGGAAGUGGUUCCAAGAUUGAUAUGAUCAUCAUCGCACACUCCCUAUACUUUCGGGAUUAGUGUUAAACCUAAAUAAAUGUUAUUUGGCGUUUGCAUUGAGCAUGAAUAUGAUUUGAUCAUGUUUAUUGCGAUACGGUUAUUCAUUUGAAGUUAAAGAAUAAUUGUUAUUCUGUUUACAUGAAUAAGACCUUCGAUGGUUAUACGCCCAAUGGAAAUAGUUUGUUGGAUCUCGAUCGUAGUGAGACACAUAUUCAGAACAUUGAUGCCAAAAGAUGCAAAGUUAAUAAUGAUAGUGCAACUUAUUUGUGGCACUGCCGUUUAGGUCAUAUUGGUGUAAAGCGCAUGAAGAAACUCCAUAAAAGAUGGAUUUUCGGAAUCACUUGGUUAUGAAUCAUUUGAUGCUUGCGAACCGUGCCUUUUGGGCAAGAUGACUAAAACUCCGUUCUCCGGAACAAUGGAACAAGCUACUGACUUAUUGGAAAUAAUACAUACCGAUGUAUGCGAUCCAAUGAGUGUUGAUGCUCGCGGCAAAUAUCAUUAUUUUCUGACCUUCACAGAUGAUUUCAGCAGAUAUGGGUAUAUCUACUCAAUGAAACAUAAGUCUGAAACGUUUGAAAAGUUCAAAGAAUUUCAGAGUGAAGUUGAAAAUCAUCGUAACAAGAAAAUAAAAUUUCUACGAUCUGAUCAUGGAGGAGAAUAUUUGAGUUACGAGUUUGGUCUACAUUUGAAACAAUGCGGAAUAGUUUCACAACUCACGCCACCUGGAACACCACAACGUUAUGGUGUGUCCGAAUGUGGUAACCGCACUUUAUUGGAUAUGGUGCGAUCUAUGAUGUCUCUUACUGAUUUACCAUUAUCGUUUUGGGGUUAUGCAUUAGAGACAACUGCAUUCACGUUAAAAGGGCACCAUCUAAAACCGUUGAGACGACACCGUAUGAACUAUGGUUUAGCAGUAAACCUAAGCUGUCGUUUCUUAAAGUUUGGAGUUGCGAUGCUUAUAUGAAAAAGGUUUUCAACCUGAUAAGCUCGAACCCAAAUCGGAGGAAUGCGUCUUCAUAGAAUACCCAAAGGAAACUGUUGGGUACUCCUUCUAUCAUAGAUCCAAAGGCAAAACAUUCGUUGCUAAGAAUGGAUCCUUUCUAGAGAAGGAGUUUCUCUCGAAAGAAGUGAGUGGGAGGAAAGUAGAACUUGAUGAGGUAACUGUACCUGCUCCCUUAUUUGAAAGUAGUUCAUCACAGAAAUUUGUUCCUGUGACUACUACACCAAUUAGUGAGGAAGUUAAUGAUGAUGAUCAUGAAACUUCAGAUUAAGUUACAACAGAACCUCGUAGGUCUUCCAGAGUAAGAUCCGCACCAGAGUGGUACGGUAAUCCUGUUCUGGAAGUUAUGUUACUAGACCAUGACGAACCUACGAACUAUGAAGAAGCGAUGGUGAGCCCAGAUUCCGCAAAAUGGCUUGAGGCCAUGAGAUCUGAGAUAAGAUCCAUGUAUGAAAACAAAGUAUGGACUUUGAUUGACUUGCCCAAUGACCGGCGAGACAUUGAGAUUAAAUGGAUCUUCAAGAGGAAGACGGACGCUGAUAGUGUUACUAUCUACAAAGAUAGAAUUGUCGCAAAAGGUUUUCGACAAGUUCAAGGUGUUGACUAUGAUGAGAGUUUUUCACUCUUAUCUAUGCUUAAGUCUGUCUGAAUCAUGUUAGCAAUUGCCGCAUUUUAUGAAAUCUGGCAAAUGGAUAAACAAAACUGCAUUCCUUAAUGGUUUUCUUAAAGAAGAGUUGUAUAUGAUGCAACCAGAAGGUUUUGUCAAUCCUAAAGGUGCUAACUAAUUGUGCAAGCUCCAGCGAUCCAUCUAUGGACUGGUGCAAGUAUCUCGGAGUUGGAAUAUACGCUUUGAUGAGUUGAUCAAAGCAUAUGGUUUUAUACAGACUUUUGAAGAAGCCUGUAUUUACAAGAAAGUGAGUGGGAGCUCUGUAGCAUUUCUAAUAUUAUAUGUGGAUGACAUAUUGUUAACUGGAAAUGAUAUGGAAAUUCUGGAUAGCAUGAAAGGAUACUUGAAUAAGAGUUUUUCAAAGCAAGACCUUGGUGAAGCUGCUUACACAUUGAGCAUCAAAAUCUAUAUAGAUAGAUCAAGACGCUUGAUAAGAUUUUUCAAUGAGUACAUACCUUGAUAAAUUUUUGAAAUAGUUCAAUAUGGAACAGUCAAAGAAGGAGUUCUUGCCUGUGAUGCAAAGGUAUGAAGUUGAGUAAGACUAAAAACCCGACCAUGGCAGAAAAUAGAAAAGAAUGAACAGUCAUUCCCUAUGCCUCAGUCAUAGGUUCUAUAAAGUAUUCUAUGCUAUGUACUAGACCUAUUGUAUACCUUGCUCUGAGUUUGGCAAAGGAAUACAAUUUUGAUCUAAAAGUAGAUCACUAGAACAGCGGUCAAGAAUAUCCUUAGUGAGGACUAAGGAGAUGUUUCUCGAUUAUGGAGGUGAUAAAAGAGCCAGUCGUAAAAAGUUACAACGAUGCAAGCUUUUACACCAAUCCAGAUGACUUUAAGUCUCAAUCUGGAUACAUAUUGCAAGUGGGAGCAAUUAGCUAGAGUAGCUCCGUGCAGAGCAUUGUGGACAUAGAAUAUUUGCAAAAUACAUACGGCUCUGAAUGUGACAGACUCGUUGACUAAACUUCUCUCAUGAGCAAAACAUGAUCAUACCUUAGUACUCUUUGGGUGUUAAUCACAUAGCCAUGUGAACUAGAUUAUUGACUCUAGUAAACCCUUUGGGCGUUGAUCACAUGACGAUGUGAACUAUGGGUAUUAAUCACAUAUAGAUGUGAAUAUUGGUGUUAAAUCACAUGGUGAUGUGAACUAGAUUAUUGACUCUAGUGCAAGUGGGAGACUGAAGGAAAUAUGCCCUAGAGGCAAUAAUAAAGUUAUUAUGUAUUUCCUUAUUUCAUGAUAAAUGUUUAUUAUUCAUGCUAGAAUUGUAUUAACCGGAAACAUAAUACAUGUGUGAAUACAUAGACAAACAGAGUGUCACUAGUAUGCCUCUACUUGACUAGCUCGUUAAUUAAAGAUGGUUAUGUUUCCUAACCAUAGACAUGACUUGACCCAUUCCGUUAGCUUAGCACUUGAUCGUUUAGUAUGUUGCUAUUGCUUUCUUCAUGACUUAUACAUGUUCCUGUAACUAUGAGAUUAUGCAACUCCCGUUUACCGGAGGAACACUUUGGGUACUACCAAACGUCACAACAUAACUGGGUGAUUAUAAAGGAGUACUACAGGUGUCUCCGAAGGUACAUGUUGAGUUGGCGUAUUUUGAGAUUAGGUUUUGUCACUCCGAUUGUCGGAGAGGUAUCUCUGGGCCCUCUCGGUAAUGCACAUCACUAUAAUCCUUGCAAGCAAUGUGACCAAUAAGUUGGUUACGGGAUGAUGCAUUACGUAACGAGUAAAGAGACUUGCCGGUAACGAGAUUGAACUAGGUAUUGGAUACCGAUGAUCAAAUCUCGGGCAAGUAACAUACCGAUGACAAAGGGAACAACGUAUGUUGUUAUGCGGUUUGACCAAUAAAGAUCUUCGUAGAAUAUGUAGGAACCAAUAUGGGCAUCCAGGUUCCGCUAUUGGUUAUUGACCGAGAAUAGUUCUAGGUCAUGUCUACAUAGUUCUCGAACCCGUAGGGUCCGCAUGCUUAACGUUACGAUGACAGUUUUAUUAUGAGUUUAUAAGUUUUGAUGUACCGAAGUUUUUUCAGAGUCCCGGAUGUGAUCACGGACAUGACGAGGAGUCUCGAAAUGGUCGAGACAUAAAGAUUGAUAUAUUGGACGACUAUAUUCGGACACCGGAAGUGUUCCGAACGUUGUCGGAGAAAACCGGAGUGCUGGAGGGUUACCGGAACCCCCCGGGGAGAGAUAAUGGGCCACAUGGGCCUUGGUGGAAAGAGAGAGGGGCGGCCAGGGUGGGCCACGCGCCCCCUCUCCCUCUGGUCCGAAUUGGACUAGGAGGGGGGGCGGGGCGGCGCCCCCCUCUUUCCUUCCCCCUUCUUCCCCUUCCUUCCCCCUCCUAGUAGGAGUAGGAAAAGGGGAGUCCUACUCCUACUAGGAGGAGGACUCCUCCUCCUUGGCGCGCCCACAAGGGCCGGCCGGCCUCCCCCUCCCUCCUUUAUAUACGGGGGCAGGGGGGCACCCCAGGACACACAAGUUGAUCUACGGAUCGUUCCUUAGCCGUGUGCGGUGCCCCCCUCCACCAUAUUCUACCUCGGUCAUAUCGUCGCGGAGUUUAGGCGAAGCCCUGCGCCGGAAGAACAUCAUCAUCGUCACCACGCCGUCGUGCUGACGGAACUCAUCCCCGAAGCUUUGCUGGAUCGGAGCCCGGGGAUCGUCAUCGAGCUGAACGUGUGCUAAACUCGGAGGUCCCGUACGUUCGGUGCUUGGAUCGGUUGGAUCGUGAAGAGUACGACUACAUCAACUGCGUUGUCAUAACGCUUCCGCAUACGGUCUACGAGGGUACGUGGACAACACUCUCCCCUCUUGUUGCUAUGUCAUCACCAUGAUCUUGCGUGUACGUAGAAUUUUUUUGAAAUUACUACGUUCCCCAACAUCAUAGUCAUGCUUCGAGGUAGCAAUGAUAUGGGGUUCCAAUCAAGGCCAGACUUUGGAUACACAAAUGAUCCAUCAGGAGCAACUUAUAAAAUAAGUCCUACAAUUUCCUCCAGGAAGAAUGGUUAUCCUUGCAAAAGAAAUUAUAAUCAUAGGUCCUCCAGCCAGGGGUGCUAGGCAUGACAUCAUAUUACCUGGUCAUCAAAGGACCAACAUCAUAACUCCUGGAAAGUUGUCCUAACCAUAAUAUCUGACCGAGAUUCUGAUCCGAUUGGUGUCAUGAUACCUCAGACUCAGGAUGUCCGAGAAGAAAAGGUGUGACACAAAUUGAUGAAAUGACAUUGCAAGAUUCUCAGGAAAUGAACUAUGGGAGUGGGUUCCUGAAACAAUAGUUCAUCAUUAAACCAAGGAGGGGAUGAGGAGGUUGCUGAUGGGCUCAGCGACAAUUCAACGAGAAUUCCAAACGGAUGGAUUUCCACACUUAUGUGAACAAGAAGAUGACACUUGUUAAUUCAAAUGAUAUAAUGUUGUAUGCUCGAGGAAAACAUACACCAUCAAGCAUUAGUUGUAAGGUGUGCCUGAAAUAUGACCUUAGGCAGCAGGGUCAAUGUUAGAGUGAUGAUUCAAUGACCAACAGUCUAAGAUUGAACUGUUGAUCAUUAACUUCAAAGCAAUAGGGUUGCUAGAAGUACAGAACUCAAGCAGCAUCGUUGGCAUAUCGGUAUCCUGGUUAAAAACAACACGGGGACCAAGGAAGAAUGGUGAUGGUGGGAAGUAUUAUCAUACCGAGAAUUUCUAAGAGGUGGAGCAAUCCACACAACAUCUUGGCAGAAAAGACAGUAAUACUUCAAGGCAGAACACAACACUAGCUGGACAGCAAGUUGUAUUCAUAAUAUGGACAAGUUCGCGAUGAAAGGAAGUCAAGGGUUUUGUUGAUGAUAAUAAAAAUCAUCAAGGGCAAGGAGGGAAUUUCUCAUCAUGAACACAGUUGGCAUCUCAGAAGAAGUCAAAGUGUUGAAGGUGAUCCAACACAUUUGCCGGGAGAUUUCAAGAGGAUGAAAUCAAACAACAACGGCAACAAGCGAGGGAAUGACGAAGUGGCAAGUUAUAGAAUCAAUAUAUAGGAUGCAAGCUCGGGACCAAAUUGCCUUUCAAGACAAGAAACAUGAUGUUGAAAGCUCGACGUAAGUCGUGCUCACAGACUGAAGAUUCGUGCACCAGAGAAGGAUGAGGUAGCACCGUCAAAGGUAGCAAGACCUGGAUGCAACCGAUAGUCUAGGAAUGACCAGAUUUAGUUCAGAAUUUCCUAGUAAAAAUACUAGGGGUAUUAGAUUUGUAGUGCGGAAUAAUUUCACUAGUCGGUGUCCUCGGUUGACAACAACGCAGAACCCGUAGAGUGAUUACGGCAAGGAAAUACAUUACUUCAACAAAGUUAGUAAGAUGUGGUGCAAUGGCAAGACAUCUCCGAGAUACCAGGGGUAAUACUCGAAGGUAGAACAAGAUAGAAGUAGAACCGGGUCAUUGACCUAUGACAUUAGAUACUUCAACCUUGCCAAAAAUAGACGAGGCACUGGAAUGAAUUCCCAUCAGAUAUAUCAGAUCAGGACAACAUGGUCGGAACCAUAACUGUAAGGAAUCAAUUUCAAGAAUACCGAAAGAAUCAUACAGCUAGAUAAUCAUUUUGCAAGAAGCUUCUCAGACGGUCUACAUCAUUUUCAUGGGCAUGAACACAAAGUUCAAGGUCGACUCCCACUUCUUCAAUGCAUAUCAUCUCAUUCACCUUUGGUUUGAUAUAACUGUAGUGUUGAAAGUUUAUCUGGUAGAAAACCGGAAGAGUAUGACUUGUGAAAACUUUCGGGUUCUCACGAAUUAGGGGAAGGCAUAGGUUCAACCCACCGGGAAACUUAGUAACCUAUACCACAAGUUUCAAAAGUAAAUACACAAGCUCGAAAGAAGAGCAUGGUUGGCCAAGUAGAGGAUACAAUUUACCAAAGGCACUAUGUAUCAGGGAAAGAACUCACAUGGUGAUUGAAUAUGAAGGACACGGUCGGAUAACAAUCCAACAAUGGAUAGGGCGAUCCACAACGGAGCUGAUGUGAGUAUCGGUACUCACUCGGAGGAAGAAAGAAUGCAGAGGAAUCAGAUUCAAGAAUCACCUGAUCAGUCUGAUGCUUAAAUAGAAAGAAAUUAUGGUUUCCAAAAUGAAGGAUCAGAAGCAGAUGCUCUGAUCAAGGAUGGAUAAGUUGAAAACACCUAGUUGGACAAUCAAUAAAGGUUUGAAUUGCCGAGAACCAACUCAUGUCCGGAAUGACGUCUGAGCCGGAAAGAGAAUCUUAAAAAGGAUAACAUGAUGACUGCGUGUGUACGCACACAUUGAAUCAAUAGGCUCAAAAUGACUAAGACAAGGGAUGUUAACGAGGACUACUAGUCAUAUGGAAUUACCCAUAAUGCAAGCAUGCAAGCGUUUCAAGAGUAACAGGCUGCAGAGGAUUUUUGAAAGAUCGAAAAGUAUUCCGAAGAAUCAUGUGAGACACAUGAACAAUUGAGAAGAAUGGAUCCUUGAUAAAUGUGAGGAAAAACCCGUAAGGGUUUUCACGCCAAAUAAAACUGCAACACAGUAAACUCAAAGGAUUUUCGGGACAACGACGAAUAUUUCGAGGCAUCAUGUAACAACAAGAGCAGCGAGGAAUGAUCAAGAGAAUGACAAGUGCAUACAGAUAUCCAUAGGUAUAUAUUGGUGACAGUGGAUUGCAAAGGUGAUGAGCACAAGGGUCUCGGGAAAAUAUCAAGGGAUAUCUUCAGAAUCUUCUGAUGCAAUAAGCAAUCAUCUGGAGUGAGGGAUCUCUGGGAGGAAGUAGUUACGAGAACCUAGAGUGGGCGUUAGUAAAAUCAUUUAACCAGAAUAGAGGAGAGAUCAGUGUCCCAGAGUAAAGGUCGAGGAGUAAAAGAUCCUAAUACCACCCAAUGGCGACGUGGGCCCGCAAGCCACACAUCCAAGUUAGUAAAACAGUUUUCGGCUUCUAGACUCAACUUCGGCCAAGGAGUUGGAAAGGGGAUUCCUAUAGGCAGUCGGCUCUGAUACCAACUUGUGACGCCGCCGAUUCAAUCAUACACUAAUCAUACACGCAAAUGUGUACGAUCAAGAUCAGGGAAUCACAGGAAGAUAUCACAACACAACUCUAAAAAUAAAAUAAGUCAUACAAGCAUCAUAAUACAAGCCAGGGGCCUCGAGGGCUCGAAUACAAGUGCUUGAUCAUAGACGAGUCAGCGGAAGCAACAAUAUCUGAGUACAGACAUAAGUUAAACAAGCUUGCCUUAAGAAGGCUAGCACAAACUGGGAUACGAAUCGGAAGUGGCGCAUGCCUCCUGUCUGGGAUCCUCCUAAACUACUCCUUGUCGUCGUCAGCGGCCUACACGCAAUAGUAGGCACCUCCAGUGUUGUAGGAGUCAUCGCCGUUGAUGUCGUCUGGCUCCUGGGAUCCAACGUCUGGUUGCAGCAUCCGAGAAGACGAGGAAAACGGGGGAAAAGAGGUAGCAAAGGAACCGUGAGUACUCAUCCAAAGUACUCGCAAGAAAGGAGCUACACUACAUAUGCAUGGGUAUAUGUGUAAGGAGGCAAUAUCAGUGAACUGAACUGCAGAAUGCCAGAAUAAGAUGGGGAUAGCUAGUCCUAUCAAAGACUACGCUUCUGGCAACCUCCGUCUUGCAUCAUCUAGAAGAGAGUAGAUUGAAGUAUCAUCGCAUAGCCUAAUCCUACCCGGCGAUCCUCCCCUUGUUGCCCUGUGGGAAAGCAAUCACCGGGAUGUCUGUGGAACUUGUGUGAGUGUGUUUUAUUGAGUAUCCGGUUCUAGUUGUCAUAAGGUCAAGGUACAACUCCCAGUCGUCCUGUUGAAGAUCACGUCUAUUCAAAUAGAUUAACUUCCCUACAGGGGUGCACCACAUUUCCCAACACACUCGAUCCCCUUUGGCCGGACACACUUUCCUGGGUCAUGCCCGGCCUCGGAAGAUCAACACGUCGCAGCCCCACCUAGGCACAACAAAGAGGUCAGCACGCUUGUCUAACUCCUAUGGCGCAGGGAUCAGCACGCCCUGCCUGUUCCGUUCACCACCCCUAGUGACCAGUGUUUAGCCCCAACGUCUGUCCCACUAGGUCCCAGCCUCAUUUCAUUGGUUAAUCUUAUGUAUAAUAAUGUGAUAAGAUAGUGAGGUGUAUGCAUAUCUAUAACCGUAUAUCAUACUUCUGAUUGUAGUGUAAGACAGUGAGGUGUAAUCUUGCCGUUUUAGUUCAGAGAGAUAAUUCGAUCACUUUAAGUUGUUGCAUGCUGUCAUAUGCACUAUGCUUAUGUUAUUUGCUACUAAACCAAUAGUGGAAUAUAGUUUUAUGUUUCAUGUAUUGUUUGGUGGCUUCUCAAUUUGUGCAUGAAAACAAACAUUGCUUCCGAGUGACUCUUCAUUAGGCUCUUGUUUUAUUCAUGGGUGAUGGAACAAUGAAUGCAAAGAUAAGCUUCCUUUGAUUUGGUUGCUCGGUUGACAAGAAUAUGCAUUCCUUUGUAUACCACCUUACCUCUCCUGUGAUGCUUUCUACAUUGUAGAUUCCCUGUAUUAGAUAACGGCCAGUGCUGGGGUUGAUGCUUUAGUACAGAAAUCAUUGCAUUCCAUAUAUCUCACAGUUUGUUUGUAUCAGAUUCAUGUGAGGCGGUCCCUAUGAAGUACAUCGACGAGACAGAUGGAUUACGCCAUCUAUUAGUAUGCUUAGUGAUUCUGUAGUUGGCUCUUUUUAUUAUGUUCAUGUUCUUAUUAACUCCUCUUAUGUGUUCUCGCAAUUGGUAUCGAACUUCAUGUCGAAUGGCUAUCUUUUGUGGUCGUAUGAACGGGUCGAGCUUGAUCCUGCCUUAUAAAUUGAUGUUGUCUUGUGCUCCAUUACGUUUUACUUUUAUCACAAUUGAAUGUUUCUUUAUUUUAUUAUUAUCAUAUAUAAGUGCAAAUGCUAUAUCUGGGUUCCUACUGACAUGGUGUUACAUGCUUUGGCAAAGUGCUUGGACCGGCACCCUCGCGCCAGGGCGCGAUCCUGAUCUAGUGUAUCUUGUAGCAAGCCAUGAGCCGAGGGUUGCUACAUGAUAAAUUGCUGACUAGGCAGUGUGUUUUCUUCAUUUUGGGCAGAUCACAAGUGUUUGACACCUCUCUCUACAUUGGGUAUCCUUUUCCACUUGAAUUUUAAAAUGCGCAGAAUGUGCUUUCCUUGUUGUUGCCUCGUCAUUCCAACAUGGAAUCAAAGCAAACCUAAUAUUACUACCUUUAAAAAUUGUCUCGCUGUCUAUGUCCAUAGCAUGCCCAUUGGACUGCACGGCAGAAGUGAAGGUGUGUGCCUAGCUGGCGGAGCAGACGUACUCGUGUGACCUCUGAUCUAAGAAUGACAUGUACUCUGUUGUGAGCCCAUGGUGCAUGUGGGUUGGAACGCUGCUUAGGAAAUCUAGACUUAUUUUGCAGGCAAGCCAAGAUGAGAUCUGUAGCCCAUGUGAUUUCCAUCAAAAUGACGGCCAGUUCAACUCUGGUUCGAAUCCUAAUAAAAAAAUAGACCAACAGUCCUAGAUGGAUAUGUCCAUCGCUAAAAACGCAGUUGUUGAAAGAGUCAAUAUGACUUUUAGCUAGAGGACGCCAACACCCCUCACUUCUUCUACAUGCACUAAACAAACCCUAGCUUAUCCAACUCAAUUUGCUUUAAGGUUUAUGUGUGAAAGAAGUAGUAUUAAAAUAGAACACCACACUCUUCAACCUGAGAAAUCAAUAGUCAAUUUACCUAUGGAUAUUAAAUCUAUAUACAUCGUACUUGAUGUGUGAAGUUGAUAAUACUUAUUAAACAUAUUUUAAAUUACAAUAUUUGGUGCUUCACAGCCUGUUAUGAAAUUAUUGUUCACCCAUCUAGUGCAAUAAAAAGUACGUGCGAGAGAGAGAUAGAGAGAGAGAGAUUAAAGUACAUUUUGUCCUGAUGUCCACCAUAGUUCCACGAUCAGUACACCUAGGAGGAGACAAUCAAAAUAUGGACAGAACAUAAAUAUUUAAUAUGUAAAUGGUAGGUAACAAAUCCAACCACAAAAUUGUGCAAGCAAGCCACUAGCUAUUUAUUGAAUAUUAAAAUAACAUAGUUGAUUUCUAAAACAUACAAAAAUUAUUAUCUCAUCAACGCAUAAUUAUUUUGAGAACCAUAAGGUUGAGAUUUAUCCACCCAAAAACUAUUGUGUUGUUGUUGCUGGUGUGCAAUUAAUCUUGCAGGGACAGUUGAUGAAGCAUUCUCCAAGAUCUGGCCAGCACAAGUUAUCUAUUUGACAGCAGAAUUCCCGUCCUGGGAGCUGGUGCCCAUCUUUAUAACAAGGGGGUCUAGUUACAUGGCUUACUUUGCUCAUCAUGUUUCUCCCCUUGUUGUUUAUGAUUUCACCUAAUUAACAUAAAAUAAAGAAUAUACUUAUCAUCUCAUCAUAUAAACAAUAAAAGUCCACAAUAUCAAUACCACCAAAAAAUCGAGUUGUUAAUUACCAUAUGUGCCUCCAAGACAAGUCAAACACACCACAAGAAGAAAAGAAAGUAGCACAAGUCCUUGCACAUUGUUCCUCGUGAACUUGGUCAUCGUCACUAAGGAAUAGAGGCUAUUAAUGGGUGGUACUCUUGUAAGUGGAGUUGAUGAGUGUAUGACCGUGAAAUGCUUGCUCCAUGAAUGGUUCAUAUAUAUAUAGGAAAAGCUUCUCCGUGUUGAUGUGUGAAGUUAUAGAAAAUAUUAAUGCUUGGAGUUAUGGCUUGUGUGAAUUUCCAAUUUUAGUUUCACUUCUAAAGAUUCAUGGUUCCUUCUAGAGUUUUUUUCUCAAAUUUAUGCUUUGUCAUAGCAUGUAAGUUACUUUAAUGCCCCCUCUAGAAUUGAUCGCUCAUUGUUUUCAAGGGGUAGAAUUGACCUCUUAGAAUGGGUAGUAAAAAAUGGGUGCAUGGCAAUAUUAUGUUUAAGGCAUUGAUAAUAAUUGGUAUAAUAUCAAUAAUUCCUAUAUAUAUGAUGCCUUAUCAAUAAAAUUAUUAAUUUCUGUCUUGGUAUAAGAGAACAGAGUUUAAAAUUCAACAAGACUCAUCCACUUAACAUUGGACUUGAUUUUUAAUGUAUGUAAGCAAUUGUUCUUAAGUAUAUCAACAAGUUACAGAUACAUUUUUUUUUACUUUUAUUCCAUGAACAUAGAUUAAUUAUGGGAUGGCCAUUUUAUAAAUAUAAGAUGAUGAUUUAUUUUCAUAUACAUGAACAUUUUAUAUCAAGGUACUUGAGCAUUUUUUACAUAUUUCUAUACACAAAAUUUUCUCCAAUAUUAAGUCGAUUUUUUUAAAUAGAUUAGUUUCCCCAAAACUUUCUUUAUUAAAAUGUCGCACUUGCCCAGCUAGGGAAAAUUUUGUUAGGCAGAGCUGCCCAAUUCUCGGAACUCCCUAUAAGUUCCUCCUUGCCGCUACCAACCUCCCCUUCAGACAGCGCAUGCCUGGCUGGUCCGACCUAUUGACGACACGAAUGGACACCACCGAGUGGGAGAGUAGGCGUUGAGCCAAUCCACUUUAGCAACAAUUUUUUCAUUUUUGGAAAAUAUCUUUGCAAAAUGAACAAGCAUUGAUAAAUGUGAAGUUUUUUUUGAACAUAUUCUAAAAUUUAAAAUUUCUUAAAACCCCAAUUAUGUUUGGAAUUUCAUACAUUCUUCUGAACAAAUAAACACUUUUGGAAAUACUUAACAUUAUUUGAAAACUAAGACCUUUUCUUGGAGAACCAACAAUUUUAUGAAAAACGUGUUAGUUUUAUAAUUUGUAGAAUGUUUUUCAAAGUUAUGAUCUUUAAGAACACAAACAAUUUUUGAAAUUUCAAACAAAAUAUGAGAAUCGGAACAUUUCCCGAAAACUUGAAUAUUUUCUAAAUUUCAAAUUUUUACACAUUUUUAAAAAAGGAGACUUUUUGAUAAAGAUAAUAAGAAAAAUAAAACAAUGGAAAAACAAAUAAGAAAAACUGUAACAUCCUAAUUUUCAAUUUGGAUGUUAUACAUAGAUCAGCAGAUGCAUAUCCUAUUUAUUCUUUCUUUUGGUUGAGAUCCUAGAGAUCUUAAGCAACUCAAGGACCCAAGGAGAGAGUUGGAGGUUUCACAAAAUUCAUAUUUGAAUUUAUUUCAAAUUUGAGGGAAGGAUCAAUUUGAUUUUAUUAUUUUUCUCUCUAAUUUUUUCCAAUAAUAAAAAUACAUGCGAGAAGAUAAUAUGACUUCUUCAACCUAAGAUAAAUAUUGGAGAAAGAAGUUUAAAAUCAAAUUAUGAUUUUAUUAGAAUUUUAUUAGAAUUAGAAAAAUAUUGCAUUUUUUAAAAUUGGAUCUUUGUCCAGAAAAAUGUUUAUCUUGUCCUAAAUAUAUGGUUUGGACGGUGAAAAUUAUUUCUGGAAUUUUUAGAUUUUUCUUUAUAAUUUAUUAGGAUUUUUCUUUCGGGCGAAAUUUAUUUUUUUAAAAAAGUUAUUUCCGCCCGAAUGGGCCGAAGGCCCAGCCGAGCCGGCCCAGAAGCUGCGCCGCCACCAUCCCCGCGCGGUAGUCUGCCCCGCUGCCGCCAGCGUGCCGCCGGCCAAGUCCGAGGUGGGCACACCUCCCGAGGCCAGCCCCUUCCCCAAGACGAGGUCGAGCCCCAUCCUUAAAUAGCGCGUCGUCCCACCACCUCUCCUUCACACCGCCACCGCCUCCCACCACCAGCAGCAGCAAUAGCCCCGCGCCGCCGCCGCCGCACCGCUUUCUGCCGCCUGUGACGCUCCCGAUUCAAUCGUACACUAAUCAUACAUGCAAAUAUGUACGAUCAAGAUUAGGGACUCACGGGAAGAUAUCACAACACAACUCUAAAAAUAAAAUAAGUCAUACAAGCAUCAUAAUACAAGCCAGGGGCCUCGAGUGCUCGAAUACAACUGCUCGAUCAUAGACGAGUCAGCGGAAGCAACAAUAUCUGAGUACAGACAUAAGUUAAACAAGCUUGCCUUAAGAAGGCUAGCACAAACUGGGAUACAGAUCGAAAGAGGCGCAGGCCUCCUACCUGGGAUCCUCCUAAACUACUCCUAGUCGUCGUCAGCGGCCUGCACGCAGUAGUAGGCAUCUCCAGUGUCGUAGGAGUUGUCGUCGGUGGCGUAUGGCUCCUGGGAUCCAACGUCUUCUUGCAGCAUCCGAGAAGAAGAGGAAAACGGGGGAAAAGAGGGAGCAAAGCAACCGUGAGUACUCAUCCAAAGUACUCGCAAGCAAGGAGCUACACUACAUAUGCAUGGGUAUAUGUGUAAGGAGGCAAUAUCAGUGGAAUGAACUGCAGAAUGCCAGAAUAAGAGGGGUAUAGCUAGUCCUAUCGAAGACUACGCUUCUGGCAGCCUCCGCCUUGCAGCAUGUAGAAGAGAGUAGAUUGAAGUCCUCCAAGUAGCAUCGCAUAGCAUACUCCUACCCGGCGAUCCUCCCCUCGUCGCCCUAUGGGAAAGCGAUCACCGGGAUGUCUCUGGAACUUGUAUGGAUGUGUUUUAUUAAGUAUCCAGUUCUAGUUGUCAUAAGGUCAAGGUACAACUCCAAGUCGUCUUGUUACCGAAGAUCACGGCUAUUCGAAUAGAUUAACUUCCCUGCAGGGGUGCACCACAUUUCCCAACACGCUCGAUACCCUUUGGCCGGACACACUUUCCUAGGUCACGCCCGGCCUAGGAAGAUCAACACAUCGUAGACCCACCUAGGCACAACAGAGAGGUCAGCAGACCGGUCUAACUCCUAUGGCACAGGGGUUUGGGCCCAUCGCCCAUUGCACACUUGCACGUUGCGAGGGCGGCCGGAAGUAGACUAGCCCCCUUAAUACAAGUGCAUGCUUACGGUCCAAUCCGGCGCGCGCCGAUCAGUCGCUGAUGUCAAGAAGGCUUCGGCUGAUACCACGACGUUCGAGUGCCCAUAACUGUUCCCGCGUAGUUGGUUAGUGCGUAUAGGCUAGUGGCCAGACUCAGAUAAAAUACCAAGAUCUCGUUAAGCAUGUUAUUAUGAAGUAACCCUGAACGCCGACCAGGGCCAGGCCCACCUCUCUCCUAGGUGGCGUCAAACUGCCCUGUCGCUCCACCACAAAGAUCCACACACAGGGCCGUCGGGAAAGUAUGUCCUUUCAGCCCCCAAUUCAAACAACUGCGGGUACUCAACGAGCCGACACGACUUUAGUCACCAUUUGUAUAGCAUGUAUAUAUGUAUAGUAUGAACCCGUGAUCACCUCCCGAGUGACCACGACCUGAUAGUAUAGCAAGGCAGACUGACAAGAAUGUAGGGCCACAGAUGAUAAACUCGCAUCCUAUACUAAGUAUUUAGGAUUGCAAGUAAGGUAUCAACAGAUGUAGCAACAAUGACAGGCUAUGCAUCAGAAUAGGAUUAACGGAAAGUAGAAACAUGCUACACUACUCUAAUGCAAGCAGUAUAGAGGAGAGUAUGCGAUAUCUGGUGAUCAAGGGGGGGGCUUGCCUGGUUGCUCUGGCAAGAAGGAGGGGUCGUCAACUCCGUAGUCGUACUGGGUGCUAGUGUAAGAAACAAUUAAUAUAGUGAAAACAUAAGCAUGACAAUGUAAGAUAUGAAAAUGAGCAGUGCUAGGUGUGCCCUAACGAGGUAGUAGGCGAUACCGGCGAAAGGGGGAAACAUCCGGGAAAGUAUCGUCGGUGUUUCGCAUUACUGCAUCAGCAUGACGUCAGCAUGACAUCAUCAGUCAACAAAGGUAUUGACUAGGUCAAGCUGACGUGUGGGUCCCAUCUGCCAUUGACACAUUGCCCUAACUAACAAACUAGUUAGUUUAAUUAAAUAUUUAGGUUAAUUAAGUUUAGUUAUUUUAACUAAACAUGAUAAAUUAAGUUAAUUAAUUAGUUAAUUAAUUAAUUACCAAUUUUAUUAUUAUUAUUAUUUUAUCUUAUUAUUAUUAUUAUUUAAACGUUCUGGGGUGGGGCCCCCUUGUCAUAGGCCCCUGGGGACCUAGUGGAGUGUGUUAACGGGCGCCGGGGCGCGGCGGGCGUGCGCCCGAGUCCACCAUGGAAGGGGACUCCGACCAGGGGAGGGGGCGCCGCCGUGGCGGCUAGCGCCGGCUGUGGCGGAGCGGCGUGGGACCGAUGGGGCGUAGGCGAUGCACGUGACAGCGCGCGCGAGCUGCAGUGGUGGAGGUGGUGGCGGGGUCGCACGGGUGGAGCAAAGGCGCGACAGCCGGAGCGGAGUAGUGCAGCGAGCAGCACUGCUCGUGGCGUCGCGCGGGCACAGUAAGCACGGGAGGCGGGCCGACGCGGGACCAGGCAUAGCAGCAGCGGCGCAGGGCGCGGCGAGCGCCCGUUGCGCGCGUGCUUCAGUGCGGGUAGGCGUAGCCACGGCGGCGUGAGCCACGGCGGGAAGAAGGAACACGGGAGGGGGCGCAGUAGCAGCAGGCGAGCCGGGCGUGCACGGGGCGACGAUGGGCAGCGACAGCGAGCGCGGUGGGGCGGUGCGCUUGCGUGCGUGCACGAUGGACGAGCGGCCGGAGCGAACAACGAGUGCUGGGAGAGGAGGAGAGGCCGGGGGCCUCACCGCGGUUGUAGGGUCUUAGGCAGCGAGGCGUGGGGAGGACGACGGGGACGACGUGCGGUGGGGCGACGAGGUCCGGCGGUAGGGUGGACGUAGGCGAUGGCGUCCGACGAGGUGGCGGCGCGGUGGCUCCGGCGACUGCGUCGGGGUGCCGUGGGCGCCCAGAUCUAGAACGGGGAGGAGGAGGUCGAGGACGGGGCGUCAGGGCGUCGAGCGACACCGGCAAGGGGCGACGGAGUCCGGGACGAUGGGGUUGGGGCGGUUGCCCCGAUCCAGAAACCGGGAGGGGAGUGGGGGAGCGAGCGAGUGUGGGGUGAGUGGAAUCCUGGUACCUAGGGUUUCAGGCGAUAGGAGGAUAUGGAGAGUGGGGUGGGCCGGUCGGGCCAGGGUGGGAGUUGGGUCGGGUGACCCAGUUGGCCUGGGGCUUUCCCCCUCUUUUUACUUUAUUAAUUUUUUGUUAUUCUCCUUUUUUUAUUCUUUUCCAUUUUCUAUUUUAUUUAUUUUAGAGCAUCAUAGCAUUUUCUAAAUAUGGGUUUUCUUCACUAUAAUUACCUAUGUAAUAUUUGGCACAAUCUGGACAUUUUAGUUUCAUUGUUUGAAAACCUUUUUGUUUGCCUGAUUUUUAAUUUGAAUUUGAAUCGGUUUCGAACUAACGCGAGAUUAGUAACAGUAAUCAAGGUGACGUGGCAUCAUUAGCAGAGGUUCAAUGUAGCUUAAGUAUCCAGGUGUCACAAUUCUCCAACACUACAAGAAAUCUCGUCCUGAGAUUUAAGCGGUGUAUUAAGGGGGGAGGUGCUGGUAGCGAAAAAGCUAAAGAGUCUUCUCGGUCUUGGCUGCCCUUUCGAAGAGGUUGAUCCCUUUCGUUGAUGUCUUCAUGUCUCUGCUUCAAGUCACCAUGACCAAGUCAUCAUCCUUUCAUCGGUAUCUCCAUCGUCCUACAAACGCAACCAAGGGGAAAACUCCGGAAGAACGCAUCUCCGCAAAGUUGGGCAUCUGGCGGUGAACUCAAUGGGAAAUACACAAGGUACCCCACGAGUUGUAUUUCAAUGAAUUCGUUGAGUGCAAUACACGAUGGUACCAAAGUUUCAAACGGGUAGGCAAUCAUUCAAUGACUAGACAUAAGUUGGAAUGGGGGUUUGAACAAUGAGAAUAACAUGGCAUUUGAUUCCAGGAGGAAUAAUGGUAUAGCAUUUAGCUCGUGAAUCACAUACGAAGCCAGGUGCAAAGGAUACAUUAGAAUCGGGUUGUAAAGAAGAGUCAGGUUUCGAUCCAGUGGACCUGUGGGUUAUGGGCCCACCAUGUGGGUUGACAGUAGGAAGGGUGGUGACAUCUUGCACAGCCGCAACAGGGAGGCAUGUCAGGGCAACAAUUGUCAGUAACAAGGACGGGGAACGAAGAGAGCAAUUUUCCUGCUUGUAGAACAGGUGAACCAAUUGGCAAAGUUAUCACCCAUCGGUGGUUACCGGAAUGUCAUCAACAAUAGUAACAUGGUCUUACAAACAGAGUGGUACAACAAGUUGCCUACCUAAGCAGGGAAUUAUCUCUGCUCAGUUAAGUCAGAUUUAGGAAAGGUUAAACAAAAGAAUGGAAAGGAAAACGCGAUUAUCAGAUUAAACGGAACAAUGGAAAGGAAAAUUGUGAUUACACACAAUUAUUAGGAGUAUAUCCUUCCCAUGUACAAGCAGAACAUGGAUUACAGGAUAGGAGAGCAAGUACCCAACCAUUCAGAUAACGGGCAAGGAUUAAUCAAGAUGUUACCCAUACAACAUCGUUUGGAUAACUGACCAACAAACAUUUAGCAUCGCGCCUACAAUGUUCUUGUUGAUGAGCGGGGUAUCAUAGUCAUGCUUCGAGGUAGCAAUGAUAUGGGGUUCCAAUCAAGGCCAGACUUUGGAUACACAAAUGAUCCAUCAGGAGCAACUUAUAAAAUAAGUCCUACAAUUUCCUCCAGGAAGAAUGGUUAUCCUUGCAAAAGAAAUUAUAAUGAUAGGUCCUCCAGCCAGGGGUGCUAGGCAUGACAUCAUACUACCUGGUCAUCUAAGGACCAACAUCAUAACUCCUGGAAAGUUGUCCUAACCAUAAUAUCUGACCGAGAUUCCGAUCCGAUUGGUGUCAUGAUACCUUAGACUCAGGAUGUCCGAGAAGAAAAGGUGCGACACAAAUUGAUGAAAUGACAUUGCAAGAUUCUCAGGAAAUGAACUAUGGGAGUGGGUUCCUGAAACAAUAGUUCAUCAUUAAACCAAGGAGGGGAUGAGGAGGUUGCUGAUGGGCUCAGCGACAAUUCAACGAGAAUUCCAAACGGAUGGAUUUCCACACUUAUGUGAACAAGAAGAUGACACUUGCUAAUUCAAAUGAUAUAAUGUUGUAUGCUCGAGGAAAACAUACACCAUCAAGCAUUAGUUGUAAGGUGUGCCCGAAAUAUGACCUUAGGCAGCAGGAUCAAUGUUAGAGUGAUGAUUCAAUGACCAACAGUCUAAGAAUGAACUGUUGAUCAUUAACUUCAAAGCAAUAGGGUUGCUAGAAAUACGGAACUCAAGCAGCAUCGUUGGCAUAUCGGUAUCCCGGUUAAAAACAACACGGGGACCAAGGAAGAAUGGUGAUGGUGGGAAGUAUUAUCAUACCGAGAAUUUCUAAGAGGUGGAGCAAUCCACACAACAUCCUCGACAGAAAAGACAGUAAUACUUCAAGGCAGAACACAACACUAGUUGGACAUCAAGUUGUAUUCAUAAUAUGGACAAGUUCGCGAUGAAAGGAAGUCAAGGGUUUUGUCGAUGAUAAUAAAAAUCAUCGAGGGCAAGGAGGGAAUUUCUCAUCAUGAACACAGUUGGCAUCUCAGAAGACGUCAAAGUGUUGAAGGUGAUCCGACACAUUUGCCGGGAGAUUUCUAGAGGAUGAAAUCAAACAACAAUGGCAACAAGCGAGGGAAUGACGAAGUGGCAAGUUAUAGGAUCAAUAUAUAAGAUGCAAGCUCGGGACCAAAUUGCCUUUCAAGACAAGCAACAUGAUGUUGAAAGCUCGACAUAAGUCGUGCUCACACACUGCAGAUUCGUGCACCAGAGUAGGACGAGUUAGCAUCGUCAAAGGUAGCAAGACCUGGAUGCAACCGAUAGUCUAGGAAUGACCAGAUUUAGUUCAGAAUUUCCUAGUAAAAAUACUAGGGGUAUUUGAUUUGUAGUGCGGAAUAAUUUCAGUAGUCGGUGUCCUCGGUUGACAACAACCCAGAACCCGUAGAGUGAUUACGACAAGGAAAGACAUUACUUCAACAAAGUUAGUAAGAUGUGGUGCAAUGGCAAGACAUCUCCGAGAUACCAGGGGGUAAUACUCGAAGGUAGAACAAGAUAGAAGUAGAACCGGGUCAUUGACCUAUGACAUUAGAUACUUCAACCUUGACAAAAAUAGACGAGGCACUGGAAUGAAUUCCCAUCAGAUAUAUCAGAUCAGCACAACAUGGUCAGAACCAUAACUGUAAGGAAUCAAUUUCAAGAAUACCGAAAGAAUCAUACAGCUAGAUAAUAAUUUUGCAAGAAGCUUCUCAGACGGUCUACAUCAUUUUCAUGGGCAUGAACACAAAGUUCAGGGUCGACUCCCACUUCUUUAAUGCAUAUCAUCUCAUUCACCUUUUGCUUUGAUAUAACUGUAGUGUUGAAAGUUUAUCUGGUAGAAAACCGGAAGUGUAUGACUUGUGAAAACUUUCGAGUUCUCACGAAUUAGGGGAAGGCAUAGGUUCAACCCAUCGGGCAACUUAGUAACCUAUACCACAAGUUUCAAAACUAAAUACACAAGCUCGAAAGCAGAGCAUGGUUGGCCAAGUAGAGGAUACAAUUUACCAAAGGCACUAUGUAUCAGGGAAAGAACUCACAUGGUGAUUGAAUAUGAAGGACACUGUCGGAUAAAAAUCCAACAAUGGAUAGGGCGAUCCACAACGGAUCUGAUGUGAGUAUCGGUACUCACUCGGAGGAAGAAAGAAUGCAGAGGCAUCAGAUUCAAGAAUCACCUGAUUAGUCUGAUGCUUAAAUAGAAAGAAAUUAUGGUUUCCAAAAUGAAGGAUCAGAAGCAGAUGCUCUGAUCAAGAAUGGAUAAGUUGAAAACACCUAGUUGGACAAUCAAUGAAGGUUUGAAUUGCCGAGAACCAACUCAUGUCCGGAAUGACGUCUGAGCCGGAAAGAGAAUCUUAAAAAGGAUAACAUGAUGAUUGCGUGUGUACGCACACAUUGAAUCAAUAGGCUCAAAAUGACUAAGACAAGGGAUGUUAACGAGGACUACUAUUUAUAUGGAAUUACCCAUAAUGCAAGCAGGCAAGCGUUUCAAGAGUAACAGGCUGCAGAGGAUUUUUGAAAGAUCGAAAAGUAUUCCGAAGAAUCAUGUGAGACACAUGAAAAAUUGAGAAGAAUGGAUCCUUGAUAAAUGUGAGGAAAAACCCGUAAUAGUUUUCACGCGAAAUAAAACUGCAAGACAGUAAACUCAAAGGAUUUUCGGGACAACGACGAAUAUUUCGAGGCAUCAUGUAACAACAAGAGCGGCGAGGAAUGAUCAAGAGAAAGACAAGUGCAUACAGAUAUCCAUAGGGAUAUAUCGGUGACAGUGGAUUGCAAAGGUGAUGAGCACAAGGGUCUCGAGAAAAUAUCAAGGGAUAUCUUCAGAAUCUUCUGAUGCAAUAAGCAAUCAUCUGGAGUGAGGGAUCUCCGGGAGGAAGUAGUUACGAGAACCUAGAGUCGGCGUUAGUAAAAUCACUUAACCCGAAUAGAGGAGAGAUCAGUGUCCCAGAGUAAAGGUCGAGGAGUAAAAGAUCCUAAUACCACCCAAUGGCGAUGUGGGCCCGUAAGCCACACACCCAAGUUAGUAAAAUACUUUUCGGCUUCUAGACUCAACUUCGGCCAAGGAGUUGGAAAGGGGAUUCCUACAGGCAGUCGGCUCUGAUACCAACUUGUGACGCUGCCGAUUCAAUCGUACACUAAUCAUACAUGCAAAUGUGUACGAUCAAGAUCAGGGACUCACGGGAAGAUAUCACAACACAACUCUAAAAAUAAAAUAAGUCAUACAAGCAUCAUAAUACAAGCCAGGGGCCUCGAGGGCUCGAAUACAAGUGCUCGAUCAUACAAGAGUCAGCGGAAGCAAAAAUAUCUGAGUACAGACAUAAGUUAAACAAGCUUGCCUUAAGAAGGCUAGCACAAACUGGGAUACGAAUCGGAAGUGGCGCAUGCCUCCUGCCUGGGAUCCUCCUAAACUACUCCUGGUCGUCGUCAGCGGCCUGCACGCAAUAGUAGGCACCUCCAGUGUUGUAGGAUUCAUCGUCGCCGAUGUUGCCUGGCUCCUGGGAUCGAACAUCUGGUUGCGGCAUCCGAGAAGAAGAGGAAAAUGGGGGAAAAGAGGAGCAAAGCAACCGUGAGUACUCAUCCAAAGUACUCGCAAGAAAGGAGCUACACUACAUAUGCAUGGGUAUAUGUGUAAGGAGGCAAUAUCAGUGAACUGAACUGCAGAAUGCCAGAAUAAGAUGGGGAUAGCUAGUCCUAUCAAAGACUACGCUUCUGGCAGCCUCCGUCUUGCAUCAUUUAGAAGAGAGUAGAUUGAAGUAUCAUCGCAUAGCCUAAUCCUACCCGGCGAUCCUCCCCUCGUCGCCCGGUGGGAAAGCAAUCUCCAGGAUGUCUGUGGAACUUGUCUGGCUGUGUUUUAUUGAGUAUCCGGUUCUAGUUGUCAUAAGGUCAAGGUACAACUCCCAGUCGUCCUGUUGAAAAUCACGUCUAUUCAAAUAGAUUAACUUCCCUGCAGGGGUGCACCACAUUUCCCAACACGCUCGAUCCCCUUUGGCCGGACACACUUUCCUGGGUCAUUCCCGGCCUCGGAAGAUCAACACGUCGCAGCCCCACCUAGGCACAACAAAGAGGUCAGCACGCCGGUCUAACUCCUAUGGUGCAGGGGUAUGUGCCCAUCACCCGUUGCACACCUGCAUGUUGCGAGGGUGGCCGGAAGCAGACCUAGCCCCCUUAAUACAAGUGUAGGCUUACGGUCCAAUCCGGCGCGUGCCGCUUAGUCGCGGAUGUCAAGAAGGCUUCGGCUGAUACCACGACGUCGAGUGCCCAUAACUGUUCCUGCGUAGUUGGUUAGUGUGUAUAGGCCAGUGGCCAGACUCAGAUCAAAUACCAAGAUCUCGUUAAGCAUGUUACUAUGAAGUAACCGCGAACGCCGACCAGGGCCAGGCCCACCUCUCUCCUAGGUAGCCUCAAACUGCACUCUCACUCUGCCACAAAGAUCCACACAGAGGGUCGUCAGGAAAGUAUGUCCUUUCAGCCCCAAUUCGUGAAUCAGCCGCGGGUACUCAACAAGCCGACCCGACUUUAGUCACCAUCUGUAUAGCAUGUAUAUAUGUAUAGUAUAAACCCGUGAUCACCUCCCGAGUGACCACGACCCGAUAGUAUAGCAAGGCAGACUGACAAGAAUGUAGGGCCACAGAUGAUAAACUAGCAUCCUAUAUACUAAGUAUUUAGGAUUGCAGGUAAGGUAUCAACAAAUGUAGCAACAAUGACAGGCUAUGCAUCAGAAUAGUAUUAAUGGAAAGUGGCAACAUGCUACACUACUCUAAUGCAAGCAGUAUAGAGGAGAAUAGGCGAUAUCUGGUGAUCAAGGGGGGGGGCUAGCCUGGUUGCUCUGGCAAGGAGGAGGGGUCGUCAACUCCGUAGUCGUAAUGGGUAGCAGCGGCGUCGGUCUCGUAGUCUACCGGAGAGAAGAGAGGGGAGAAACAAUGAAUACAGUGCAAACAUAAGCAUGACGAUGUAAGACAUGACAAUGAGCAGUGCUAGGUGUGCCCUAAUGAGGUAGUAGGUGAUACCGGCGAAAGGGGGAACAUCCGGGAAAGUAUCCCCGGUGUUUCGCGUUUUCGGACAAAUGAACCGGAGGUGAAAUGUUGCAAAUUUGCUAUGCUAGGGAUGCAUGGCGGACUAACGGGCUAUGUAUUCGGAUUCAUCUCGUUGUUCUGAGCAACUUUCAUGUACAGAGUUUUUCCAUCUGAGUUACGAACUAUUUAAUAUUAAUUUUUAAAGAUUUAAAUCAAUUUAAAAUUAUUAGUAUUAAUUAAAUUCAAAAAUGACAUUAUUGCAUCAGCAUGAUGUCAACAUGACGUCAUCAGUUAACAGAGGUGUUGACUAGGUCAAGCUGACGUGUGGGUCUUAUCUGCCAUUGACUCAUUGCCCUAACUAACAAACUAGUUAGUUUAAUUAAAUAUUUAGGUUAAUUAAGUUUAGUUAGUUUAACUAAACAGGAUAAAUUAAGUUAAUUAAUUAAUUAGUUAGUUAGUUAUUUAAUUAAAUAAUUUUAUUAUAAUUUUUUAUAUUAUUAUUAUUAUUUUAAACAUUCUGGGGUGGGGCCCCCUUGUCAUAAGCCCCUCGGGACCUAGUCGAGUGCGUUAACGAGCGCUGGGGCGCUGCGGGCGUGCACCCGAGUCCACCAUGGAAGGGGACUCCGGCCAGGGGAGGGGGUGCGGCCGCGGCGGCUGGCGCCGGCUGUGGCGAAGCGGCGUGGGAGCGAUGGGGAGUAAACGAUGCACGCGACGGCGCGCACGAGCUCUAGCGGUGGAGGUGGUGGCGGGGUCUCGCGGGCGGAGCAAGGGCGCGGCAGUCGGAGCGUAGUAGUGCUGCGAGCAGCACUGCUCGUGGCGUCCCGCUGGCACAGUAAGCACGGAGGCGGGCCGACGCGGGGCCAGGCAGAGCAUCGGCGGCGCGGGGCGUGACUAGCGCCCGUUAUGCGCGUGCUUCGGUGUGGGUAGGCGUAGCCACGGCGGCGUGAGCCAUGUCUGGGAGAAGGGACAGGGGAGGGGGUGCAGUAGCAGCUAUCGAGUGGGGCGAUGAUUGGCAGUAACAGUGAGCGCGGUAGGGCGGUGUGCGUGCGUGCGUGCACGAUGGACGUGUGGCCGGAGCGAACGAUGAGUGUGGGGAGAAGAGGAGAGGCCGAGGGCCUCACCGGGGUUGUAGGGUCUUAGGCAGCGGGCAUGGGGAGGACGACGGGGACGACGUCCGGCGGGGCGACGAGGUCCGGCGGCGGGGUGGACGUAGGCGAUGGCGUCCGGCGAGGUGGCGGCGCGGUGGCUCCGGCGACAACGUCGUGGCACCGUGGGCGCCCAGAUCCAGAACGGGGAGGAGGAUGUCGAGGACGGGGUGUCAGGGCAUCGAGCGACACCGGCAAGGGGCGAUGGAGUCAGGGACGAUGGGGUCGGGGCGGUUUGCCCCGAUCUAGAAACCGGGGGGAGUGGGGGAGUGAGCGAGUGGGGGGGGAGUGGAAUCGUGGUAGCUACGGUUUCGGCCUAUAGGGGGAUAUGGAGAGUGGGGUGGGUCGGUCGGGCCAGGGUGGGAGUUGGGUCGGGUGGCCUAGUUGGCAUGGGGCUUUCCCCCUCUUUUACUUUAUUAUUAUUUUUGUUUAGUCUCCUUUUUUUAUUCUUUUCCAUUUUCUUUUUUAUUUAUUUUAGAGCAUCAUAACAUUUUCUAAAUAUGGGUUUUCUUCACUAUAAUUACCUAUGUAAUAUUUGGCACAAUCCGGACAUUUUAGUUUCAUUGUUUGAAAACCUUUUGUUUGCCUGAUUUUUAAUUUGAAUUUGAAUCGGUUUCGAACUAUCGCGAGAUUAGAAACAGUAAUCAAGGUGACGUGGCAUCAUUAGCAGAGGUUCAUUGUAGCUUAAGUAUCCGGGUGUCACACCACCGCCACCGCACGCCCGGGCCGCUGCCCCCUAGUCCCGCGCCGCUGCCGCCUCGUCGCCGACGCCGUUGACCGAUCUCGCCGUCGCCGCCGAUUUUCUCGUGAACCGGUAAGACCGGCCGGAACCAGUUUUAUUUUUCGGGUUUUUUUCGCUUUGGCGAGAUAGAUCGGUUUUCUUAGGGUUUUUCUUAAGUAACGAACAUCCGUUCGUUCGUUCGUUUUAAUGAACGGUUUUCACCGUAUAAGUUUUGUUAGCAAAGGGUCGCGCCGUAGGAUUUUUCCUUUUAGUUUAUUUUCGGCCAGGGACCUAUCCGUGAACAGUUUUAUCACGAUUUAGCCCCUGAUCUUUAAAGUAGCAUAACUUUUUACUCGUUUAUCCAAAUUAGAUGAAACCAACGUCUAAAUCUUCGUUCUGUUCUAUUAUUUUCAGUUUAACCAACUUAAACAUGAUUUUGAUACUGUAAAAUUUUGAGCUUAGUCCAGACUAGUAAAUGAUCUUGUCUUGUUCGUAUUUUGAGUUUUGUUUCUCGGUUUGAGAUGAAUCUUUUUCCAAACCGUAGCUAAUCACAUGUACCUAUUGUUAAGAUCUAAUCCUCAUGAUAAUAAUGUCGUGAGGUGUGACUUUUGUUACUUUAAGCCGUUUGUUUGUUUCGUGUUUGAUUUGGAAUUUUUUUCUCGGUUUUCUCGUUGCUUCGUUUGAGUGAUUGCUUAUGUAUGUUAUUGUUUGUCUAUGCAAGAUUACCCGGAGUGCGAAGCUUGUUACUACGAAUCUUUAGAGUUUGCAGAUCGUCAGCAAGGCAAGUUACACUUUGAUUAUACUCUUUCAUACCUAGUUUUUACUACGCAUUAGUUCUGCCCCUCAAAUAUUUGCAUGAGUAGGAUUGGGAACAUGUGGUUUGGUUGUAGUACUUGAGGUAGGAACCUAAUACCUUUUGAUCACCCCAGGAAUAUACGUUAUGCUUAUUUUUGCUUAGCCAUGCUUGUAGACAGGAAUUGGAUCGUGAAUCACACAUGGAAGUUUGAGAGUUAUUUAAUCCUGGUUAACAUUAAGGUGGCUACUUUAAUAUACAUUUGGGUGGAUUGGUUGCAGGCACCUGGGGAACCCAGUGUUGCCUAUUUUGGAAAAUCCUGGAGUACCCGUGUGAUUCUUCCUACGGUUAGCCACCUAGACUCAAAGGGAUCAUAAGAUCAUUCAUGCUAAAAACUUCCAUGUAUAGCCGCAUGCCAUUAUGGGCUCUGGCAUAGUUUGAGUAAGUUGCAUGAGCUCUUGAAGAGGUGGACUAGCAGAUGUAGGGGAUAGUAGGUGUACCGAUCCGCCCGGAGUAGAGAUUUACUGCUUCAGAAAGACUAUGUCUCGGUCAUCUGUUCCUCAAACAUCAUGUAGUGCGAGAAAUUCAACGGAAGAGAUCAAGUCUUGUGGGGAAAAGUGCGCAACCUCUGCAGAGUGUAUAAACUAAUCAUGGUUAGCCAUGUCCCCGGUUAUGGACAUCUUGAGUAUCUAGUACUUGAAUCUAUUGAUGUGAUCUCAUCAUGUUACUUUAAUUAAUUUGAAUUGGGUUAAUGAUGAUACUUUUAAUUGGGAUUUGAGUUGGGGUUACCUUCUCAAAUAAUGGCCAACUUGGGAGUAGUUAAAUAAAUUUAUUCCUUUGUUGUAGGGAAAUACUAGCUUUAUGCAAACUCAUAAACUUACAGCCUCCACCAUCCAAAUAUUGCAUGUAGAUAUAGUUCUUGCAUCACUUUAAAGUGUAACUCUGCCAGCAUAUUCAAUGUGUUGACCUGCACGGCUGCAGCGUCUCAUGUUGCAGACUACUCAGACGAUGAAUAAAGUGCGAUAGGUUGUUGUUUUGAACUCAGCUAUGUCGUUGGAGUUGAUGGACUCAUUUACCUUUGAAGCUUCCACUGUUAUCUAGUUUAAAUGGCUUUCAGCCAUUAUAUUUUUGUGUAAUCAUACUCUUUAUGAGGACUCUAUGUAAUAAGUGUGUGAGGACUCUGUUAUAAUUCCUCGAGUACUGUGCGUGUCAGCAUUACCAAUCCAGGGAUGGCACUGAUGCACAGAGACUUGACAGUUUGAGGUUUGGUCGAUACAAGAUGGUAUCAGAGCACACGUUGACUGUAGGACACGACCACUAGAUUAUACCACAGGAUUUCUCUUCUCUACUAAUUUCUAAUUCUCCUCUUUUCUACUCUAUAGAUGGUGGAUCCUAGUAACAAGUUCACUCAGCCGGAUGACGAUACCCCUUUCGGAAAACAUUUGAAGGAAGUCACUAAGUAUUUGAACAUUGGACUACCAAGCUGCACGGGGACUUUCUCUACAUCCGUACCAGAAGAGGAGCGCUGGAAGAUUAAAGUCUGGGUACCUGGAAGGACAUUUGCGCCAACAACGGAGCCUAUUGAUUUCUACCUGGAUGCACCAAACUGGAGUAAAGGAAAGAGCAUGGCAGCCCAUAUAACCGUUCGACGCAUAUGCGAGGUGUAUCACAAGGAGCUGGAGAAUGUCGUUUAUCAGAUAUGUGGCCACUGAGAUGACAAAUGGGAGAUGAUUCGUACCAGGAGGGAUGGAUCAAUUGCAGCCUACAUUCAAGAGAUGGGAGAUCAUAUUCGUCGAAAAGAGAAUCAACAAAUUAUCCACAUGAAGAAGAUCAAGAAACUGGUGAAGAGAAACAACGAGCUAGAAGAGGAACUCAAGUCUACAUGCGAUGGAUACGAGGAAGAGAUCACCAUACUACUGGAGAAGCAUGAAGACCUGAAGAGGAAGAUGGGAAUAUUAGUUGUGAAUAUCAAGCGAUCAACAGAGAUCCGUUCGGAGGACUAGAUCAUCCUGGACGACACCGACAUGGAUAGGGAUACAAAUGAUGACAUCGAUGAUGACUAUGUCGAUGAAGCUGGAGCAGAUAUCAUGGAGUCUUUUUCUGAUGAAAAUUUCUUGAUGACCACCAUUGUAACUAGUAGUUUUCCCUCCAAGUUGUUAGCAACGAUCGAGUUUGUAAUCAUAGGUUAGACUGAACGUGUGACUUGUGUGCUUUUGAUUGAAGUGAGUGUUUGUCUCAUGAGCAUAUGGGUAGUGAAUCUCUCUGAGACCUCAAUUCUAUUCUAUUUUCUCACCCCUUCUAACCCAUCAGAUGCCUCCGAGACAUGACAAUGGAUUAGCCUUCCCACCGGAGCUCACUCAGUUGAUCCAGCAGCAGAAUGCCUUGAUGCAGAUACUAGUUUAGAACCAGAACCAAGGUAAUAACAACAACAACCCACCACCACCACCCCCUGUUGAUCACCUAGCACGCUUUCUAAGGUUGAAUUCACCGGUGUUCUCAAGUAGCACCGAGCCAAUUGUUGCAGAUGAUUGGCUCCGCAAGAUUGGAAGAGAGCUGACCACUGUAGGAUGCACAGAUGCGGAGAGAGUGCGCGUUGCCGCACAUCAGCUUGAUGGACCCGCAUCAACUUGGUGGGAGAAUUUCACAGCCACAUACCCCAUUGACACUGUUACAUAGGAUCAGUUUCAGCAGGCUUUCCGCACUGCCCAUGUUUCAGCAGGAGCAAUGAGCAUGAAGAAGCGCGAGUUUCACAACUUGCGCCAAGGAGGGCGUACAGUGGGCCAGUAUUUGGAUGAGUUUAGCAAGUUAGCACGCUAUGCCCCUGAUGACGUAGCUACAGAUGCUGCUAUGCAGGAGAAGUUUCUGGAAGGACUGAAUGAUGAGCUGAGCAUGCAGUUGAUGGUGGCAACAUUCAAUAACUACCAGGAGUUGGUAGAUAGGGUGCUCAUGAUUGAAGGCAAGCAGUAACAGAUUGAUAAUCGCAAAAGGAAGUAUGGAUAGGGGAGGAACACUUCAGGAGCUCAGCAGAAGCCCCGCUAUUCCCCGUACUCAGGAGGACAUAACCAUAACCAUGGAGGACAUACACACAAUGGAGCUAGUUCGCGCAACCAUAGUGGCCCCAAGAAUGGCAAUGGGAAUGGAGGAAGCAACAGCAGAACCGUUCCAACCCUUCAAUGCCAGCCAAGAGGGAUCUGAGCCACAUUACCUGUUGCAAGUGCUAGAAGACCGGACAUUAUGCUACUGAAUGUCCUGAAACCAAGAAUGGAAAUGGAAACGGAGGUUCUGCCAAGAAUCCCAACCCCUUCACCAAAGGUCAGGUGAACCACGUCAGCAUGGAGGAGAUUGAGGAUCAACCCGACGUAGUUGUCGGUAAGUUUUUGAUUAAUGCAUUUACCGCACUUGUUCUUUUCGAUACUGGUGCAUCGCAUUCAUACAUAUCAUGGGGAUUUGUGGAUAAGUAUAACCUACCAACCAUAGACCUUAAGUAACCUAUGUUAGUAAGUUCCCUAGGAGCAGAGUAUAUGGAUAGUAGGGGAUGCUAUCAGUUGCCACUAACCAUAGGUAGACAUGUUUUCCCUAUCGACCUGAUUGUUCUGGAGUCACAAGGAUUGGAUGUGAUACUAGGAAUGGAUUGGCUAUCCAAGUUUGAAGGAAAUAUCAUCUGCGCCAGUAAAUCAAUUCUUCUCACCACCCCAUAAGGAAAGAGGAUCAAGUAUGUAUCCUGGCAUGUGCCGACGUGGACUCAAGUGAAUUCCUUAUCAAGAGUUGUACAGGAGGAAGUACCAGUGGUGAAGGAUUACCCCGACGUAUUUCCGGAGGAGUUACCAGACAUGCCAUCAGAUCGAGACAUUGAGUUUUUGAUUGAGCUAUUUCCAGGCACCGGACCAAUAUCAAAGAGACCAUAUCGGAUGUCCACAAAGGAUUUGGAGGAAAUUAAGAUGCAGAUAAAGGAGUUACUGGAAAAAGGUUACAUCCGACCAAGUUCAUCACCUUGGGGAGCCCUAGUACUUCUAGUGGAGAAGAAGGAUGGAUCUUUGAGGAUGGUUGUUGAUUAUCGUGCACUGAAUGAGGUGACGAUUAAGAACAUAUACCCUCUGCCAAUGAUCAAUGAUUUUUUUGACCAGUUGCAAGGAGCUAAAGUUUUCUCCAAGAUCGAUUUUCAAUCAGGUUAUCACCAGUUGAAGAUUCGAGAGGAGGAUAUACCUAAGACAACUUUUACCAUAAGGUACGGGCUAUAUGAGUAUACCAUUAUGUCAUUUGGCUUGACUAACGCGCCUGCCUAUUUCAUGAAUAUGAUGAACAAAGUGUUUAUGGAGCUUAUGGAUAAGUUCGUCGUGGUGUUCAUAGAUGAUAUAUUGGUCUACUCAAAUAAUGAAGAGGAGCAUAAGGAGCAUUCGCGUUUGGUUCUUGAGAACCUUAGAGAACAUAAGUUGUAUGCCAAAUUCAGCAAAUGCGAGUUUUCGUUAAAGGAAGUUGGAUUAACUCGGACAUGUUAUAUCCGGAGAAGGAAUAGCAGUAGAUCCUACCAAGGUUACCUCUAUAACUAAAUGGGUGGCACCCACAUGAGUUGGAGAGAUCAGGAUUUUUUUGGGACUCGCAGGUUAUUAUCGGAGGUUUAUUGAUAAUUUCUCCAGAAUUGCAAAGCCCAUGACAGAGUUAUUGAAGAAGGACACCAAGUUUAAAUGGACUGAGGAGUGUGAAGCCAGUUUUCAGGAGUUGAAGAAACAUUUGGUUACAGCCCCAGUGCUAAUUCUCCCAGACCAACGUAAGGAUUACCAAGUGUAUUGCGACGCUUCACAUCGAGGACUUGGAGUUGUGCUUAUGCAGGUAGGAGAAGUUGUUUCAUAUGCCUCACGUCAGCUUAAACCUCAUGAGCAGAAUUAUGCUACACAUGGCUUGGAGUUAGGAGUCGUAGUGCAUGCGCUAAAGACAUGGAGAUAUUUUCUCAUCGGAAACCAUUGUGAGGUAUACACGGAUCAUAAGAGUUUGAAGUACAUCUUCACGCAGAAGGAGUUGAACCUCAUGCAAAGGAUAUGGUUGGAGCUCAUAAAGGAUUAUGAUAUGAAAUUGCACUAUCAUCCCAGAAAGGCCAAUGUAGUAGUUGAUGUGUUGAGCCGCAGGAGUUAUGUCAACACGCACAUAACUGGAGGAUUCCCUAAUGAUUUAGCUGAUGAUAUUCGAGAGCUUUGCCUGGAUAUAGUUCCGAGGGGUUAUGUUGCAACAUUGGAAAUUAAGUCCACUCUUUUGGGCAAGAUCAGGGAAGCCCAGAAUACUGACAAGGAGAUUGCCGAAAUAAAGGAAAGGAUGUAAAGGAAAGGAUUUCGUGAGGAUGAGCACGACACCUUAUGGUUUGAGGAUCGCAUAUAUGUGCCUAAUGACCCCGAGAUCAGGAAGUUGAUUCUGAAGGAGGCCCAUGAUUCACCAUACUCGAUUCACCCAGGAAAUACCAAGAUGUAUUUGGAUUUGAAGGAAAGUUUCUGGUGGAUAGGAAAGAAGAAGGAUAUAGCCGAGUAUGUAGCAGUAUGUGAUGUAUGUCAGAGAGUCAAGGCAGAGCAUCAGAAGCCACAUGGAUUGCUACAGCCAUUGCCGAUACCCGAAUGGAAGUGGGAUAAGCUUGGCAUGGAUUUUAUCACUAGAUUACCCAGGACUCGUUCAGGCUAUGACUCUAUCUGGGUUGUAGUCGACCGUUUUGGAGUGUGCCCACUUCGAGGAGUGAAACGUUUUGGAGUUAAGGGAAAGCUAGUACCACAUUUUGUGAUGAAUUUUUUGAUAUAUUAUACGGUUUUUUUCGACAUCGUAUGCAAAAGAUAUGACAGUUUUACUUUUUCAUAACACUUUUUUGCAAAACAUGUCCAAAUUUAAGUUUUUAAAUUUUCCUAACUAGUAGAUGUAGUAACAUAACUACAUCUCGAAGGAUUUUAAUUUUUGAAGUUUUUAUCAUUUUCUUUUGUUUUUUACAAAACUGAAAUGCGGAUACACGGGGGGAGGGGGGUGGUAGAGUUUGAAAAUUUUCCUUUAGUCCCGGUUUGUGUCUCCAACCGGGACUAAAGGUUAGACCCAUUUUGUCCCGGUUUGUGAGACAAACUGGCACUAUAGCUUAGACCUUUAGUCCCGGUUUGUGUCACAAACCGGGACUAAAGGGGCUCGUGGGGCCCCGGCCUGAUGCCAGCCUGCCACCACCCCUUUAGUACCGGUUCAUGCCCCGAACCGGCACUAAAGGUUCAACACGAACCGGGACUAAUGCAUAGCCGUUCGAACCGGCACUAAUGGUCACAUUAGUGCCGGUUAAUUUACAAACCGGGACUAAAGGGCUGAACAUUAGACCCUUUUUCUACUAGUGUGUUAAGCAUCACAACUCCUCGCCAAACUGAAUCUACUAAGUUCCAUACAAAUUUAGCUCGAUUUAUGUACAUAUAUACAAUGUGAAGACUAUAGUGAAGUUGCUUGUUCACUAAAUUCAACACACAAUGGACAGGAUACUGUAUGCCGCCUGGUUUAUAGAUAGCUAUUAAAGUUUUAUCAUUUGAGCAUCCUCAUUCAAAUUAAUAUGUGCUAACGAUACUAUUGAGGCUUCUAAGAUUUAAGUGCCCAAACUCGACUUUUGUAGAUAAACAUAGCAGUACAAUUUUUUGCAUAGGUACACAAAAUCUUUCAACAUAUGAUUUGAUUCCAUUGUGUAAUUUGGCUGAAAAAUUUGAAUAGCAAGUGGCAUAAGAGCUAAUGCAAGGAAGAAAAUCAUGUCCCGGGCAUUUGCAUAGGCCGGCUCAAACUUGCCAAAUGUAGCAAGUUUUUUAUGCAAAUUCCAAAUGAUAUUUAAUUUAUCAAAAAUAAUGAAAUCUAGUUCAACGUUUCAGGCCUGAAGCAAACCUGAAACAUGUAUAAUUCUUAUCCUCCUAAUCUUUGCAGAACCAGCAAACAUGGGCAAUAAGAACCGAAAAAAUGAAGCCCUCUAUUUAGUCUGCAACACAUAAAUCCUUUAUGCCCAAUGUACAAAAAACAAAAUUGCAUCGAGUAAAUGUAACAGAAGAGAAAAAUAAGAGAUAUGUGCAGAAACAGAAAUCGAACAUAUCCUGGCAAACACAACAUCUCGCCGCUUAGACAAAUUCUAGACGUACUUCUGAGGUGAAGAGAGAACGUGGAUUUAGAAGGAGGAGAGCAAAGACCCAGGGAUGGGGGCAAGAAACAGAGUUCUAAUGCCUAUGGAUCUACAUCCCCUCUAGAUAUGUGUCUUGGUGUCUGAUCUCGUGGCUGUGGGGCUCGUGGUGGCCAGAGAUGCCCUGCAGCCUGCUAUGGUGCUAUAACUAAAUCAAAUGCCAUUGACAGCAUGGAGCUAUGUCAGGAGUGUGGCGGCCCUCUUGGACAUCAGCGCGCGCCGUAGGAUGCUGGUGCAUAGCGGUGGGCGCCGCUGUCGAGAUGAAGGUUGGGGGAGGUGGGAUGGGUGCCCCUGGGCAUGCUAAAUAAAGGAGGCUGGGAGCUGGCCGGGCGCCUCCAUUGGUGUUAGGCUGCUGCCAAUGCAUGGGUGCUUAGAUGAGGUGCUAUGCACAUUAAAUAGCUUAGCAACUAUACUCCCCAAUGCACAGGUGCUUAGCUUAUGGUUGCUAAGCUUGCUUCAUUUAAUGAUUUAGCAACUAAAGCUCUUCAUGUAUUGGUGGGCUUCCUUCCUUUAAAUGUUUUGCCUAGGUUCACACGCUUAGCAUUGUUUCUUCCUGGGUCACCACACUCAUCUCUCCUCUUAAAUAACUUGCCACAUCAGAUUUUUUGCCUAUGUGGAAGGCUUAGCACCUGUACAAGGUGGAGCAUUAGGAGGGGCCUUAAUGGAUUUUUAGCAAUGAAAACAUUACUCCUCGCUUGAAUACCGGUGAACGAACUCCAAUCACCCACUAUGCCGCAUCGCUGCCCAUUAAUGUGUCGCUAUCUCUUCACAUCUCCUGCACACCGCCCUUCCCAAAGCAGACGCUCUUUCUUGCGAUUUCGUUGUGCUGAGCAGGCCGAUGUUAAAUCACAGAUGAUGGCAAGCAAAUAUGUUAUGGUGAUCUUAAAUGGACUUCUUGCGGGAGAAGGGUACGAUUAAGCAUAAACCACCGAUUUUGUUACAGAGUAACAGCCCAUGAGGCAUCUUGUCCACUUAGUGCUAUUUAAAAGUAUCUUACGGCCAAAACGACCACCACGAAAUGAUCCAAUGGUUAGGAACGGUGGUGGCCUGAGAGGGCAGGAAAUUUGCUCAGGUAUAAUGUAUCUCUAUGUCCUUCCCACGGUAUUGAGCACGGACAUUUGUUGUGCUUGGACUAGCGCCCUUAACGUGCACACUAUUCGGAUAGACUUUGCUGGUUGCCACCCCCAUAUCUCUGGGACAUAGAGUAGUUGUGACUUUCACGGUGCUCGGUGAUGUACCAGCUAUUUUCAUACCCAUGUAGCAACCGCACCAAAACAGGGCACUCACACCUACAUGAACUGUUGUUUACUGACUCUGGCUUCCCCUGCACACCAGAUAGCACAUGCCAUGGUCAGUGCAACUAAAUUAGUGAUGGGAGCCCCACAAAUAAAAGGACAAAACAGAAGAGAGUGGCGUUUUGGCACAUGGGAGCACGCGUUCCUGAUUUUUAAAAUUUAUUUUAAACAUACUUUCACUACAAGAAAUAUGUCAACUUAUGACCACCACUAUUGGUCACUGAAAGGUCACAAAUUUCCAUUUAUGACCUUUUUGUGACCAAAAACAGAAGGUCAAAAGCUGGCCGUCGUAAACUGACUAUAGCGACCUUUCUUCUGGAAUGGUCAAAGACGUUUACGACCAAAAUAUUCCUACUGUGGCGUUUUGGUCACUAGCAACCUCCCCAGGCCACGUAGGCAUCCAGCGUGGCAAGCUGAUGUGGCACAAGAUUCAGCUCGGUCCGAUUUGGUGUUCUACAUGGGCCGAGCCCAUUAAUUCGGCCUUUUUAAUAUUUAUUUUUUCUGUUAAUUUUUGCUAGCUACAUGGGCCUGGCCCAACAAUUCGAUUCUCUAGACUGAUGUCUUUUGUUGUACAUUUCUUUUUUGGGCCUUGACCAUAUUUUCUAGGCCCUGGCCUUUCAACGGUCCAUUUCUUUUCAAAUUUCAGCCUUUGUUCCAACCAAUAUAUUUUAGGCCUUUUUUCAAAGCCCGAAUAGAUUUGGUGCAAUAGGCAUUUCGGCCAAUUUUCUUUUGGGCUAUAUAUUUCUUUUUCUAGCCACUUUUAGUCAAGAAAUGAAUUUCAAGUGAAUAAAAAGUAAUAUUCUGAGUUCAGCGAGCAAGUAUACAUCAAGUUCAGCGAGCAAAUAUACAUCAAAUUCCCAGCAUGUUUAGCAGUACAUCAAAUUUCUCAAGAAUAUUAGCAUUACAAAUUCAGUAAUAUAUAAAGCAAGUUGUUGACUGGGCUUCGGGCUUCUUCAAAUGUCUUCAGCCCAGAACUCCUGUAAAUGAGAGGAAUAGUCACAUGUUUAUAGUCUUAAUAUAAGCAAUAUUUGCUAACAACAAAACAGAACAAUUAAUCUAAGAACCAUGCAAGAACCUAGGUGUCCAAAUCAGAUUAUGCAACAUCGAUUGACACUAAAGACAUAAAUAGUCACCAGAUGGGCAUCAAAUCAUCACAAUAGUUUCUCGACAGAUGAUAAAAAAAGAACAGAAUGUAGAUGGCAGUGAGUUAAGGAAGCACCACAAUAACAGAAACAUGUUGUCAGUGGAAUGGAUGGUAACACAAACAUCUACUCUGCCCUGCUGUAACAAACAUGUACUUGACUCCUUACAUACACCAGUGCAAGUGUUUUUCACAUGUUACUACUUGAUUCGACUUUAUACAUAUAAAUAUACAUGACAAUAAACUUGCAUAAAGAGGCAUCUAGUCUAGCAUUAGACUAACUUACUGGUAUAAAGAGACAUGGAUAUUCAUGGUAGUUGUACUAGAAAAAACUAACUGAACCAAUGUCUCCAUAGAUAUCAUAGAAUCAGAACAGAUGAAGCUGACAACAUAAUAUAACCAGAAGUCAAUUGUAGCUACUCAUAUUUUGUGUGUCCAAGUAGGUACCGAUGAAAGUCACAAUAUCCUGUAAUUGUUGAAUGACUCGUGGUACAGCUUGCAUUGUUAAAAUGCAAUGAACCAUGAUUUUAGUUACACAUAUGGUUAAAGAAACAAACUUAAGGAUUUAGUUAGAAUCUCAUAUCACCCAUGAUCCACUGAUUUCAACUGGUAUUGUAUCUUACAAAUCGAACUGAAGAAGUUCAUUUCUAGCCCAACUAUAAUCUCAGGCCAACUAUUGUAAGAUGCAGGGAGCAGAGAGCUCACCAUGGCUGUCAUGUAGCCGACGUGGAAGAGGCAGCAUGUCCGUCCAAGCAGGAUCAGCAGCACCAGCGGACGGGUCUGGGGUUGUCGCCGCUCCUCCUUGUGGAUGCCGAGGUCGGAGACGCCGGAUCCGUACGGGCAUCCACCUCCCAUCCUUGCAAUUAAAACUUUAUAUGUGAGAAUUCAAUUUUAUCAAUCUCUGAACUCUAGUCUAGUCUGAUUCCUGAUUGGGGAUAUGAAUCAGCAGAAGAAAAUCAAGGGGCCCUGCCCUCCCACUUUCCUAGAACAAAAUGAGUACAUGAGCAACAACUAUAUAGAACUGAUGAUGCAUGUACUACCUAGGAAAGAGCCACCAGCAGUAUGAUCACUUGAAGACCGAUCUUGAUGCAUUUCGCAACCUACAUAGCACAUUCAUACUGUUAUGUUAUUGUUAUCCCCACUGGUGUCAACUACAGCCAGACAAAAUUCAGAAGUGCAGAGAUUUUUCAUUUGUGUAUGCACAAGUAGAAGGCUUACACUUGGGAAUCCAAGAUCGUAGAGCCCGAAUCCGAGGGCGAGGAGGUUCAGGGUGUGUUGGUGCUAAUGCCGGAGCUUCCGCUGGGAACUCCAGCGGCACCACCAUUGGUGGCUGGUCUCCGGCGCUUCCUUUCUUCCCGGGCAAGAAGACAGACGAGACGAGGAGGAGCAGCGGUAGUUCGAUGUGUGUUGGGUGGCCUGGCUGUAGCAUGGCGGCGGACCUGGACAUGGACCAAUUAAGAAUGAACACUGGUAAUGAGAUACAGCAAAUACAAAUGGUUCAGAAUAACACCAAGACAUUCAGUACUGCAAGAAAUUUCUGAAACUUCAGUUGCAGUAGUUGUCAAACAAAAUAUCAGUCCAGUAACCUCCAAAUUAAAUUAAAUUAUGAUGGUUUACUGCAAGUAAGACUAGCAUAUAGUAGUUUGUCUUGUACAUAAUGCUUCUAAUCAAAGUAAGCAUUGUCAUGCAUGCAAAUAUUUUAUGGAGUAUGUGACCAUUAGAAUGCAUACGUGUGUAGGGGAGCUCCCUCGGCAUCGUAGCUAUCAUGUUUUACCAAUGAAACAAAAGGUUACAGGGAGCUUUUAAGUAAAAUCUGUUUGUGCACACAGCAAAUCUGAGAAUGUGAGAUCGGUAUGCUCUCUACUAGUCUCCAGUGAGCUGAUCCUGCUAAUCUAUCUACGCAACGGUGGUGAGAGAUGGAGAUGCCAGUAGAAGGAACUAGCAACCAUACCACAUGCAAGGCCAAGACGGAUAGCACUGACAACAGGUAUGCAUCAAUGGGCAUGCAGCACAAGAUGGAUAUCUGCAAGUCUUUCUUCAGAAGAGGCAUUGUAACUAGACUACUGCUUACUACUUAACCCAAAACUGAAUCAUGAAACAAAUCUUACCAUCAAUGCACUGUAGGCAGGAUCUUUCUCAGGCAGGUACGGUGGUCAUCUCUCUUUCAGCUGGAUUUUCUUAGCCCACAGUCUGGUCGCUGAACAACCACUUCUUUAGCGUUUUCUUGUCACUGCAGGUGUGGAGGAAGUUCAUCAACAGAAGAGUACCUAAGAAGAAGAAUCAUGCAUCGGGAAUCAAUCAAAUCAACACCAAAUCGAAUCAGGAAGAAGAAUCGAGUGCUCACAUAGGUAGUUGCAGUGCUCCUGCACCUCCUCAAUGUCGUACUGCGUCAGCAUCGCCCAGGUUCAUCUUGUUGGCGUGGAACUGGUCUGCUCACGCCCAGGUGAUGCUUGUACGCGGUUUGCACAGGAGGCAGGCCUAGAUGCCCUCGUUCCACCGUGGUGAGGACGUCGCCUUCCACCAUGGUGCCCAGGCCGUCGGUGCAGAUCUGGCACACGCCCCCGGCCCCAUGCCUCGGAGACGGCGGGGACCUUUACGAAGAACUCGGAGACGGCGGGGACCUUGACGACGAACCCCGCGGCAGGAUCCCAGACCUGGUGGGAGAGGACGGCCUUGGCGCUGGUGCCGGGCGGGAGCGGCGGGUGGAGCUGCGCCGGAGUUGGUGCGGGCGCGGGGUAGCAGGUCGCGGGUGCGGCCCCGCGGAGCGAGACCCUCCUGGCCGCGGCGGCGCGGCCCUCGACGCCGCGAAAGCGGACGCCAAGAAGGGCAACCCGCCGCUGGAUCCGGGCGGGUGAGGCAGAGGCCUUGAGCGCGAACAUCGACGGCGGAGGAAGGGGACGGUGGAUGGGGGGGCUUGGAUAGGAUCUGGAGAGAAUNNNNNNNNNNNNNNNNNNNNNNNNNNNNNNNNNNNNNNNNNNNNNNNNNNNNNNNNNNNNNNNNNNNNNNNNNNNNNNNNNNNNNNNNNNNNNNNNNNNNNNNNNNNNNNNNNNNNNNNNNNNNNNNNNNNNNNNNNNNNNNNNNNNNNNNNNNNNNNNNNNNNNNNNNNNNNNNNNNNNNNNNNNNNNNNNNNNNNNNNNNNNNNNNNNNNNNNNNNNNNNNNNNNNNNNNNNNNNNNNNNNNNNNNNNNNNNNNNNNNNNNNNNNNNNNNNNNNNNNNNNNNNNNNGACCACGGGACAGAGCUAGGGUUUCGGGGACACAUCCAUGUUUGGUGCGGGCCGUUGGAUCCAGGGGAUCCGACGGUGAUUUACCCAUGAUCCGCGUGAGAGGCCCUUGGACCAAUCAGAAUGCAGUAUACAGGUAUGAUAUUUUGACCAUUUAAAUUGGUCAUAAUCGACUAAAAUUAUGUGCUAAAUCGUGUUAGCUAUUUUAUUAUGACCUGAAAAUUAAAAAAAACGUUUUAUUGCAUCAGCAAAUUUGACUAUUGUUUUCAGGAAUAAUCAUAAAUUGAAAUAAGAUAAUUAAUUUUUUAAAGAGUUAUGAGAAAUGAGUUCUUUUAAAUUAUUUUUUCAUUUUUUGAGUGUUUGAAAUGAGCUUUUUUGUGAAGGACCUACCAAAUAUUUAUUGCAAAAUUGUACCAACUCAAUUUUCUAAAAUACUAGGACAUAUUUAAUGCACAAUUGACCAAAUGGUUGGGUGUGAGAAGCUUUGAUCCACCUCUGGUGAAAAAGACAAAUUUCCAUCGAUUCAGCAGGAAGCGGGUCAAAUUUGAACUGUAGCUGCCUUCUAGUUGGCUCUUUUUUUUCCAAAAAUCAUUUCUAGAUACAUAAGUACCUAUUUAAUCAGAGAAACACUAAUAAAAUUCCAAGAUUCAACCACUAGCUAGAAACGGUCAUUCCCGCCGUUUUGACCGCAUUUUGAAAACAGGCAUAAAAAAUUCAAAAAAAAUCAAAAAAUUGGGAAACCUUCGCAUUGUGUCAUUAUAUGUGGCCAAGUUCCGAGUAAAAAUAACAAACUUGUAAUACGGCGAAUAUUUAAAAAAAGUGUUCUCAGAAACGAGCUAUCAAGUGUGAAGAUGAAUGGCUUUCAACCCAAAUGCUCAAUCUUAUGGCCACAUACAUGGCAUAGUUUGUUCAAAUGAUCUCAUAUUGUGCACAAGGGUGCAUAUUGGAAUGACAAACAAUGUUUCUUAAGGAAGUUUUCAUUUUCUUUGGACGAAAAAUUCAUUUUCCAUUUUUCGAGUGCCCGAAAAGAGAUUUUUUUGUGAACGGCCUACCAUAUAUUAGUUGCAAAAUGGUACCAAGUCAAUUUUGUAAAAUACUAGGACAUAUUUAAUGCACAAUUGACCAAAUGGUUGGGUGUCAGAAGUUUUGAUCCACCUCUUGUGAAAAAGACAAAUUUCCGACGAUUCAGCUGGAUGCGGGUCAAAUUUGAACUGCAGCUGCCUCAUAGUUUGCUAUUUAUUUUUUCCAAAAAUCAUUUCUAGGUACAUAAGUAUCUAUUUAAUCAGAGAAACACCAACAAAAUUCCAAGAUUCAACCACUAGCUAGGAACGGUCAUUCCCGCCGUUUUGACCGCACUUUGAAACGGGCAUAAAAAAUUCAAAAAAAUCAAAAAUUUGGGAAACCUUCGCAUUGUUUCAUCAUAUGUGGCCAAGUUCCUAGGAAAAAUAACAAACUUGUAAUAUGGAAAUUAUUUUAAAAAAGUGUUCUCAGAAACAAGCUAUCAUGUGUGGAGAUCAAUGGCUUUCAAGCCAAAUGAUCAAUCUUAUGGCCACAUUCAUGGCAUACUUUGUUCAAAUGAUCUCAUAUUGUGCACAAGGGUGCAUAUUGGAAUGGCAAACAAUGUUGCCUAAGGAAGUUUUCAUUUUCGUUGGACGAAAAAACCAUUUUCCAUUUUUCGAGUGCCCGAAAGGAGGUUUUUUUUUGUGAAGGAACUACCAAAUAAUUGUUGCAAAAUUGGACCAAAUCAUUUUUAUAAAAUACUAGGCCAUAUUUAAUGCACAAUUGACAAAAUGGUUGGGUGUAAAAAAAAUUGAUCCACCUCUCGUGAAAAAGACAAAUUUCCGCCGAUUCAGCUGGAAGCGGGUCAAAUUUGAACUGCAGCUGCCUCAUAGUUUGCUAUUUAUUUUUUCCAAAAAUCAUUUCUAGUUACAUAAGUAUCUAUUUAAUUAGAGAAACACCAAAAGUUUUCCAAGAUUCAACCACUAGCUAGGAACGGUCAAGCCCGCCGUUUUGACCGCAUUUUGAAACGGGCAUAAAAAAUUCAAAAAAAAUCAAAAAAUUGGAAAACCUUCUCAUUGUGUCAUUAUAUGUGACCAAGUUUCCAUUAAAAAUAAUAAACUUGUAAUACGGUAAUUAUUUUAAAAAAGUAUUCUCAGAAAUGAGCUAUCAAGUGUGAAGAUUCAUGGCUUUCAAGCCAAAUGGUCAAUCUUAUGGCCAGAUUCAUGGCAUAGUUUAUUCAAAUGAUCUCAUAUUGUGCACAAGGGUGCAUAUUGGAAUAGCAAACAAUGUUGCCUAAGGAAGUUUUCAUUUUCGUUGGACGAAAAAACCAUUUUCCAUUUUUCGACUGCCCGAAAGGAGGUUUUUUUGUGAAGGAACUACCAAAUAAUUGUUGCAAAAUUGGACCAAAUCAUUUUUAUAAAAUACUAGGCCAUAUUUAAUGCACAAUUAACAAAAUGGUCUGGUGUAAAAAAUUUUGAUCCACCUCUCGUGAAAAAGACAAAUUUCUGCCGAUUCAGCUGGAAGCGGGUCAAAUUUGAACUGCAGCUGCCUCAUAGUUUGCUAUUUAUUUUUUCCAAAAAUCAUUUCUAGUUACAUAAGGACCUAUUUAAUCAUAAAUACAUGGUUUGGUGGCGAUAUGUCGAGGUUUGGGCGGUGGCCGAGGGCCCCAACUCUAGAGCGUGUAAACUUGCAUGCCCGCCGCGUGGUCACCGCGUGACCGUGGCGUUGCCAUGUGUUCUGGGCGGCCUAGGCAUGUCUAGUGGGUUGGGCACUCCCCAGGUUGGUGCUAGGAAGAAAAUUACAACAUAAGAUUCUCACGAGGAGACCAAUCGAUGCUCAAACAUGAAUUAGCAGCCAAGUGUUUGAUUAGCGGUACGGGAAAUGUACAUGGCUAAUGGGCGUGAGUUUUGGCUGAGGAUGAUCAGUUACUAAGAAGACCGUUUUCACAAAUUUUUAGCUCAAAAGGAGGAGCCUAGGUGGUACUUGCUUUGCAAACCACCACACUGGACAUAAAAUACGAAUGUUGAAGCUCGGCUCAAAAUAAUGAAUGGAUUGAGCUGGCAUUUGGUGGAGGAUGGUUAUUUGGGCAUAGGAAAGCACUGUAGAAAAUGGAUACUAUUUGGACAUGCCAAAGUGGUAAUUCCUUCACAAACUGUUGUUCUGAACAGAAUAGGAAAAUGAAUAUUUUUGAAUUAGUUUUGAACUAGGCAAGGAAGAUUUUUACAUAUUUGAUGAAGAUAUGACCCAAGGAAUUUAUGAGAUUUUUCUGGGAAUUUUGGGAAUGACAGAAAUAUAGGUUGCUUCACAACCUAGGGCAAAAACUGCCACAUGGACAUGACACAUAGGCAAAACUGAUGAGGUGGCGCCUAGUCAUAGCAACCCACCACAAUUUACAAGGCUAUGACCAUCUAUAUUGGUCGUUAACAACUAGAAAUAAGGCAGCGGACUAGCGUUGUUUGCUUUAUGACCAUUUCGUGUAAGGAAAUUACGACCUUUCUGACCAAAAUGGUCGCAAUGGUUUAGGGUUUGGAGCCCCCCAAACAGCUUUUGACCAAUUGGUCUAAAAUGGUCAUAAAUUUAUGACCAAUUCUUCGAGGGUCACUGACAGAAGGUCAUAAGUUGACAUAUUUCUUGUAGUGUUUGAAAUGUCAAACAAAAUCAAACAAAAACUUGGCGCGUACAUCUCGAUAUUAUACAUGCUCACAAAGUUGUUUCGCGAAAAACCGAUAGCUCACGUGUCGCGUGUGAAAAAGACAAAAACCGGUGUUAAAAAAUGCUUUUCACAAGACAUCCUUUUGUCUUUUUUUACGCAAGCCACAAAAAAUGUCGGUUUUCUCCGAAACUUGACAUGCACACAUAUAAUGUCGAGAUGUAUGCGCCAAAUUUUUGUUUGGAAUUUUUUCACACGUUGAAAUACUUGUUCGUGUGCAGGAGCGCGCGCUCCCGGGAGCACCAACGGAUAUCUGCAGAAUAGAUAAGCAGAAGGCACUACACGCCAAGAAGCCACAAAUGAUUUCCUGCAUCGAUUUGGUCAUCUUAGCGUUCAAUCUAGUCUUACAAUACCUAAUCCCAAACCCAAUCUCCCACGAAUACAAGUUGUAGAUGUCGUGCGCCUCACCUAGCGAGUAGCGAGUCGAACCCAGUCCCAGUUCUGGCUUGAUUACACUCUCCCUAGACUCCUCUGCACAUUUCCAAAUCGACUGCUCGAAUACCCUGAUCCUACAUGGACAAGGCCUUCUGUCCCAUGGUGAAUUCCUGAGGCGUAACCUGCUUUUUUGGCAACAUAGUCGAUUGGAUAGAUGCAGGCUUACCUCUUUUGUCCAUCCUGGUCCUCCGGAUUGACCCUAUCAGUGGACGCGGACCGCGUCGAAGACGCCUUUUGUCACCGGCUUCCUUCGCCACCUUGCUGCCCGCACCCAGACCCAACAUUGGAGUUCCCCGGCUCAGUCGGGUGGUGAAAGUGCAACUAUCCCUAGGUGGUUUUGGUAAUUGAUAACAACAUAUAGCUCAUUGAGCUCAUGCUAUUCCAAGACUAUUAUUUCAGGAAAGCUCAAUGAAUGGCAUGGCAUGGAUGAUGAAAGUGGAUCCCUCAAAAUACUAAGGACAAAGGUUUGGCUCAAGCUCAAAAGCUCAAGACUCUUCAUUUUAUAUUUUAGUGAUCCAAGAUCACAUUGAGUCUAUAGGAAAAGCCAAUACUAUCAAGGAGGGAUGAGGUGUUGCUUAAUGAGCCUCUUGCUUCAUGUGCUUUGUGAUAUGCUCCAAAACCCUCAGCUACUUUCCCACAUCCACAAAUGACCUAAACCCAAAGCCAAAAUCGGUCACACCGAUUAUUCCAAUCCGACGCCACCGAUUCCAAAAAUCAUAGCCACUGCCACAAACCCUAAGCAAAUUGGUCUUACCGAUAGGGAUCUCGGUCUCACCGAGAUGGGAUUGUAAUCUCUCUGUUUCCCUUCGUAACAUUUCGGUCUAACCGAAGUGAGCGAUCGGUCCCACCGAGAUUGCUAUGUAAACUCUCUGUUUCCCUUUUGUAACAUUUUGGUCUCACCGAAAAGAGCAAAUCGGUUCCACCGAGUUUACCUGACCAACUCUCUGGUUAGCUUAUUACAAAAAUCGGUUUCAUCGAGUUUGUGUAAUCGUUCUUAUCAAGAUUACUUUAUGCCCUAACCCUAACCGAAUCGGUCUCACCGAUAUGCAUGUCAGUCCCACCGAAAAUCACUAACGGUCACUAGGUUUACUAAAUCGGUCCGACCGAUUGUGUUGAAUCGGUCCCACCGAGUUUGGUAAAUUGUGUGUAACGGUUAGAUUUUGUGUGGAGGCUAUAUAUACCCCUCCACCUCCUCUUCAUUCGUGGAGAGAGCCAUCAGACUAAACCUACACUUCCAACUUACCAUUUCUGAGAGAGAACCACCUACUCAUGUGUUGAGGCCAAGAUAUUCCUUUCCUACCAUAUGAAUCUCGAUCUCUAGCCUUCCCCAAGUUGCUUUCCACUCAAACCCUCUUUCCACUAGAUCCAAAUCCUAUGAGAGAGAGUUGAGUGUUGGGGAGACUAUCAUUUGAAGCACAAGAGCAAGGAGUUCAUCAUCAACGCACCAUUUGUUACUUCUUGGAGAGUGGUGUCUCCUAGAUUGGCUAGGUGUCACUUGGGAGCCUCCAACAAGAUUGUGGAGUUGAACCAAGGAGUUUGUAAGGGCAAGGAGAUCGCCUACUUCGUGAAGAUCUACCGCUAGUGAGGCAAGUCCUUCGUGCGCGACGACCAUGGUGGGAUAGACAAGGUUGCUUCUUUGUGGACCCUUCGUGGGUGGAUCCCUCCGUGGACUCGCGCAGCCGUUACCCUUUGUGGGUUGAAGUCUCCAUUAACGUGGAUGUACGAUAGCACCACCUAUCGGAACCACACCAAAAACAUUCGUGUCUCCAAUUGCGUUUGAAUCCUCCAGACCCUUCCCUUUACUUUCUUGCAAGUUGCAUGCUUUAAUUUCUGCUGCCUAUAUACUCUUUGCAUACUUGCUUGAUUUGUGUGAUGAUUGCUUGACUUGUCCUAAGAUAGCUAAAAUCUGCCAAACUCUAAAAUUGGGAAAAAGUUAAGUUUUAAUUGGUCAAAUAGUCUAAUCACCCCCCCUCUAGACAUACUUCAAGGUCCUACAAGUGGUAUUAGAUCUUUGGUCUCCAUUUGCUUUGAUUUCCAUAGCUUUUGGUGGUCAUAGCCUUGGUUUCACAACCUAGGAGAGUAUGGCGUCUAGCGAGGGAAAUUAUCACCGUAGAGGUCCUUACUUUGAUGGUACUAAUUUUGCUAGUUGGAAGCAUAAGAUGAAAAUGCAUAUUCUCGGACAUAACCCCGCCGUUUGGGCAAUUAUUUGUAUUAGCUUGCAAGGUGAAUUCUUUGAUGGGAGAGAACCGAACUGUGAAGCGAAUGCAGAAGAAUUGAAGAUGCUGCAAUACAACGCUCAAGCUUGUGAUAUCAUCUUCAACGGAUUGUGCCCCGAAGAAUUCAACAAAAUCAGCCGUCUUGAGAAUGCAAAGGAAAUUUGGGAUACUUUGAUUGAUAUGCACGAAGGUACCGAAUCCGUCAUGGAAUCCAAGUUGGAUGUGCUCCAAAGUCAGCUUGACAAGUUCAAAAUGAAGGAUGGCGAAGGUGUCGCUGAAAUGUACUCUAGGCUUGCACUUAUCACAAAUGAGAUUGCCGGCUUAGGGAGUGAAGAGAUGACCGAUAAAUUCAUCAUCAAAAAGAUCCUAAGAGCAUUGGAUGGAAAGUAUGAUACCAUGUGCACUUUGAUUCAAAUGAUGCCAAACUACAAAGAUCUCAAGCCAACUGAAGUCAUUGGAAGAAUUGUUGCUCAUGAGAUGUCACUCAAGGAUAAGGAGGAACUUCACAACAAGUCAAGUGGUGCUUACAAAGCCUCAAGUGAAGCCCCCACAUAAUCAAGUGAGAAACAAACCUUCAAUGAAGAAUUGAGCUUAAUGGUGAAGAACUUCAACAAAUUCUACAAGAGUAGAAACAAAGAAAGAAGCUCCAAGUCAAGGUCUUAUCAUGAGAAAAGAUCUUCUAGUCAAGAGCGCAAUUGCUACAAUUGUGGGAGGCCUGGACACUACUCCAAUGAGUGUACGUCACCCUACAAUAGAAGAGAAGAUUCUCCAAAAAGAAGAAGCAAAAGAGAAGAAUCACCACCAAGGGAGAGGAGGAGUAGAGAUGAUCGUUAUGAACGAAGACCCUCACGGAGAAGCAAGGAUUCGUAAAGGAAGGACAAGUCAUCAAGGAGCUACACAAAACGAAGACAUCAAGCUCAUGUUGGUGAAUGGGUAUCCGACUCCGACUCCGACAAUCACUCCGAGAGAAGCUAUCACUCUGACUCCAAACAUACUCAAGAUGAAGGUGUUGCCGGUCUAGCACUUGUGUCAACCAACUCCUACGACAUAUUUGAUUCACCAAAUGAAGGAAUUGGAAGAUGCUUCAUGGCCAAAGGUCCAAAGGUAACACAUCCUGAGUAUGUUGAUUUCAAUAGUGAUGAAGAUGACUUGCUUGUGGAUGAUGAUUUACUUGUUGACAACUCUAGUGAUGAAUACUAUGAUGAAACGUCAAUUAAUCGCUAAUCAAGAUAAAACAAAUGACAAUGAUAAGGAGAAGAUUGAGCUUCUAACUAAAGAACUAAACACUCUUAAGUUGGCUCAUGAAACUAUCUUCGAAGAUCAUCGAGAACUUUUAAGGGCUCAUGAGAAGUUACGCUUUGAAAAUCUCAAUCUUGAGAAAGAGCAUGAGUUCUUAAAAGCAAUCAAUGAUGAUCUCCGUAAGAAAAGUUCUUCUUACAUUGCCAAGCGUUUACUCUUAUCUACUUACAUGCCUCAAGUCAAGUCUAGUAACAAGUACAAGAAAGAUACUUCCUCUAGUAGUAACAAUAAUAAUGUUAAAUCCAAUAUUUUUGUUUCUAGUAGUUCUCUUGAUUCCACUAAUGAUUCUCUUAGCCAAGUUACACUUGAGCAAGAAAAUAGUUUAUUGAAGGGAAUUAUAGAGAAAGGUGUUUACAAGAGCCUUGCCGGGAGCAAGCAAUUCAAGGAAAUUGUACGCAAGCAAGGAAGACACCGGAAGAAUCAAGGUGUUGGUUUUGAACAAAAGUUCAAUGCCAAUGGAGUUGAGUGGGAAGAAGAUCAAUACCCCAAGACGAAGUUUGUUCCUCAACAAGAGAAGUAUGAUCCUACUUCCUUCAAGGGAACACAAGCUCAAGAUGAUCUUCCACCACAAGACCACAAGAACAAAGGCAAGGACAAGCUUCAAGAAGAGAUUGAUGCAUUUGAAGAAGCACCUAAAGCCUCGGUCAAGUGGAUUCCCAAGACUACGUCAAGUUCUACUUCAUCAAGCACAACUACAACUCCAAGGAUUCCCAUCAAGAUGAUGUGGAUCCCGAAGAAGAAGAACUAGAGAGUUCUUGAGGGUGACUCCGCCAACAUUCUUCACUCAUAUCUUUAUGGCAAGGACAGGUGCAAUCAACUUCCACAUCUUGCACUAGUUCAAGGAGUCACAAACCCUCAUGUUGGUAAGGCAAGGGACAAGGUAACCUAAUGUUUUCAUGGACAUCAUCUUGUGUGUGCAUCACUCUAUGUCUAUGGAUAUUCUUGUUUGUUCCUUGUGGGACUAACCCAUGUAGGUAAGUUGAAAGUGCAACUCACUCCAAAGGAUUGCUCCAAAUGAUCUACAUCAACAUUGAGCAUCCACAUCUUCAACACGUACAUGAAGUCAUGAUCGGCAAAACCCAAGGUUAGUUCAUCCCUCUAAGGGGGGAUAUCACAUCUAGGGGGAGCUUAACUCUAAGAAUUGAGUCAAAGCAACUCUAAUGGUGUGAACACAUCAAUGCAUUAUGUAAAAGUGGUAACCCCACUUGAGCUUAAACGACGAGUAUGACCUAUGAUCAAAUGUUCUCAUUUGACUCCUAAGUCAAUAUACUCAUAUAUAGAUGACCUAGUCAUCGCCAAUUGUUUGGUAGAUGCUAGAAUUGUUUGUGCAUGCUUUGCCACAUAUUUCAUUUGCCAUUUUAUUGUGUGAGCAUGUUGGUGCAUAUUUUACUCAUUCAAGGACAUCCACUUGUUGUUUUGAUUGUUUGGUUCUUUCUUCUUUUGGCCAAGUGGAUGGACAAGAAUGCAUAAGAACCUUCUCUAGCUAUCUAUGCUUUUCUUGUCUCAAACUCUAUUCAUGCUACAUCACAAAAAUUGAUCAAGUCAGAUUCGAACCACUCUAUGUGAGGAGCACUCGGAGUCCCCGAUUCGUCAUAGACUUAAACUUCCAAAACCUCUUUGUGACUCUCGGUCUGACCGAUUCCUCCAUUUCGGUCCUACCGAGAUCAUUUAGUUGAUCUGAGUUUUCAAUCUCGGUGCAACCGAUUUGAACUUUUCGGUCACACCGAGUUGCUAUAACUGAACACAGUUAUGCAUCUCGGUGCCACCGAGUUGUUCUACUCGGUCACACUGACAGGGUCGGGCUAUAUAUAGUCACGGGCAAAAUUUUGGAAAUUUCUCCGAAUCCCUUCGCUCGUGCAAUAGCUCGCUCUGCCAUCGAAGGUCUCCUUGUUGCCAGCCGCCUCCUGUCGCUGGUCUCCGCCGCCGUCAACGGAAUUCAACCCCACCGUCGCCGCCGUAGCGAGUUCAUCGCCGCACUAGGGUAUGGACUCGAUCUUUGUGAUAUCCACAUCUGAUUCCUAGCAUAGUGUACUCUUAUUGAAUCUUGCCACGAUUGAAACAAUCCUAUCCAGCCAAAGUAGUCCGUAGAGUAGAUUAGAUUCAAAUUUUUAGGGUUAGGUUUCCGCCAAAACCAUCUCGUACCCACCGAGUUGAAAAACUCAGUCUCACCGAUUUGGCUUAUGCCAUUGCACUAGUGACUCUCGGUCUGAUCGAGAAUUACUAAUCGUGCGACCGAUUUUAGGAUUCUGUGAAACCCUAGCAGUCUCGGUGCCGCCGAACUGUGACUCGGUCCAACCGAGUUCAUCAGUUUAGGUUCCAAAAACUACUUCGGUAUCACUGAGUUUGAAAAUCGGUUGAUCCGAGAUGCUUUCUGUGGAAAACUAAAACUGAAUUUUUGAAUCAUUCUUUUGCAAAAAUCUAUGCAUUUGGUGAUACUCAUCCACUCUAUCUCAUCUAUAACUCUUCACAGGGUCAACAGUCAGUUUUUGCAACAUGUCAGACCAGAGUGACAGCCAGAACAGGUCAGCAGAGCAGAUUCAGAUGAGUGAGGGCACUAGUCCCUCCAGCACUUUAGAUGAAGGGAGCAGAAGCACUCCUAGCAACCUGCCUAAGGCUGCUACCAGGCAAAGGAGAAAGAGAACCUCAGACUCAGAAGAUGAGGACUACAAAGCUGAAGAAGAUGAGGCUACUUCCAAGAAAGUGGUGCUCAAGAAGGAAUAUGGCUCAACAAAGGAUACAAAGCCAGGCAUGAAGAUCAAAAGGCCUGCAGGAAGACAACCAAUGUCCAAGGCCAGAGCAUCAACUCAACUUCCUGAAAAGCCUGAUCCCAAAGAACCAGCUGCUGAAGGAAAGAAGAGGAAGGAAAAGGUCAAGAAGACCAUGGCCAGAGUUGUUGGUCAACCUUCCAUGAUGGAAGAGGAAGAGCUUGCUGCACCAGCACCAAAGGCACCAAAGCUUAUGGGUGAUGCUAUUAGAUGAGGGGCUGCAACAACUAAGCCCAAGGAAGCACCCAAAGUUGCCCCCAAGGCCAAGUCUGCACCAAAGAGGAAUACCAGGAGUAUUCCAGCUACUGAGAAGAACAAGGCCCUAGUGCCCGAGGUUGCUGAGGAGGAAGAUGAAGGACAGGUCCUAAGGAAGCUCAAGCCUAAGAUACCAGACCACAAUGAGGCCCAUCCUGUGGCUAAGGACAACAUCAGAAAAGACUCACGAUUGAGGCUAUGGAGGAUGGUAGAUCCAUAUGCCACAAGGAGAAGAACUGCUGUUGAUUACAGGUUCCAUUCAAAGGAACAGCAGGACUUCUAUGAGACAAUCUUAUUGGACAAGAAGCCCAUUGUGUGUGAUAUGAGGUGGGUCGACUGGACCUACAUGAAGGAGAAUGAAGAGCACUAUCCUGGAGUGCAAGACAACUUUGUUGCUUAUGGAGUUGCAGAUUUUGUUGGGCAAAAGCUCACAAACUAGAAUGAUGAACUUAUCAUGCAAUUCUACUCCACAGCACAUUUUUACCUAGAUGGAAGAAUUGUUUGGAUGUCUGAAGGUACAAGGUACCAAUCCACUGUUGAAGAAUGGGAAAAACUAAUAAAUGCCCCAAAGGAAAAUGAUGAUGAUCUGGAUAUAUAUGCCAUGAAGAAAAUGGGAAACAAUACCAUGGCACACAUGUACAAGGAGAUCCCAGACAAAGCCCUAGAGACUUUCUCUUUUGGAUCAGUCCAUUUUCUGUUGUCGGGGCUGCCUACUAUCAAUUGGAUUCUGAGGCACACUCUGUUGCCCAAGUCUGGUGACCACAACAUGAUCAGAGGGCAUGCAAUCAAUAUGUUGCAUUUAUUUGUGCCAUAGAAAUUCAAAGUCAUGAGCCUUAUAGUUGAAACCAUUAAGAGGACUGCAGCAGAUCAGAAGAGGAGCUGUGCAUAUGCGCCUCAGAUUCAGGAAUUGAUCAACUCAAAGAUGGGAACUGGCAAAUAUCUAUUGGAUAGGGAACAUUUUCCACUCUAUCCAGACUUUGAAGACAAUGAGGUUGUCAUGAAUGAGGAUGAUCCAUCAUCAGUUCAAGCUCAAGAGAAAAAGGAGAAGGAAAGGAAGGAGAAGGCUGCCAAGAUGCCAACUCAAGAGGAGGCAUCUGAGUAUUUCUUGAAGAACAAGCAGGAGCAGCUUGGUUACUUGAUAGCAUCAUCUCUGAGGAUUGAGAAGGGAUUGGCCACCCUCACUCAGAAUCAGGAGAGCUUGGAGAGAAUCAUGGAACUCAAAUUUCAUGAUCUUGAUGUCAAGGUAACUGAGAUUCAAACAGUUGUGGAGAAACUGCAGGAUGACAUGCAGGAGAGGAAUGGCAAGACUACCACUAAUGUCUUUGCCAGAGUGCCUAGAGCUCAGAGGCCAGCUGUUGUGCCAGUGCCAGAUACUAGAGCAACAUCUUCAGCACCAGCUACUGCCCCUUUAUCUCCAGUGCAACCAGCUUCAGCAUCAACUCCAGCACCCUCUACAUUAACUGAAGCCUUCGUCCAAGGAGCCAUCUCUACACCACCAACUGAAGAUCAAGCCUGAGAGUCGAUCUAGCACUAUGCAUUUUCUAUGAACUUUUUGGUAACUUGUUGCCAAAGGGGGAGAAAAAUGUAUAGAUCAUAGGCUUCGAGAGAGAGAGUGUGUUGCUUUUAUUCUCUCUUGCUUUGUUGGUUUAAACUUGUUUGUUUUUGAUUGUUUGAGAUACUAUGCUUGUGAGACAUUGAUGAUCAUGUGUUUGAUCAUAAGCUACACUUAUGCAUGUUGGAUGAUAUUAUCCUAUCUAUCUUAUGUGAUCAUUCACUUUGCUUGGUGAUGAGUGCAUGUAUUCAUUACUUAUCAUUUUGAGCGCUCCACCAAGAUGUAUGUGACAUGGAAGAGUAACCCAUGAGCCUAAUUCCUUGUGCAUUUGCAGUCCAAAGCAAAUUUUAAAUUAUGCACAAAUUUAGGGGGAGCUAUUUCUUAUCACAUACUUCUCAAAGCGACGAAGUUAUUCAAUCUUAUUAUCAUUUGUCGAAGCUUUGAUCUACAUGUUGUCAUCAAUUACCAAAAAUGGGGAGAUUGAAAGUGCAACUAUCCCUAGGUGGUUUUGGUAAUUCAUAACAACAUAUAGCUCAUUGAGCUAAUACUAUUCCAAGACUAUUAUUUCAGGAAAGCUCAAUGAAUGCCAUGGCAUGGAUGAUGAAAGUGGAUCCCUCAAAAUACUAAGGACAAAGGAUUGGCUCAAGCUCAAAAGCUCAAGACUCUCCAUUUUAUAUUUUAGUGAUCCAAGAUCACAUUGAAUCUAUAGGAAAAGCCAAUACUAUCAAGGAGGGAUGAGGUGUUGCUUAAUGAGCCUCUUGCGUCAUGUGCUUUGUGAUAUGCUCCAAAACCCUCAGCUACUUUCCCACAUCCACAAAUGACCUAAACCCAAAGCCGAAAUCGGUCACACCGAUUCUUCCAAUCCAGCGCCACCGAUUCCAAAAAUCAUAGCCACUGCCACAAACCCUAAGCAAAUCGGUCUUACCGAUAGGGAUCUCGGUCUCACCGAGAUGGGAUUGUAAUCUCUCUGUUUCCCUUUGUAACGUUUCGGUCUAACCGAAGUGAGUGAUCGGUCCCACCGAGAUUGCAAUGUAAACUCUCUGUUUCCCUUUUGUAACAUUUCGGUCUCACCGAAAAGAGCAAAUCGGUCCCACCAAGUUUACCUGACCGACUGUCUGGUUAGCUUAUUACCAAAAUCGGUUUGACCGAGUUUGUGUAAUCGGUCUUACCGAGAUUACGUUAUGCCCUAACCCUAACUGAAUUGGUCUCACCGAGAUGCAUGUCAGUCCCACCGAAAAUCACUAAUGGUCACUAGGUUUACUAAAUCGGUCCGGCCGAGUCUGUUGAAUCGGUCCCACCGAGUUUGGUAAAUUGUGUGUAACAGUUAGAUUUUGUGUGGAGGCUAUAUAUACCCCUCCACCUUCUCUUCAUUCGUGGAGAGAGCCAUCAGACUAAACCUACACUUCCAACUUACCAUUUCUGAGAGAGAACCACCUACUCAUGUGUUGAGGCCAAGAUAUUCCAUUCCUACCAUAUGAAUCUUGAUCUCUAGCCUUCCCCAAGUUUCUUUCCACUCAAACCCUCUUUCCACUAGAUCCAAAUCCUAUGAGAGAGAGUUGAGUUUGGGGAGACUAUCAUUUGAAGCACAAGAGCAAGGAGUUCAUCAUCAACGCACCAUUUGUUACUUCUUGGAGACUGGUGUCUCCUAGAUUGGCUAGGUGUCACUUGGGAGCCUCUGACAAGAUUGUGGAGUUGAACCAAGGAGUUUGUAAGGGCAAGGAGAUCGCCUACUUCGUGAAGAUCUACCGCUAGUGAGGCAAGUCCUUCGUGGGCGACGGCCAUGGUGGUAGACACGGUUGCUUCUUCGUGGACCCUUCGUGGGUGGAGCCCUCCGUGGACUCGCGCAGCCGUUCCCUUCGUGGGUUGAAGUCUCCAUCAACGUGGAUGUACGAUAGCACCACCUAUCGGAACCACGCCAAAAACAUCUGUGUCUCCAAUUGCGUUUGAAUCCUCCAGACCCUUCCCUUUACUUUCUUGCAAGUUGCAUGCUUUAAUUUCCGCUGCCUAUAUACUCUUUGCAUGCUUGCUUGAUUUGUGUGAUGAUUGCUUGACUUGUCCUAAGAUAGCUAAAAUCUGCCAAACUCUAAAACUGGGAAAAGGUUAAGUUUUAAUUGGUCAAGUAGUCUAAUCACCCCCCUCUAGACAUACUUCAAGGUCCUACAGGUGGGAAUCACUGCAUAACUGGAUCGGGAUGCUCAAACCUGUUCGUAAACUUCUCCGGCAGAGGAAACCUGCAAGACACACCAUGGCUACUGGUGGUGGAAGUGGGAUGAGGGGACAAGGGUUGUACGAAGCACCAAAUCUCAAAAAUUGACAUGGAUGAGGGGGCGGGUUGAUCUGACCGGCUAACAGCAUCCAACAGGAACUCAAGCCCCGCAUCCUCCAUCGCCGACACCGUCGGAACCAGCAGAAGCCGCCGCAAUUAUGGAUGGAGUGGGCUGAUGGGAGGGCGGGUUUGGCGGACCUCCUAUGGGCGGUCUCAAUCCUCGAUUGAUCUACCAAGAAAAGUCCACAAAUUCGUCCGUGUGACGGCUCAGGUUUUUCACGUAACCCUGGGCCACGGCUCAAACAGAAAUUCUCUGUCCUGGCCCACGGAGCAUGAAAUCCUGCGCGAGUCGAGGCUCCCAUCCCUACUUAAUUGGCCCCACACACGGUCGCAUUGUUUCAUGCCGUAUACAAGACGUAUCUUCAUUAUUUGCCGGUGCAUAUUUUCUUGGGAAAAACAUCCAAUAUAUUCAACUUCAAUCAUGGCGGUAAACACUAGAUAUAAUUAAAAUUAUAUACAGAUCCGUAGACCACCUAGCGACGACUACAAGAACUAAAGCGAGCCGAAGGCGCGCCGCUGUCAUUGCCCCUCCCUUGCCGGAGCUAGGCAAAACUUGUUGUAGUAGACAGCCAGGAAGUCAUCGUGCUAAGGUCCUAUAGGACUAGCACAUCAGAACAGCAACCGCCGCCGAUGAAGAGUAGCGUAAAUCGGAAGGAUCCAACCUGAAAACACACGAACAUAGACGAACGACGAACAUAUCCAAGCAUAUCCACCAAGGACAAAUCUACCGGAGACACACAUCCACACGCCCAUCGACAAUGCUAAAUGCACCAUCAGAACUGGGGCUAGGCGAGGAGAGCCUUAUUCCAUCUUAGGGAGCAGCCACUGUAUCGUCUUCCUGAGUUGGACACAAACCCUAACAAAUCACGAAGACACAUCAAAAAACCGAGCCCUCCUCCACCGCGCUCCCAUGACCCUAAGGAAAACCGCAGAUGAGGUGGACUGGCGACAACACCGGUGGGAGGCACGGGAAUCCUAGUUGGGGAGGAGGAGGCGGCCUGAGGAGUCAUGUAAUGUCCUUUCUAGGUUCACCGGUUGGCCCCUUCUAUUCUGUCGAUGCAUACCUGACACGUCAGAACGAAUUGUUGCAAUCCCCAGGCAACAGCGAAUGCUAGAGAUUUCCGGAGCAGCUAAGCUCGAGCACUGAAUCGCUGCGUCCGGGGAGCUAGUAGCCAGACGAGAAACCGAGCGUGUGUAAAGCGCUAAACUACACUGUCCCAACAGAGCGUGCGUGUGAGUGUUGAUGUGCCAACCAACGCCAUAAGCAUGGUAGAGGAGCGCUCCUGCAACUUGUUGCCUCAAAUAGGUGGGAAAACACAUAAGGACACGCACUGGUCGGCCCAUUCAUUUCAUACUGUACCAACUCGAUGGCGAAGAUUUUUUCGGUGUUGUACACUUUCAAGCGCUUUUUUCAAUUAGGGGUUUUCUUUGUCAUAUUUUCAAAAACAUUAGAAAAACGUAUUUAUUGAAAAACUAAGUAUUGAGUUUUUAUAAUAAUUAUACAAAAUGUGAACAUUUUUAAAACAUGAAUGUUUUUCAUAAUGCUAACCAUUUUUUCAUGUUUUGAACAUUUUUUCAAAAACACCAAUAUUUUUUGAAAACACUAAAAAAUUGUGAAAACAUUCAAAUGAAAUUAUACAUUUUGAAAAAAAUAUUCAUAUAUUUAAUAAACAAGAACAUUUUUGAACAUUUUGUGAAAAACCCGAAAAAGAACAAAAGAAAACAAAAAUAAAACCAGCAAAAGAAGAAAACCUAAAAAACCGGAUUCCUUAAUGCAUCAUAAUAAUGCACGACUAUUUUUUAUGAAUAUGUCUUCGAAUCAAAAAUGUCUUUCAUACAUGUGUUUGCCUAUACCUCACUUUUAGUCAGGCAAAAGAACACAAGGCCUCAGGCCCCUGUAUUGUAACCUAGGGAUCCUUCAUUAUGCAGGAAGCCGACUUGUCCAGGGCCUCGUAGGUCGGCUUGUCCAGGGCCUCGUAGGCCUCGUAGGUCGGCUUAUCCAGGGCCAUCAAUCCGGCUCAUGGACCCAAUUAGAGAAAGGCCCGGGGGACUUGGAGUGGGUGACAGGGCGACUAGCGUCCAGGAGAACUCCUCCAACGACCAACUACGAUCGUGUAAUCCUACACCCCGACACCCAUAUAUGUGGCGGCUGGAUUAGUCAAUAGACAGAGAACCUUAGAGCUAUUUCUCAAUCCAUCGAUUAUUGUAAGCCCUAUACACGAGCAAUAUACAGAGCAGGGGUUAGGAUUUUACCUCAUACAUGAGGGUCUGAACCUGGAUAAACCCCUUCUUAUUUCCCAUUUGGUUUAAUCGCAUGGCCAGAGUACCUUAUCAAGUGAUCUGCCGGAAAUAACUCCACCACGUCAUAAAUGGGCUAGGGCCAGAUUUUUUUUCUCCUUUUCUCUUAUUUUGUUUCUACUUUUGGUUCAAUUUUAAAAAUACUGUAAAUAUAUAUAUUUGGAAAUAUUCUUCAUUAAUUAUUAAUAACAUUCACCAUGCCUGAAAUAUUGGUCAUGAAAUGUAAUUAUUUGUUUGCACAAUUUCAGAAAUUGUUCAUAUCCUUCAAAAGAAUAUUCCUAUCAUUUUUAAAAUGUUUGCAUGUUUAAAAAAUGAGUGGUUUUUUAACAAUGUUUAUUAAAAUAUAUAAAAAUUGACACUGUAAUUUGUAAAAAAGUUCAUACCAUUCAAAAAAUGUUUAACAAUUUAAAAAUGUUCAAACAUUUUAAUUUUAAGUAUUUUUUAGUAAACAAUAUUGAAAUAGAAAAAAAAAUUGACGAAAACUUAAAAGUUUAUAACAUAUAAAAAUGUUUGUAAAAUUUUCAAAUAUGUUCAUAAACACUUACGAAAUGUUUGGCACUUUUACGGAUAUGUUGAUGUCUUAAUUUUUUUGAAAACUAUCAAUGAAAUUUACAAAAAUGUUCCUAACAGCCAGAUCUGGACUCAACAAGCCCCCGCGUCCCCUCCUCUGGCGACUCGGGGGCCACCCUACCCGCGCUGCCAGCAGACCUCCCCCACCCCAUCCCCUGCUUUGCCGCCGCCGGAGGGGACGCGGGCUAAGCCGCACAUACUCCAAGGAUGGUGGCGGCGGGGCUCUCAUGGCUGGCGUUCUCGCGAAUCCGGGGCCUCUGCUCAAGAGGACGAUGGGCGUCGGUGGCCGCGUCACGCGACGGAUGCCGCUCGGUGGUCGGCGCUAAGCGCGGAUCUGGGUCGCUCUGCGCGAAGUGAGGGCGGCCGGAGCUCUGGUCGGCGUCGGGGGCACGGUGCCGGCCUCCGUGCUCCGGUGGCCCGCCCUAGAUCAAGAUGCGGCAUCCUGCCCAUGGCCUCGCCUCCUGAUGGUUCUGGGCCAGCCGCGGUUCGCGUCGGGGUGGAUCUGGAGGCUUGUUGGUGAUGCGUUUCGCUGGACUGGCUGAAUCCAAUUAGAUCGGCCCAUGGUCGUCUGGCGUGGGGCAGAGGAGGGUGGUGGUGAGUGGUGCUGGUGGAGGUGGUGGGGGGUGGUGGCAGUGCUGCUGCUGCCGAUCUUGACCUCACUGCCUUCUGUUGGCAUGCGAGCGCAUCGGUUCUGGUCUCCAACGGUUGCGCAGUGGCACACAUGGGGUGUGCCGGUGCUCCUGAUGUAUGCCUGCAGCCCGGACUAUGGUGGUUCCUAGCCUCGGGCAGUGCUCCUCUGCUCCUUGCCAGCAUGGUGCUUGGCAGGGCACGGUGGCACACACUACGUCCGGUGGCCUGCGCUCGGUUGGCUGUUGAUGGAUCUUGUGCCUAGUGCUCAUGUUUGGUCGUUGGUGGUCUCCACAGGGUGUUGUUGGCUCCGGCAGCUUCUCGUGCUUCUUUGUCUUUCGAAGGGUUCGAUGGUGGUGGUGGUCGGUUGUCGUCAUGUUGUAGGGAUGUGCUCAAACUCCGGGUGAGAACCUUACAUCGACUAUGUUGAUGUCGGCAGCAACAACGUCUAUGGCCGUCGUUUUCCUUGCAGGAGGUGCCGUUGUGGAGCUCCAGCACCUACAAUACUUUGUUUUGUGGUCUCCGGGUGAAAACCUAAGAUUGGGCUUGCCAGAUCGGAUGACGGUGUUGUGCCCUCAACAACACUACCUCCUUGGAGGCAUCAUCUUGGAGACCCAAACGACGGCUUCAGUUUGCGGCAUGUGGUUGAGGGUGGUCCGUUUGGUGGUGGUGGUGUGGCCUACUCAGGACCGAUGGUGGUGUGCUCUUCUUCAUGUGUUUCCCUCACUACAAAAAAAAGACACAUCCGUGACAUUUUGAGCCGAAUGAAUUUUUUUUCUGUCAUAUUUAUGACACUUCUAUGACGAUAAUUGUGACAAAACCCGGUAUCAUCAUAGAUGUGGUGGGCUCCUACUUCUAUGACAAAAAAUCAUGACAGAAAAUGGGCUUUUUGUCUUGGGCGGGCCGGAGACGCAGCUGCAUGACAUUCUUUGGGCCAUCCAUGACGGAAAAAACCAUGGUAGAAGUGAGGACGAGGAAAAAUUCGUCGAGUUCCCGGUUACGGUGGGAGGUCGGGGGCCGAGCGAUGCACGUUUAUCUCAUACACGUACGCGCGUGUGUGCGAGGCGUUGGCUCUAACUGAACCCGAGUGAGGCGUUGGGCUCUAACUGAAACCGAGUGAUUGCACUACAGGCUACACAUUACUGAACCCGAGCGAUCGAGCGAUGGCUUUAACUGAAGCCGAUUGAGCGAUUCCUUCGCUACUGCUGCUAACUGAAGCCAAUCGAUGCUGCCUCUGGAUGAACAGNNNNNNNNNNNNNNNNNNNNNNNNNNNNNNNNNNNNNNNNNNNNNNNNNNNNNNNNNNNNNNNNNNNNNNNNNNNNNNNNNNNNNNNNNNNNNNNNNNNNNNNNNNNNNNNNNNNNNNNNNNNNNNNNNNNNNNNNNNNNNNNNNNNNNNNNNNNNNNNNNNNNNNNNNNNNNNNNNNNNNNNNNNNNNNNNNNNNNNNNNNNNNNNNNNNNNNNNNNNNNNNNNNNNNNNNNNNNNNNNNNNNNNNNNNNNNNNNNNNNNNNNNNNNNNNNNNNNNNNNNNNNNNNNNNNNNNNNNNNNNNNNNNNNCCUCGUGGAGGCUGGAUGAACAGGACGACCCCGUGGAGGGCUGGAUGAACAGUAGAAGGUGGAGGGGUGGAUGAACAGGAGCUCGUGGAGAGGGGUGGUUGAACAAUAGCCUUUGGAGUAGCGCGCGGUGGAGGCUGGAUGAACAGGAGCUCGUGGAGGCUGGAGGAGGUCGAUGGUGGAUGAACAGUAGCCCCGUGAGGCUGGAGGAGGUCGACGGUGGAGAUGAACAGUAUCCCGUGGAGUCGUUUUGUGGUAUGCCACACCCCUCCCAAUGAACAAGACCCCCGUUUCGACCGUAGCGCUCCAACACAAGUUCGUUUCAUCCGUUUUGCGGUACGCCACACCCCUCCUGAUCAACAGGACCCCCGUUUCGACCGUAGGAGGUCCGUUUCCUCCGUUUUGCAGUACGCGAGACCCCUCCCUAUGAACAGGAUCCUGUUUCGAACGUGGCUGGUAGAACACAAGGCCGUUUCCUCCGUUCUGCGGUACACCAGGCCUCAUUUCCAUCGCCUGUUCCAUCCAAGCCGGUUGGCUCCCACACGUUCCGUUGCCUCCCGAUGAACACGACGAAUUCCGUUUCCUCCCCAUGAACACGACGCAUCCCGUUGCGUCCCCAUGAACACGACGACGACGCAGUUUCUCUGUUCCGACCCGCCAUGUGCACGAGCCCUGGCCGUACAUAUGCGUGAGUAGGCGUUCAAGACCCCACCCAUAUGUACAUAAGUGGCCAUAUUUACUUUCUUGCACCCUGGCCGUUGUACGUACGUGUACAUGCUACGUGUGCGCCUCUACUAAAACACGUGCGCGCCUCUACAUCGACCAAUAUGUACGUACACGUUCGCGACCAGAAUGACAAUGCUACGUACACUUCGACCAGGUGGGUCCCGACUGUCAGGCAAUUCCUUGCGUGCGAAGAUGUAGCUGGUGGGUCCCAGCAGUCAGGGGGUGAAUCGUUUUUUUGCCCGGACGCACUUCCUUGCGUGCGAAGAUGUAGCUAGUGGGUCCCAGAAGUCAGUGGGCGAAUCAUUUUUUUGCCUGUAAUAUGGAUGCACUUCCUUGCAUGCGAAGAUGUAGCUGGUAGGUCCCAGCAGUCCAGGGGGAAAUUUUUUUUUCACGAAAUACGGUGGCCCAUCCGGUGGGUCCCCGCUGUCAGGUGGAGGAAUAAUUAUUUUUCGCAUAAUAAAGAGGCACUUCCUUGCGGCUGCCGUGGACCCAGCUGUCAGCCUCACCACGUACAGUACUCUUCCAAUGGAAUUCGGUAGUUGACCACAUUGACCACGCCGCGCCGAGAGCACCACGGCGGUGGAUGACGGCGAGACCUAGGAAGGGAACGAAGCGGAGAUGCUACCUCUUGAGCACUGCGUUGGAUUUCCCCGAAGAGGAGAGGAUGAUGCAGCAAAGUAGCGUAAGUAUUUCCCUCAGUUUUUGAGAACCAAGGUAUCAAUCCAGUAGGAGACUACGCACAAGUCCCUCGUACCUACACAAAACGAUAGCUCCUCACAACCAAUGCGAUUAGGGGUUGUCAAUCCCUUCACGGUCACUUACGAGAGUGAGAUCUGAUAGAGAUGAUAAAUAAUAUUUUUGGUAUUUUUGGUAUAUAGAUGCAAAGUGAAAAGUAAAAGGAAAAGUAAGAACCAAGCAAGUAAUAAAGUAAUGGAGAUUGAUAUGAUGAGAAUAGACCCCAGGGCCAUAGGUUUCACUAGUGGCUUCUCUCAAGAGCAUAGAUAUUCUACGGUGGGUGAACAAAUUACUGUUGAGAAAUUGACAGAAUUGAGCAUAAUUAUGAGUAUAUCUAGGUAUGAUCAUGUAUAUAGGCAUCACGUCCAAGACAAGUAGAUCGAAACGAUUCUGCCUCUACUACUAUUACUCCACUCAUCGACCGCUAUCCAGCAUGCAUCUAGAGUAUUAAGUUAAAAACAGAGUAAUGCCUUAAGCAAGAUGACAUGAUGUAGAGGGUUAAAUUCAUGCAAUAUGAUAAAAACCCCAUCUUGUUAUCCUCGAUGGCAACAAUACAAUACGUGCCUUGCUGCCCCUUCUGUCACUGGGAAAGGACACCGCAAGAUUAAACCCAAAGCUAAGAACUUCUCCUAUUACAAGAACUACCAAUCUAGUUGGCCAAACCAAACGGAUAAUUCGAAGAGACUUGCAGAGCUAACUCAAUCAUACAUAAAAGAAUUCAGAGAAGAUUCAAAUAUUAUUCAUAGAUAAGAUGGAUCAUAAACCCACAAUUCAUCGGUCUCAACAAACACACCGCAAAAAGAAGAUUACAUCGAAUAGAUCUCCACGAGAGAGGGGGAGAACAUUGUAUUGAGAUCCAAUAAGAGAGAAGAAGCCAUCUAGCUACUAGCUAUGGACCCGAAGGUCUGAAGUAAACUACUCACACUUCAUCGGAGGGGCUAUGGUGUUGAUGUAGAAGCCCUCCGUGGUGCAUGCCCCCUCCGGCGGAGCUCCGGAACAGGCCCCAAGAUGGGAUCUUGUGGAUACAGAAGGUUGCAGCGGUGGAAUUAGGUUUUUGGCUCCUCCCCUGAUCGUUUGGGGUACGUAGGUAUAUAUAGGAGGAAGGAGUAUGUCGGUGGAGCAACAGGGGGGCCACGAGGCAGGGGGCGCGCCCUAGGGGGGGGGCACCCCCGACCCUCGUGACCGACUCUUUUGUUCCUUGGAGUAGGGUCCAAGUCUCCUGGAUCAUGUUCGGUGAGAAAAUCACGUUCCCGAAGGUUUCAUUCCGUUUGGACUCUGUUUGAUAUUCCGUUUCUUCGAAACACUGAAAUAGGCAAAAAACGGCAAUUCUGGGCUGGGCCUCCGGUUAAUAGGUUAGUCCAAAAAUAAUAUAAAAGUGGAAAAUAAAACCCAAUAUAGUCCAAAACAGUAGAUAAAGUAGCAUGGAGCAAUCAAAAAUUAUAGAUACGUUGGAGACGUAUCGGGCAUCCCCAAGCUUAAUUCCUGCUCGUCCUCGAGUAGGUAAAUGAUCAAAAGAGAAUUAUUGAUGUGGAAUGCUACCUAGCAUAAUUCUCAAUGUAAUUUUCUUUAUUGUGGCAUAAAUGUUCAGAUCCAAAUGAUUCAAAAUAAAAGUUCAUAUUGAUAAAAGAAAUAUUAACACUUCAAGCAUACUAAUCAAAGUAAUCAUGUCUUCUCAAAAUAACAUGGCAAAAGAAAGUUCAUCCCUACAAAAUCAUAUAGUUAGGCUAUGCUUCAUUUUCGUCACACAAAGAUGUUCCCAACUUCUAUACCCCCGAUGACAAGCCAAGCAAUUGUUUCAUACUCAAAUAAUCUCAAACUUCUUCAACCUUCACGCAAUACAUGAGCUUGAGCCAUGGAUAUAGCACUAUGGGUGAAAUAGAAUAUGAUGAUGGGGAUUGUGUGGAGAAGACAAACAAGGAGAAAGUCUCACAUUCACGAGGAUAAUCAACAGGCUAUGGAGAUGCCCAUCAAUUGAUGUCAACAUGAGGAGUAGGGAUUGCCAUGCAACGGAUGCACUAGAGCUAUGAAUGCUCAACAAAAGUAAAACUAGUGGGUGUGCAUCCAACUCGCUUGCUCAUGAAGACCUAGGGCAUUUGAGGAAGCCCAUGGUAGGAAUAUACAAGCCAAGUUCUAUAAUGAAAAAUUCCCACUAGUAUAAAAAGACAACUUAUGAGACUCACUACAUGAAGAACAAGGUGCUACUUUGAAGCACAAUAUAUGAGACUCACUACAUGAAGAACAAGGUGCUACUUUGAAGCACAAGUGUGGAAAAGAGAUAGUAGCAUUGCCCUUUUUAUUUACUUUCUUUUUUUAUUUUUUUUAUUUUUUGGGCCUUUCUUCCUUUUUUUUCUUUUUUUUCUUUUUUGGCAAUGCUCUAAUAAUGAUGAUCAUCACACUUCUAUUGAUUACAACAUAAGGAUUACAACUCGAAACUUAGAACAAGAUAUGACUCUAUAUGAAUGCCUCCGGCGGUGUACAGGGAUGGUGCAAUGAAUCAAGAGUUACAUGUAUGAAAAAUAAUGCAUGGUGGCUUUGCCACAAAUACGAUGUCAACUACAUGAUCAUGCAAUGGCAAUAUGACAAAAGUAAUGUAUGUCAUGAUGAUGAUGAUGGAAGUUGCAUGGAAAUAUAUCUCGAAAUGGCUAUGGAAAUGCCAUGAUAGGUAGGUAUGGUGGCUUUUUUGAGGAAGAUAUAAGGAGGUUUAUGUGUGAUAGAUCGUAUCGUAUCACAGGGUUUGGAUGCACCGACGAAGUUUGCACCAACUCUCAAGGUGAGAAAGGGCAAUGCACGGUACCGAUGAGGCUAGCAAAGGCGGAAAGGUAAAAGUGCGUAUAAUCCAUGGACUCAACAUUAGUCAAAAGAACUCAUAUACUUAUUGCAAAAAUUUAGAAGUCAUCAAAAAUCAAGUACUACGCGCAUGCUCCUAGGGGGAUAGAUUGGUAGGAAAAGACCAUCGCUCGUCCCCGACCGCCACUCAUAAGGAUGCACAAGCCAGGUACACUUCAUGUUUCAAAUUUUUUACACAACUUUAACCAUACGUGCAUGCUACGGGACUUGCAAACUUCAACACAAGCAUCUCAAAUUCACAAUUACUCAACUAGCACGACUUUUAUAUUAUCACCUCCAUAUCUCAAAACAAUUAUCAAGCAUCAAACUUAUCUUAGUAUUCAACGCACUCAAAAGAAAGUUUCACAUAUCUUGAAUACCAAGUAUAUUAAUAUUAAGCAAAUUACCAUGCUAUUAACGACUCUCAAGAUAAUCUAAGUGAAGCAUGAGAGAUCAAUAGUUUCUUUAAAACAAAUCCACCACCAUGCUCUAAAAGAUCUAAGUGAAGCACUAGAGCAAAAAUUAUCACGCUCAAAAGAUAUAAGUGAAGCACUAUGAGCAAAACUAUCAAGCUCAAAAGAUAUAAGUGAAGCACAUAGAGUAUUCUAGCAAAUUCCAAUUCAUGUAUGGCUCUCUCAAAAGGUGUGUACAGCAAGGAUGAUUGUAGUAAACUAACAAGUAAAGACAAAAAUAAUACAAGACGCUCCAAGCAAAACACAUAUCAUGUGGUGAAUAAAAAUAUAGCUCCAAGUAAAUUACCGAUGGAAGUAGACGAAAGAGGGGAUGCCUUCCGGGGCAUCCCCAAGCUUUGAAUUUUUGGUUUCCUUGGAUUAUCUUUGGGGUGCCAUGGGCAUCCCCAAGCUUAGGAUCUUGCCACUCCUUGUUCCAUAAUCCAUCAAAAGAAUUCACCCAAAACUUGAAAACUUCACAACACAAAACUCAAUAGAAAUCUCGUGAGCUCCGUUAGAGAAAGAAAACAAAAAACUACUUAAAGGUACUGUAAUGAACUCAUUCUUUAUUUAUAUUGGUGUUAAACCUAAUGUAUUCCAACUUCUCUAUGGAUUAUAAACUAUUUUACUAGCCAUAGAUUCAUCAAAAUAAGCAAACAACACACGCAAAACAGAAUCUGUCAAAAACAGAACAGUCUGUAGCAAUCUAUAACUAACGCAAACUUCUGGAACUCUAAAACUCCUACCAAAAUAGGAAGUCCUGUACAAUUUUUUUAUUGAACAGAAUAAAAAAGAAUCAACGCAAAAUCACGUUUCUGUGAUUUAAAAAAAUUAUAUUCGUGCGUGCAAAGUUUCUGUUUUUCAGCAGAAUCAAAUCAACUAUCAUCGUAGGUUAUCCUAUAGGUUCUACUUGGCACAAACACUAAUUAAAAUAUAAAACCACAUCCAAACAGAGGCUAGAUGGAUUAUUUAUUCCUAAACAGAAGCAAAAACAAAAAAACAAAAAUAAAAUUGGGUUGCCUCCCAACAAGCUCUAUUGUUUAACGCCCCUAGCUAGGCAUAAAAGCAAGGAUAGAUCUAGGUAUUGCCAUCUUUGGUAGGCAAUCCAUAAGUGGAUCUCAUGAUAAAUUCAUAUGGUCAUUUUAUUUUCUUUCUAGGGAAGUUUUCCAUGCCCUUCUUUAAGGGAAAUUGUAAUCUAAUAUUCCCUUCCUUCAUAUCAAUAAUUGCACCAAUCGUUCUAAGGAAAGGUCUACCAAGAAUAAUAGGACAUGAAGGAUUGCAAUCUAUAUCAAGAAUGAUAAAAUGUACGGGCACAUAAUUCCUAUUUGCAACAAUAAGAACAUCAUUAGUUCUUCCCAUAGCCUUUUUAAUAGUGGAAUCCGCAAGUGCAAGUUUAGAGAGCAAUCAUCAAAGUCGCGGAAAUCUAGCAAAUCACACAAAGUUUUGGGAAUAGUAGAGACACUAGCACCCAAAUCACACAAAGCAUGAAACUCAUAAUCUUUAAUUUUAAUUUUAGUAGUAGGUUCCCACUCAUCAUAGAGUUUUCUAGGGAUGGAAGCUUUCAACUCAAGUUUUUCUUCAUAAGAUUACAUCAAGGCAUCAACAAUGUGUUCGGUAAAGGCCUUAUUUUGACUAUAAGCAUGAGGAGAAUCUAGCACGGAUUGCAACAAGGAAAUACAAUCAAUUAAAGAGCAAUUUUCAUAAUUAAAUUCCUUGAGAUCCAAAAUAGUGGGUUUAGCAACAUCUAGGUUUUUAUUUCUUUCAAUCGCACUUUUAUCAAUUUCGUCAUCAAGAUCUAGAAACUCCGAAUUCUUAGAACGCUGUCUAGGUAAAGGAAGAUCAUAUUCAGUUUCAUGAAGAUUCAUAUUGCAAAACAAGGAUUUAAUGGGGGACACAUCAAUAACUUUUAGAUCUUCAUCUUGAUUUUCAUAGGAAUUGGAAGAACAGGCUUUAAUAAAGGCAUCUUUGGAAGCACGCAUCCUAGCGGUUCUUUCUUUGCAGUCAUCAAUGGAAAUUCUCAUGGCUUUGAGAGACUCAUUGAUAUCAUGCUUAAGAGGAAUAGACCUAAGCUUUAAAGAAUCAAUUUCAAGAGAAAUUCUAUCAACAUUCCUAGACAAAUCAUCAACUUUAAUCAAUUUCUCUUCAAGCAAAGCAUUAAAAUUCUUUUGUGAAUUCAUAAACUCUUUAACACUACUCUCAAAUUCAGAGGGCAUCUUAUUAAAAUUUCCAUAAGAGUUGUUGUAGGAAUUUCCAUAAUUAUUAGAAGGAUUACUAGGAUAAGGCCUAGGAUUAAAAUUCCCUCUAUACGUGUUGUUUCCAAAACUAUUCCUACCAACAAAAUUCACAUCCAUAGAUUCAUUACUAUUCUCAAUGAAAGUAGACAAGGGCAUAUCAUUGGGAUCAAGAGAAGUAGUUUUAGUAGCAAACAUCUUCAUAAGUUCAUCCAUCUUUUCACUCAAAACAUUGAUUUCUUCUAUAGCAUGCACUUUUUUACUAGAAGAUCUUUCGGUGUGCCAUUGAGAAUAAUUAGCCAUAAUAUUAUCAAGCAAUUUUGUAGCAUCUCCUAACGUAAUUUCCACAAAUGUGCCUCCCGCGGCUGAAUCUAAAAGAUUUCUAGAAGCAAAAUUCAAUGCAGCAUCAAAUUUUUGUAUGAUCAUCCAUAAAUUCAAACCAUGAGUAGGGCAAUUGUGAAGCAUAAAUUUCAUUCUUUCCCAUGAUUGGGCAACAUGCUCAUGAUCAAGUUGUUUAAAAUUCAUAAUAUCGUUCCUAAGAGUGAUGAUCUUAGCAGGAGGAAAAUACUUAGAGAUAAAAGCAUCUUUGCACUUGUUCCAAGAAUCAAUACUAUUUUUAGGCAAAGAAGAAAACCAAACUUUAGCAUGAUCUCUAAGUGAAAACGGAAAUAACUUCAAUUUGACAAUAUUGUUAUCCGUAUCUUUCUUCUUUUGCAUAUCACACAAAUCAGCAAAAUUGUUUAGAUGAGUAGCGGCACCUUCACUAGGAAGGCCGGUGAAUUGAUCUUUCAUAACAAGAUUUAGCAAAGCGGCAUUGAUUUCACAAGACUCAUCAUUAUUAAGAGGCAAUAGAAGUACUAAGCAAAUCAUUAUUAUUGGUAUUUGAGAAGUCACACAAUUUGGUAUUAUCUUGCGUCAUGGCAACAAGUAAUCCAACACACAAGCAAACAGAAAGGCAAAGGGAAAAGGCAAACGGGAAAAAGAGGAGGAGAUUGGGAAAGAGAGGGCGAAUAAAACGGCAAGGGUGAAGUGGGGGAGAGGAAAACGAGAGGCAAAUGGCAAAUAAUGUAAUGCGAGAGAUAGGGAUUGUGAUGGGUACUUGGUAUGGUUGACUUGCUCUUGGUGAGCCUCCCCGGCAACGGCGCCAGAAAUUCUUCUUGCUACCUCUUGAGCACUGCGUUUGAUUUCUCCGAAGAGUCGAGGAUGAUGCAGCAAAGUAGCGUAAGUUUUUCCCUCGGUUUUUGAGAACCAGGGUAUCAAUCCAGUAGGAGACCACGCACAAGUCCCUCGUACCGUGUCAAUCCCUUCACAGUCACUUACGAGAGUGAGAUCUGAUAGAGAUGAUAAAUAAUAUUUUGGUAUUUUUGGUAUAUAGAUGCAAAGUGAAAAGUAAAAGGCAAAGUAAGAACAAAGCAAGUAAUAAAGUAAUGGAGAUUGAUAUGAUGAGAAUAGACCUGAGGGCCAUAGGUUUCACUAGUGGCUUCUCUCAAGAGCAUAGAUAUUCUAUGGUGGGAGAACAAAUUACUGUUGAGCAAUUGACAGAAUUGAGCAUAAUUAUGAGUAUAUCUAGGUAUGAUCAUGUAUAUAGGCAUCACGUCCAAGACAAGUAGAUCGAAACGAUUCUGCAUCUACUACUAUUACUCCACUCAUCGACCGCAAUCCAGCAUGCAUCUAGAGUAUUAAGUUAAAAAUAGAGUAAUGCCUUAAGAAAGAUGACAUGAUGUAGAGGGAUAAAUUCAUGCAAUAUGAUAAAAACCCCAUCUUGUUAUCCUCGAUGGAAACAAUACAAUACGUGCCUUGCUGCCCCUUCUGUCACUAGGAAAGGACACCGCCAGAUUGAACCCAAAGCUAAGCACUUCUCCCAUUGCAAGAACUACCAAUCUAGUUGGCCAAACCAAACGGAUAAUUCGAAGAGACUUGCAAAGAUAACUCAAUCAUACAUAAAAGAAUUCAGAGAAUAUUCAAAUAUUAUUCAUAGAUAAGAUGGAUCAUAAACCCACAAUUCAUUGGUCUCAACAAACACACCACAAAAAGAAUAUUACAUCGAAUAGAUCUCCACGAGAGAGGGGGAGAACAUUGUAUUGAGAUCCAAAAAGAGAGAAGAAGCCAUCUAGCUACUAGCUAUGGACCCAAAGGUCUGAAGUAAACUACUCACACUUCAUCGGAGGGGCUAUGGUGUUAAUGUAGAAGCCCUCCAUGGUGGAUGCCCCCUCCGGCGGAGCUCCAGAACAGGCCCCAAGAUGGGAUCUCGUGGAUACAUUAGGUUGUGGCGGUGGAAUUAGGUUUUUGGCUCCUCCCCUGAUCAUUUGGGGGUACGUAGGUAUAUAUAGGAGGAAGGAGUACAUUGGUGGAGCAACAGGGGGGCCACGAGGCAGGGGGGCGUGCCCUAGGGGGGGAGGCGCCCCCCACCCUCGUGACCGACUCUUUUGUUCCUUGGAGCAGGGUCCAAGUCUCCUAGAUCACGUUCGGUGAGAAAAUCACGUUCCCGAAUGUUUCAUUCCGUUUGGACUCCGCUUGAUAUUUCAUUUCUUCGAAACACUGAAAUAGGCAAAAAAUAGCAAUUCUGGGCUGGGCCUCCGGUUAAUAGGUUAGUCCCAAAAAUAAUAUAAAAGUGGAAAAUAAAGCCCAAUAUAGUCCAAAACAGUAGAUAAAGUAGCAUGGAGCAAUCAAAAAUUAUAGAUACGUUGGAGACGUAUCAGGAGCCGGGGAAGACGCGGCAGUGGAUGCUCACGCAGAGAGGAGUACGAGGGUUCACUGGUUCGGCUGCACUGCCGUCACCGCAGAAUAAUAGGGGGUGUGGGUGAGUGCAGUGGAGGGAUGACCUGGCUAGCGGUGGGAGUAGUAUGGGGUCGACGAGGCCUCCGCAGCAGCACAGCCAACCACGGUAGGCAGGAGCAGGCGGCACGACCGGCGAUGCUUUAGGCGGCUGGAGCAAGAAGACCAGAGGUUGAAGAAGCACUACGGCCGUUGGAUGGACAUCGUACGGUCAAUCGAGCUAGAAUCGUGCAUAUUGACUAAGUUGACAAAGCCCUCCGUCCCUGUCAACUUAGUAUGCCCACUAUACUGGGUUCCAGCAAGCAGGGGGAGUAUUCAUUUUUUUAUGUGCGUAAUAAGGAGGCACUUCCUUGCGUGCGAAGAUAUAGCUGGUGGGUCCGAGCUGUUAGCGGCGGUAAUGUUUUUUUCAUGAAAUACAUAGGCCCUUUCGGUGGGUCCCAGAUGUCAGAUGGAGGAAUCAUUAUUUUGCGCGUAAUAAGGAGGCAUUUCCUUGCAUGCAGCAAUGGACCCAGCUGUCAGCCUCUCCACGUACAGUCCACUUCGGAUGCAUGUCGGUCGUUAACCAUGUUGACCACGCCACGCCGAGAGCACUAGGGCGGUGGACGGCGGUGAGGCCUAGGAAGUGAACGACACGGAGCCAGGGAAGACUCGGCAGUUGUUUCCCACGCGGACGGGAGUACGAUUGUACGAGGGUUUACUGGUUCGUCUGCCGUCGCCAGAGAAUAACAACGGGUGUGGGUGAGUAGAGGGAUGGCUAGGCCAGUGAUGGGAGUACGAUGGGGCGGUGAGGCCUACGCGGCAGCACAGCUAGCCGCGGGGAGGAGGGAGCAGGCAGUCCCGCCGGUGCUUGUUUGAGCGGCUGGAGUAGCAAGAGUAGAGAUUGAAGAAGCACGACGGCUGUUGGAUGGAUAUCCAACAGUCACUGCUUGUGCGUCAACCCUUUUUUAGGAAUGCCUCAAAUCUGUGGAAAACUGAUUACAGGCCAUCUGCCAUUAUAUCUAAUAAUUUACAACCCAUUUGCUAAUUCUUACAGUUGUUUUUGGAGCCCAUAUUCUUUUUGAUAGCAUUACAGCCCAUAUUGUGGCCACGGUUAAAAAAUUAUAUGAAAUUUUGCAUAUGUCGGUGUGGUCUGAACUGUUUUUAAUCCCGAAAUUUCGAGUCACAUUCAGACUGAUUUUAAAAAUAAAUGUAUAUCAAUAUAAAAUCCAAUAAAUUGUCCAUGCAUAAAAAUCAAUGCAAUUUAAAAUCUCGAAAUGAAAAAAAGAUAUUUGAAACUAAUUGCUGGUUUGAUGUGUUUUAAAAAUGUACAACCCAUUUCUCAUUACUGAUAGGCCAUUUUCUCGUCCAGCCGAAUGAAGCUCUCCUUGUCUUGAAAGAUUUGCAGCCCAACAGGCCUGAUAAAGCGACUUACUUGACAAAUCACAAAAAAACUAGGCUAGCCAUUUUUAGAAAGAAAAAAAAACUACUGGGCUGGUCUGUGGUAAACAGAAAAGAAAAGGCUGUCUAGGCAGGCCAGAGUGUCCCGCACAGCCCAGUUGACACCCUGCUUCCGUCUCAAAAACAAAUUAGAUAAAUGCCACUCCAAUUAUGGCAAUUCAUAAAAAUGCCACUGCAAUUUCCAAACUUUGAAAAAUGCCACUGCAAUUUUUGCAAACUUUGAAAAACGCCACUGCAGUUUGCAAACUUUGAAAAACGCCACUCCAGACUUCGAAAAAUGCCACUAGAAAUGACAUGAAAUGGCAUUUUUCAUAGUUUGGGAAUUGCAGUGGCAUUUCUCGGAAACACCAGAUUUGGAGUGGCAUUUAUAAAAUUAAACCAAAACAAAAAUAAUUGGGCGAUAUGCUGGGUCCCUGGUGUCAGCCGCUCGUUGUGCAAUUCUCUCGUUUAUUGACUACGUUGACAAUGGCAUCGGACCCACAUGUCAGAAAUCCACUGGGAGGAGCCAUUUUUUUAUUGGCUUGAAAUAAGGAGGCACUUGCUUGCGUACUGCCAUGACCUUGGCGGGUCCCUGCUGUCAUCCUUUCCAUGCACAAUCAUCUCCUGAUUGUGUACGCGUCAAGUUGGUAGGCCCACAAGUCAGCCUCUAAACCCGUGGAGGACAAAUACAACCCAUUUAAAAAAAUAACAUCCCAUUCCAUAUGUUCGAAUGGAAAGUUCAACAUUCAAAGCAAAGUAACAGGUCUGAUCCACAUAUAGAGUACUGAACUUCCACAUUGACAACCAUCAUAGCCAAGUUAACUAUCUACUCCCACUAAUACUCUAGUAGCAUACAAGUACUAACUUACUCUUAGCUAACUAGACGAUGCCGACCGCCAUCUGUGGUAGACGCUAAACGCCAGCACCGGCGUCCUGCGCCUCGCCUCGGACUUGCAAGAGGUGCGAUAGGGCGCGUUGCUCGCGCGCGUUGGCCCUUUCCAUGCCGGCGUGGUCCACCGAAGCUUCGGCUUCCAAGCGGGAAAUCCACUUGACGAGCUGGUAGUAAAAAUUGGCGUCGCAAACGCGUGCGUGCCCGACAGCCUCCGGGGCUAUUUGCCGGGCGCCGGCCUCCACGUAGUCGGCCCAGUUGCGGGCACUCUGCUCGUGACUCAGAGCGUCGGUGCGCUGCUGCUCUAUGUCCCGCUGGCAGCGCAAAUUGGCAAUACGCUGCUCCUCCGCCAUGCGGUCGCGCUCCAACAAGUCUUGCUCCUCCGCCAGGCGGUCGCGCUCCAACCAAUCCUCGAUCUCCGCAUUGCCAUCUAAAGACAGAUAGAAUGCCUCCUCCCUCCGUCUGCCUUCCGGUGAAAAACCGAACACUAGUUCCGGCGGUGACCGCCUCCGGCGUCGCCUACGGCGGACGGGCGGGGCAUGGCGGACGUGGCGAGCAACGUCGGGCCGGUGGGGGCUUAUGAGGACAUGGCGAGUUGGGUCACGGUGCCACCGGAGAAGGCCGGGAAAUAGUACUUAUAGGCGGAAGGUAGCGCAACGGUCAUCGGAAUUCAAUGCAUAAGCAGGCAUGGCUUAGCGCGCCAGCUUGCCAUGGAAAACUAGAGAAACUGAAAUUAUGACUGUGUCGUCCCGUCCCGUCUGGGUCACACACCGGCAUGGCGGUCAAACGAGUGCACUCGAAUCAUCUCCCUCCUUGUCAAUAAUGAUUCCACGGAUUUAAAAAGCCCGCAACAAUUAAAGCGCAUCUUCUUUUGCAUCAGUUAGCUUACUUAAUUAUGGCCGGCUGCAUGAAGGCACUUAGAAUUGCUCGCAGCUAGUACGUGGAGCAGCAUGCAACAUGUCGCAGCCGAGAGCACACAUGCAGCCACUUAAAUCGCUGGAAUUAAUUAGGCUUAAACUUCUGCAUGCCAUUAAUUAUUGCCAUGCCUUGGUCUUGCUGCUUUGCUCACGGGACUAAUAAACCUGGAGGAGGGAGUACCCUGGUUGGUGAGAGGUUUGAAUUAAGCCCUGCAAACCGGAAAGGAGGUACUAGUACGUGCAUGAUCCGCUAUUUAUUUGUGUAGGAUCGAGUAGGUCGUUUCUUGAAUUGAGCCCUGCAAAUCGGAAAGGAGGCAGUACGUGCGUGAUCUGCUAUUUAUCCAUGUAGGAUCGAGUAGGUAGGAUAGUGUAGCUUGUCAGUUUCUUCAGAGGUAGGCAUUUUUAUUCAAAAAGCUGCCACUUCGGAUCUUGCCUCGCAAAUAAAACUGCCAGGAGCGCAUUAGUAGGCUAGCUAGUGAUCGAUCAGUAACUUGUAAACACUGAGCGAACAGAAAUAAGUAACUGUUAAUGCAUCUCAAUGAUUCACAGAUCAUAUACAAAUAUGUAGCUCCAAAAGCAAAGAUCAGCCACUUCGGAUCUUGCGUCGCAACUAAAACUAACUAGUACGAUUCCCAUACAUAAGAUCAACAUGUUAAUGCAUCUCAAUGAUUCAUAGAUCAUAUACAAAUAUGUAGCUCCAAAAGCAAAGAUCUGGAAAAAACAUUUGUUCUUCCUACUAACAUGGAUGCCUCUCUUUGCCAACAUUCAGUACAGACUGAAAGACAAAUUUGUUUGUGAAGUCUACAAUUCCUCUUGCAAACGUAAGUGGUUUCACUAACAGCUGGAACCAGGAUAAUGAACCACACAUGAUGGAGGAACAUCCACUGCAAUAUGAUUUGGUCUUCUCUUGAUCACACUGCGAGAUUAUUUUCGGAAUACAAACUUUAACUUAGGCAAAAUGAUGCCCAUUGUAUAAUCAGACCAAAGCAAUGAAGCACCUAGUGUUGGCCAAUAAAUAGUACAGUACUACUUUUCUGCAGUCCAUGAAGUGACUAUCCAAUCUUUCUGUGUCUAUUUUCAAAUGGCACUGCAUGCGGUAACUAUACUAUUCUCUUGCGCAGUUCAACCAAAAUUACGGACACUUUGCUUGUUUGCCAAAUAGCAAUGGGCAGACAUCUCUGUCUACACAAAUAUCAAGCAGCUAGUAAACAUAUACCACACCUUGUAUUUUCGGUUUAAACAUGUCUCUUCCGCUUAGCAUCUAUCAUGUUCUGCACUGGACAAUCUGAUACAGUUAUGUUUUGCCCUGGACAAUUUCAUACUGAAUUGAUUUGCUGGUUCAGAGCAGAAAUAUAGUGCCUAUUCUUCAUCAGACCAAGGAUAUCCAUAUUCCCAGUGACGGAAGAGGUGAAAUUGAUACAACCGAAAUUGAGCAUCCAAUCAUUGAAUCCUGUCCUGCACCUCCAAUGUAGGUCCACCUUGCCAAUAAAUUCACUUGCAAACCACUAGUAUUACUAUCUAAUGACAGUACAAAAAGAGCAGCAAAAUAGUAGCAAACCAUGUACCUUCGUAAUGAACAGCUCAUAGUGCCACCAAUUGGAUAUAAAGGUUUGGAAGAAAACAUGCUCCUAAUGUUGAACCAGUUGGACUUUUUGUGCAGUUCCACUAAAAUCGAGCAUCCCUGUUUGCAUAGAUAUUGAAAGUGUGAUUACUAUAAAAAUGGCACUAGUUGAAGCAUAUUCUCACAAAUAUAAGCAUUCCUUCUUAAUGGAAAAGGUAGCAAGACUAUUUCUAACCACCUGUUUGAAGGAAUAAAUAAGGCAACAAUGGCUGAUGUCAGAAAGGCAUAUAUAGUUCUUUUUGAAAGAAUGAUCGACUCCUGACCUUUUCUCUUCUUUUAUGCAUAUUUUGUGCAGUUCAACUAAAAUAAAAUGCCAUCGCCACCUUGAAAAUUCAGUGACACUGUACAAAAGGAAAUGACUUAACAUUACAUCAUGAUGUCAGGUAUGUAGUCCACAGGCAUUAGAGACAAACAUACAGACCUUCUCCGAUAACAUAAUGAACAUUAAUUUUAACAAAGGUGUGACUAGCUUUACCGGGAUAAUUUGAGUGAACUCUACACCCUCUGUUCCUUAAUAUAAGACAUUUUCACGGUUCAAUUUAAAGUACCCAAACGUCUAGUAUUUAGAAAAACAGGUAGUAGUUUUCUUGAGCACAUAUCUGGGAAAGUUUGCCACACUUUAUUUAUGUCCAUACGCUAAUGCAACACCAUUCGAAUACUACAAAUAUACACUAAUCCAGUGGCUAGUGCAACAGUAGAGUAGUUAGUUUAUUACAGAGUACAGUACAAUGGUUUUACUGAACAGAUUUCAAUAAACUCUAGCACUGGAAGAUUUCUAUAAGAAUUAACAAUACAAAAUGUACAGGUAACAAGUUUCAACAUUGGUAUACUAGCUAUGCAUGAGCAUUAAACCAAAUACAAAAGUCUGAAGGUAACUAGCAUUAUUAACUAAUGACAGUAUAAAAAAUUGCAAACCAUGUACCUCCACGGUAAAUAUCAUUUCGAACUCGGGGGGACCUUAAAACUUGCUAUCCCAAUCUUGAUAAUCGAUCAAACAUAAAAACUUGAUCGAACGAAUCAAGAGAACAACCAGAGGAGGAGGUGCCUACUCUUGACCUUUCCUCUUGUCUUCAUAAUUUUUUGUGCAGUUUAACCAAAAUAAAAUGACAUCAGUGCCUUGGCAUUUUGGUGACACUGUACAAAAAAAUUAACUUAUCUCAUGAAAGUGAGGUAUGUAAUCUAUAAGCAUUAACAGUGCAAAAAUCUGAAGGUAGUAACAAGUUUCAUCGUUGGUAUACUAGUUGUGCAACAACAUUAGAAUGCCUUAGCUGAAAAAUCUUUAAUAGAUCCACAAUCAACAACUAACCCUGAAAUAAUCCAGUGACAUUAAAUGGCAUUGCUUAAAUUUAUCGGUGGCAUUAGACUGAGAGCGACAUUAGUUAAAUGUGGCAUCACUUUGGUAGUAGCAUUCCUUGACUUGACUGCUAGCAUCAUACUAACAACAAAAAAGUGGCAAUAAGAUCAUGGGAGGCCCAUUCGGACAGUGGGUGCACCAGUACGAUGUUCCUCCACGGACGCAGAGUGGUGAGGGAGGUAUGGUUGCCCAGAGCAACAAAUAUGUAGACAUCAUAUGUGAAUUACGUCCCUUUUUUGUUCUAUUUAGCCACCUCUUUCCUAUGUGAGGAAAACAAACCGAUCGACCUGGUCAUUCUCUAUUGCGUUGUCAUGCCUUUCUACCCUUCUUCAACCAAGAGACAUGAGACUCGUUCCUUAGCUACUGAUUUUCCCCUUUUCAACCUAGAUGCGGGUUCGAUGCCUACUCUCUUGGACAGUACAGUCUCCCUUCCUUUCCUUAUUCAACCCAGACAUGGAUUAGUCUGCAUGAAGUAGGGUUUCCUUUAAUAGUGCAAAUUAUGGUUUUUGUCGGUGUGGCCAGCAGAGCAGAGGAUAGCAAAUUGGGAAGAUGGUGGAGUGGAAAAAGAUCCACAUGCAACGACAUGGCAGAUGGGGCAAUAGAACAAGGGUAUGGUUCGAAAGGAGGUAGCAUACCUGAGGGUCAGCGGGAAGUGGCUUCGCUCGUGGUCGUCGUCCUCCGCACACACUAAGGCAGUGAGCUUGGGGACGGAGGCCAUCCCACGCGGGCGCUAGGUUUGAGAGGACGGCCUUGUCGUCAGUGCGUGACCUCGCUCGUCGACGAUGAGUGCGUCAACGCAGCACGUCCUUUUCUUCCCCGGCGGAUCUGUGACCACCGGUGAGGAGGGAGAGAGAGGUCGUCUUUUUUACAUCUAGAGAGAGGGUGAUAGUGUGAGAAGCAAGUAGGCAGCCCUUAUCAGGAAAGCGCUGAAGCUCCAGCCUAUAUAUCUUUUUAUACUACUAGUACUGGAGGUGGAGUAGUGGUAGAGUACUUUAUAUUUUCUCUGCAUACAGUACCAGUUAGUCAUGCUUCAAAACUGAAUGGCAUGCCAUUAAAAGAAUAAAGGUCGAUAACUAAUGCGGCACCUUGGGCCAACACGGCCAGAUUGCAUUUUGCACGAGAAAUUACACACCAUGUUUCGUUGACAUGUGGCCCCGUUCCAACAUAUUACUGAGACGACGGCGAGUCCUUUUCUACUAGUAUUUCCAAACGGACGUGUAGGACGGGGCGCCUCUUCGUGAACCGUGGAAAACUAGCAACCGUCCACCGACUCUUCGCCUUCCCCUCUCGAUUUGGAACUGCUGUCGCACACUCUUCCUCUCCCUCCUCUAUUUUCCUUCAAUCCUCCACCCUUCCUUCUGCCAUUGUUCGAUCGUCUUCUCCAUGGAGGGAACAGGCCGGAAAUGACCCCGUUAUUCUUGCCCUGAUCUGAAAGAUGACAUGGUGGAGGAACUCAUUGAUGGGUGCGACGUCAUCACCUCGGCUAGCAUGGCAUGUUCGUUCAAGACCAUUCUCUACUCAACUAAUAACAUCAUUACAAGGAACCCAAGAGUCAAGGAGCGGUUUGAUAUCCCCAAUCUUCUUCGCUAUGACCCUGAUGACUGGUGCGGGGACGACGGAGGCCUCGCCUUGUGCAAGUUGAUGCCGCUUGAUAAUGAUACGUAUGAUGUUAAGAUGCCAUUGCUUGAGGGUAAGGCUUGGGCAGGCGCAAAUGGAGAUUGGGUUGUUUACAUUGGGUCCAACUGCGAGUGGGAACUUGUGAACGUGUACACUCGUGACCGGGUUCCACUUCCAAAAAUCUCAGCAGACUGCCCAGAGGUUGAGCACAUCGGUAUUGUACGCACGUUCAAAUACGAUCAUGGUGACUGUCUUAUACGGAAGAUAGCAAAUUGUCAAGUUCCCAACCGCUCUUGGAAUUACAAGAACUAUGUUGUUGUUGCUAUCUUCGACAAGCUUGUUGCCGUCCUUCAUGGUUCGACUGGAUGGAUAUUGCUCAAAAAUCAGUUUCUGUACACAGAUGAGUACUGUGAUGCAAUUCAAUACGAGGGCCUUGUGUUUGCUUCCACCACUCAUGGCACUGUUUUUGCAUGGGAUCCUCGUAGUUUUGGUACGUUUGUCUUCCACCGUAAUUAUAAUUGUUUCUUCCACAUGCAUGUGGGUUAGCAAGUUUCCCUUUACUAAUUAACCUUCUUCUUGUGUUUCCAAGGUCCUGUGAACAUUCCACCACCUAUACUUGAAAAUUUUUAUACCAAGGGGGAGAUGACGAUGGUGAUGAUCACGAGCAUGAGGACGAGAAGAACAUAUAUACUCAGUGGCGCCUGGCAUCUAAUUCCGAUGGAUCACCUCCUCUUGUUUGUAUACAGUGCACUGAGUUUGUUACUACUGAGGGAGCAUGUGUUGUCUCCCAUGGUCGCACUCUCCGGACCUAUUCCAACACCCGUUAUAUGGUAUUCAGGAUGGAUACUAUUGUGCUAGCGCCAACACCUUAUCCCUGGUAUAGAAUUGAUAGUCUUGGAGAAAACUCGCUCUUCCUUGGACAAAACUAUCCGAUGAUGGUGAAAGGUGAUCCAACUGUUGUUGACACAAUGUUACUAGUACCAUUUAUGAGAAGCAACUGUGUCUAUACCUUGGACAUUUGGGUGGUUCCCUACCCUGGUAUUGAUAUAGUAGGCCGCUUCAGCCUGGAUGAUCAGUCCUGCGUUGGUUUUGAGAUCGACAAUAGAUGGCCCGUCCCAGAGAAUCACUUGUGGUUCAAAGCAAGCGUUUCCAACGCCGAGGAUUGGUUGAGUUGAAGUUCAUUUCAUUGCUUGUUAUUUGUUGUGUGAUGAAAACUUUAGUAUUUAUAAUGUAUCCUCAUUGUCGAUGUGGGUUGAUGACCUAUUGUAUGUAAUAAAAUGAUAUGCCUGUGAUAAACUUACUAAAUUUAUGAAUGGCUUUCGAGUUGCUUCUCUGAGUGAGUGGUGCGACGAGGAAAAAAAAUAUUUUCCGAAUACAUAAUUGUACGUGCAUUGCAACAGGUUAUCGGAUGAGGCCAAUCAACAAUAGUAGUACACUAUUUGUACUAGCUUCACAUGCUUCGCGCGUCGGGCGGGUGUUUUUACUCUAGCCAUAUGUUAAUGUGUUCACUGUACAUAACCACCAUAUCGAAUCCUCGAUACUCGUACUAUAUAAGUAGUUGGAGUAGUAGGGUGGCAUGGGCCAGAACAAGCAUUCACGUCCAGGAGUACGGCACACGCAACCACCACGACAUCCAUCUGACACCAUAUUUCUUGGAGUCCAUGUAGAGCAAUCUCUUCAACCUCGUCGUUUCUCUAACUUCAACCAUCGCACGACAAUCGAGGUGGGGGUUUGCCGAUAGUCGCUUUCCUCAGCUGCGGUCCCACUUGUAAGGCCAACUCCAACGCAUGACCCCAAACGGACCUCCGUUUUGCACGAACUCCAACGAUAAUUUAGACUAGAAAAGCAAGACCAAAGAAAACAAGAACCACAAGAAUACAUUUUACUAGAAGAUAUCCAACUUCCAUAACUGCUCCUAUAAGUUGCAUUAGUGCCUUCUCGAUGCAUUCAUUGUUGAUCUGCGGAGGCUCGAUCUUGCGUGCUUCUUUCUUCUUCGAGUGUAAGGAAGUAGACGUUGCUUCCUCGCAUCUAGUCUCAUGGCUAGCCUCUAUUCUAGUAGGAGUAUCAACAAGUGCACUAGUCUCAUCUCUAGCCUCUAUGCUAGCUAAAAGUGCUAGAACAUCUACUAAAUUGCACUCUAUCAAUAUAUCCGAUGUCCUCUUCCUCCCAAUACCAAAACUUGCAUCCAUUCUACUCCCUCCAUUCCACAAUGCAUGCCUUCUAUUUGUCAAAAUAUAGAUGUAUCUAGACAUGUUUUCGUAUAUAGGUACAUCCAUUUUUGGACAAAUGGAAGUCAAGUAUUUUGGAACGGAGGGAGUACACAAUAAAAUUUUAAACUAGUCUAAUCCGAGAGCACAACCGAAGAUUUGGUCGGGUUCUUCCUCCUUUUGCCGACACAUGGAACAUUGAUAACCCACAAGUGUAGGGGAUCGCAACAGCUUUCGAGGGUAAAGUAUUCAACCCAAAUUUAUCGACACAAGGGGAGCCAAAGAAUAUUCUUGAGUAUUAGCAGUUGAGUUGUCAAUUCAACCAUACCUAGAUAACUUAGUAUCUGCAGCAAAGUAUUUAGUAGCAAAGUAGUAUGAUAAUAAAGGUAACGGUAGCAAAAGUAAUAUUUUUGGGUUUUGUAGUGAUUGUAACAAUAGCAGCGGAAAAGUAAAUAAGCGAAACACAAGAUGUGAAAAGCUCGUAGGCAAUGGAUCAGUGAUGGAUAAUUAUGUACGAUGCGAUUCCUCAUGUAAUAGCUAUAACAUAGGGUGACACAGAACUAGCUCCAGUUCAUCAAUGUAAUGUAGGCAUGUAUUCCGUAAACAGUCAUACGUGCUUAUGGAAAAGAACUUGCAUGGCAUCUUUUGUCCUACCCUCCCGUGGCAGCGGGGUCUUAGUGGAAACUAAGGGAUAUUAAGGGCUCCUUUUAAUAGAGAACCGGAACAAAGCAUUAGAACAUAGUGAAUACAUGAACUCCUCAAACUACGGUCAUCACCGAGAAGUAUCCCGAUUAUUGUCACUUCAGGGUUGUCGGAUCAUAACACAUAAUAGGUGACUAUAGACUUGCAAGAUAGGAUCAAGAACACACAUAUAUUCAUGAAAACAUAAUAGGUUCAGAUAUGAAAUCAUGGCACUCGGGCCCUAGUGACAAGCAUUAAGCAUAGCAAAGUCAUAGCAACAUCAAUCUCAGAACAUAGUGGAUACUAGGGCUCAAACCCUAACAAAACUAACUUGAUUACAUGAUAAAUCUCAUCCAACCCAUCACCGUGCAGCAAGCCUACGAUGGAAUUACUCAUGCACAACAGUGAGCAUCAUGAAAUUGGUGAUGGAGGAUGGUUGAUGAUGACGACAGUGACGAAUCCCCCUCUCCGGAGCCCCGAACGGACUCCAGAUCAGCCCUCCCGAGAGAGAUUAGGGCUUGGCGGCGGCUCCGUAUCGUAAAACGCGAUGAAACUUUCUCCUUGAUUUUUUUCUCUGCGAGACGGAAUAUAUGGAGUUGGAGUUAAGGUCCGCGGAGCCUCAGGGGGCCCACGAGACAGGGGGGCGCGCCCAGGGGGAGGGUGCGCCCCCACCCUCGUGGACAGGGUGUGGGCCCCCUGGUCUUGAUUCUUUUGCCAGUAUUUUUUAUAUUUUCCAAAAAGUGCCUCCGUAGAUUUUCAGGACAUUUCGAGAACUUUUGUUUUCUACACAUAAAACAACAUCAUGACAGUUCUGCUGAAAACAGCGUCAGUCUGGGUUAGUUUCAUUCAAAUCAUGCAAGUUAGAGUCCAAAACAAGGGCAAAAGUGUUUGGAAAAGUAGAUACAUUGGAGACGUAUCAGACAUCCAGCAUCUAGGUCGUGUCAUGUAAGAAAAUAGAGUGGUAGUUGAAGCCACGUGAUGUGCAUCUUGGGUUAAACUGUAAAUAGAAUCUUACUACUCUUGAGUAACUCCAAAAGCGGCCACCAAAGAUCUUUAUUGGAUUUGUUUUCAUCACCAGCACGUCGAGGUGAAAGAUGUGCAUGUUCAGUGGGUCCUCUUGCGUUUUCAUUGACAUGUGGGACCGCAUGUGAGCAAACAGACGAUGGGCUCCGUGCAUCGACUGGCUAGCUGAGAAGAGAGAUAGAGGAGGGCUGAGCACGGACUCCAGGAAAUUUGUUCUACAUACCUUGAUAUAGGCUCGAUAUACUGGGGUGGCAUGGGCCAUAACUAGUAUUCACGUCUAGCAGUACGGCACACGCCACCCACACGAGUCCCAUCCGACACCAAUUUUCUUGGAGUCCGUGCUACAGCCAUCUCUUCUCCCUCCUAUUUUCUCAGCCAUCGCGCGGUGGGCGGGGUGGGGGUUUGCCGAUAGUUAGUUUGAUCAACUGCGGUCCCACUUGUAACUGAAAAUGCAACACCGCACACAUUCCCCCUUGAGCAGCGUGCCGGACCAACCGUGUGGGGGUGCUAUGCGAACACGGGAGGCUUUUCCUUUCGAACUCAUAACUGGUAAAAUUUGGUUCUGCUCCAUGGCGCGACCGAUAGAUAGAAAAUAACGAUUUUACCUAGAGUAAUGAGAAGUUUCACUACUAGGGAAAAUCCUAUACACAGAAUCUUACUAGUAGCGAGGGUUAAAAACCCUCGCUACUGCUACUUACUAGUAGCGCAGGUUUUUAAACCUCGCUACUACUAAGUUGAUAGCAGUAGCGCGGGCUUUUAACCCUCGCUACUACUAAGCGGUCUCUACCAUGCCCCCCGGGACAUGCCAUAGUAGUAGCGCGGAUUUUUACCCCUCGCUACUACUAAGUUGAUAGUAGUAGCGCGGGUUUUUAACCCUCGUUACUACUAAGCGGUCUCUACCGUGCCUCCCUCAGACAUGCCAUAGUAGUAGCGAGGGGUAAAGAUACCCACGCUACUACUGAGCGUAUCCCUCCCUUGCCGCACCACUGCCACCCCGAUCCUAAAGAAAAAAAAAUUCCACUCCCACCCCACCAAACUCUCUCUCUCCAACCUCACCCCCACCCCUCAGUUGACUCAUCUACCCCACGACCACCUCGCCGCUGCCAGCACCCACGCCGGCCGGUUCCGGCGAGCUCCGGCCACGCGAAAUACGCCCCCAAGCACCCCAAGCUCCGCCCCUCCCUCCCCUCCUCCCAGAUCCGUGCCUCAAGGCCUGCACCCUUGCCUUGAGGCGGCGAGGGGGAAGGCGGCGGCGGAGAGGCAAACAGCGAGGAGGAGGAGCAGGCGACUCUUCCACCCAACGACCGCGGAGUUGUCGGUGUGGGCCGUCAGCCUCACCGAGAAGAGGAGCAGCAUGGCGACAAGGACGACGAGGGAGAGGAGGUCGUGGCUGAGGACGAGGCGCACGUACAGGUCCCUCCCGCAGGCGCUGUCGGGGCGGAAGGCAUUUCUGAUGACGAAGAAAGUGGUGAGAUUAAUCCUGAGCUGCUCCCUAGUAGCGGUGAGAAUCCUGAGCUGUUUAAGAAAUUUAGAUCUCCAAUCAUCUCACUAUCCCUCAGUUUAAUAUAUUCUAUUUCAAUCGAGGAUAUGCAAUUUUUCUUGAGUUGUUGAACACAUUGGGCCAUUGGGGUAUGCCUCCGGUUAAUUAACCUGAGCAUAAGGGAAAAUGUUUAGCCUGCGAACUUAACAUACAUGCAGUAUGCAUGUGCCCUCCAUGGCAGAAACUUCCAUUUUUUGUUAAACAAGAGUCCAUGUUGGCUGAGUUGUGGAUCAUUUAGAACCGUCUAAUUCAGUCCCUGCCUGUUUAUGAGCUUCACAUAGCCUCCCAUGAUAGUUUCUGAAGGCAGGACAGACCAUGUGGAAAUGAGAACAGAUGUACGGGCAUGGUUCUGUACAGGUGUUAGGUAAGUGUUUUUGCUGAUUGUGUGAAAUUUUGCAGGUAGUGGUAGCAUGCUAUAUUAAUGCUUUGGACGAAAUUACAUUAUUCUUCACCCCUGCUCAGCUCAGAGAGGCACCUCACCCCGUCGUCCCCUGAUCUCUGAAUCUCAAUGCUUGGACGAAAUUACAUUAUGAAACUUAUAUGCAGUAAGGCCUAGAUUGGCAGUGUAAUUUUUAAAAUACCGCAGUAUUCGAAAAAUUCGGCAUCAUGUUUAACUAGUGUGGAGCAUGCUAUGCAGAGGCCUAGUUUGCCAUGUUGAUAAUUGUGAGUUACAAACCAAGCUUUCAGUUUGAGAAAAAAGAGGUCUGGACCUCUUUUUCUAGAAGUUAGAAAAAACAUGGUAUCAGGAAUACAAGUGAAUAUGAAACUAUUGUUGUUGGUUUAGCCAAACACCUCACAGUUUUCAAAACUACAGUUUUAUAGAAAUCAUAGUAUUCUGAUUGAGCUAAGCUAGCAAUGUAUCUUCACCUGUGGGAAUCAAGGUGCAUAUGCUCCUUGUCUUUUUUCACAUUCUAGACUAGAUUGAAUAAUAGGAAUUGCCAAUCAACUGUAAAAAAAUAAAUUUAAUUACCAAUCUGCACGCACCAGACAUAUAUCUUUCUCAUCAUUUUAAACAGUAAACAUUGAUACUCCACGUAUACAUUUUCUAAGAAUUACUUCAUAUAUGUAGGCUGGCAGCGGUGUUCACAAAUCACCACGAAGAAAGUAAAGAUCUCGAGAGGAUUCCGUUUGUUUGCUCUAUGUAUUGUCUUUCGAAGCGCGCGCAGGAAAAAACACACACAAAAAUGCUAGUUCAUUUUACUGCCUUUUGUAGCAAAAGAAAAUGAAAAACACAAAAAAUGUUUGUUCCUCUGCCUUUUGUAGUAAUGGAGAAUGAAAGUCACAAAUUUUUUUUGGAGGAGUGGUCUCUAUGAUUUGGGGGUAGUGGCCCGGGUUUGGUCGGGCUCGAAUUCUCUGCUAUGGGUUUGGAGGAGUAAUGUUUCUGGUUCUGCAGAUAUUCAAGCUCUGGCGGACGGAGUGUCUGUGCGUGAGCAGCGAGACGGCGGCUAAGGCUAGCGUGGAAGAGGUUAGUUUUAGCAUCUAGUUCUGCAUCAUGGCUGUAAACUGAACUUGGUUCAUUUAAAAACUGCACUGUCCAAUUUGGACAGCAAGCUUAGAUCUGAAAAAUGAGUUAGCUAGGCUUAGAAUUUUGAGUGGCCCCUUUACAUAAGUUUUAGAUAAAGUUCCAAGGUUUCUUUAGAGUAUUUAUUUGUGUCGUUUGGAUGUAUGGUUUGAGAGCAGCCAUCAAUUUAGUUUGUUGUCCCGAAAUAUAUGUUCCUGGGUACAGUAUUUUGAUAUGGGAGAUUAGGCCCUGUUAGAGGUGGUAUUAAAAUAAAGUUACAACAUGAAAAUUUUAGAGGCUGUUCUGUAGAUACUUAAACACAUAUCACUUGUCAGGUUUCGUUCGUUAUAUUAAAUACUAUGAAGUUAUCAAAGUGGGCUUUACUAUGUUGGACAUAAUUUUAUGUUUGGACUUGGGUGAAUGUAACCAGACUUAUACUCUCAGAUUUUGUCAUAGUUGAUGGUGUGAGGACUUAUAAUGUGAUAAAGUAUAUACGUUGUUGCAACACCAAAAUCGGUGAAAUAUAUUUCCUUUUUUUUCUGCCGAUGACAUCUCCAUAAAGUAAGGAUUUAGAUAACAUCAUAUGUUCAGAGUUCAGUUCUUUUCUUAUCUAAAACUAACAUACAAUGGGCAUGAUGGAUGUUGCAGGUUCAUUGAUGACAACCAAGGGUUCAUGCUCGGAAACGACUACAUCUUGCUCCAUGUUGUCGGCUCAGCUAGAGUCCUUAAUCAUGCGGAGAUGGGACACGUCGAUUGUUAGAGUACACUUGACAGGUGCAUUUUGUGAAAUUCUAGCCACAAGAUUGAUAGCAUGCUUGCCUGCUUGUUCUUUUCAGUUCAAAUAAAUGUUCCUUUUCUUGUUGAAUCCAAAGUAGCUAGCGGAGAUAAGUGGAAAGGUUGUUGAUUAUCCCAAAGUUCUUGGACCAUUUAGUUUGAAUAGCCAGUGAGGAAAUAAGCAUAUAUUUUUGGCAUGAGCCCCUUUAAAUUGCUAGAUGAGAAAGAAUCUUAACUUAAUUAAUGGGUCUUGUGAAUUGGAAUAUACCAUUUAGUUGAACUGAUGCAAUUUGCGUACUAACAAGUUUUCACUUUCUCGACAUGGGCGCAGGGGUGAUCGACGCUGACUAGCGCAGCCGGUGGGCGCUGUGCUCUUGAACCACUCAGAGGCGGACUUCUCCGUGAAGCUGGUGGCCAUUUCGCUUAGAUGAUUGUCGAGGUGAUUUCGACGCCGGAGAUCGCCGAGGUGGAGGACCUCGACGCCACCGUCCGGGGGAGGGAGGAUUCGGGUACACCGGCGUCUAAGCUCCGAGCCUUGGUAGAUACAUCUACGGAAGUUGUCUGUUUAGGUUGGUGAUGGAACACCAGGGAAGGUACCCACCUUUCGAUGAUCAUUAUGUGUGUGUCUGAAGUUAAAUGGAAUCUUGAGAAUGUUAUGUGACGUUGGUUUGAUUUGCACUGGACGUAUUGCCAUCCAUGAAUACUACAUCUAACUUUUAUUUUUUUAAUUCCUAAAUUAUUAGUAGUAGCGUGGGAAACAAAUGAGCGCUACUAGCUAGUAAUUAGGUUAGUAGUAGCGUGGGAAAUAAGAAAUGAGCGCUACUAGUAGUUAGGUUAGUAGUAGCGUGGGAUAUAAGUGAGCGCUACUGGUAGUUAGGUUAGUAGUAGGCUAGUAGCGCGGGUGCACCCGCGCUGCUACUAACUUUUAGCUGUAGCGCGAUACUAGUAGCGCGAGUACCCGCGCUACUAGUAGCAUUUUACCCGCGCUGCUAGUAGCCUUUUUCCUAGUAGUGUGGUUCUGGCGCCGUUCAUGCAUGGAGUACGUACAAAAAUUAUGAAGUUGAUGCGAACGGUAAGAUAAUUACUAGUAGUACCAUAUACUACUACAUGGAUUUGACAAAAAGAUAAAAAUACAUACGGAUCCAUCAACGACAUCCUCAUGCCCUAGUGCGCCAGGUCACCAACCGACGUGUGAGGAGUAGCGGCGUUGGCAGCGAGCUCAACGUGCUUCUGAACAAUGCCGUCCAUGGUUGCCCUGCGGUCCAAGAAGGCCAGCAUCCUAUCGUCCUCCUCUUGCAUGUAGUAGUCCUUGUGGACGAUUUGCGCGUAGAAAUGGGUGAUUAUGUCGAUGGUGUCUUGCUGCGCCAGGCGAUGCGCGGCGAGCGCGACCUUGAGGUGGACAUUCUCCGGCGUGACGGCGGGCAGUCGCAGGGCCACCAGUGCGUCGAAUAGGUUUUCACCAUAGUGGCCGUUGAGGGUGGCGGGCAUCGCAGAGCCUGGACGCAUUGGCUGGAGGCGUACGUCAAAGUCGUCCGCGAGCUUCUUGACGACGGUGAACUUGUCGAGGAAACCGACGAGGACCUCAUCGAACAAGGAUACGAAGCUGUCGUCCAAGCGGCCCCUCGCCCUAGCGGCCUCAAGCAAUACCUGGAGACAUUCCUCGGUGUCGGGCCAUAGGCCGGCGUCAUGGACCAUCUGGCACAGCCGGCUGAUGCUCGCGCUCAUCACCUCCAUGGGUCUAGCUUAGCUUCUAGUCAACUGACCUUGCGAUUCGAGUGAUCACUCUUGCCACUGGUUAGCGUGCGUAGGUGCGUAGGAUUUCGUACAACUCCUCGGCCCUCUACUGCACCUGCCUUUGGCUAUAUGAUAGGUGGGCCAGCCACCCCUUGGGCCCACGUGUCAUUCACCCGAAUGCAGUUGCAGUAAGUCAAUGAAGCUACGUCCCCCUCCGUGCCGGUGCAGUAUAGUCAUCUCACCGGACCUCUAGUUGGGGCCAACCGAGAGAAGUUUGAUGUUUACUGGUUUAUUGGUCCCCUUUGCAUUUUGCGCCAAGUUUUGACCUUUGAUUUAACUAAUAAAAUGUUAAUGCAUGUAAACAAAAAUGUUGUGUAAGUCACCUUACGAAAACCAAAUAAUCCCAAAACACUUAGGCACGGUGCACUAACUCCCUCCUUGUUUCUUAUUUCAUGACAUAUCAACAAAUGAGAGAUGUGGGCCAUGCAUGCUUUCAAUGACUUGAGACUACCAAACAUGACAUGCAUUGUUUAGUUCAUUGCAUGUAAUCUAUUAGUUAGCAAAAAGACAUUAAGUUCUCUCGCCGAUAGGAAUAAAACAAUACACCAUGUAUUUAUUUACAGAGGGAGUAGUACAUUUUUUGUGACAUGCAUUACUAGAUAUUGCUAGUCAAAUACUAAAAUCUAGAUGGACGUGGUAGUACUCCUAAAUCCAGACGGUGGUGCUACUAGUACUAGUAGUAGUACUACCAAUGUAGUAGGAGUACUAGCACUGUACUACCCGUUGGUCAAAUUAUUACGUGCCACUCCUCACAGUGAAGUGACAAGACCCUGCGCCGGAGAUGACACCUGAGUGUAGGCGUCGUGUUGGUCAUACCAUAGUCAGCCUCACCGUCUGUAGUCACUAUCAUCAUGGCUAUAGAGCUAGCCUGCUUACAACUAGCCCUGUUCGACAUAAUUUCCCAUGCAUUGCACGAAACACCAAUAUUGGGGGUGGACAGCGCCGGCAGCGGCCAUCGCGCCACAUUUUUCCACGGCCUUCUAGAUGUGGUGGGGAGGAGAUAAGGCUGAUUGUGAGAGACAAGGAGUUGUUUGUAAAUAGGGAACAAGUGCGGGCAUCUUUUUGCAAAAAUGGAGAUGUUUGGUUUGUAUGCGUCAGAUCUAGAUCCGACGGCUAUUGGUGAAAGAUGGGAUGCACAACAUCAUCACCAACUCAGGACCUGUUUGAUUCACAGGAUUUUGAAAAUGCAUGAAUAGGACAUGACAAUAUUACAAGUUUCAAACCGAUAUUACAAAUGUUAGGAGUAAUGCUGCACCUACGAAGAGGGAAUUACUAGGAAGUUUACGUAAGAACUUUCGUUACUUUAGGUGGAUGCAGCAUUAUCAUACAAACUAAAAUCCACCACCCUGACAAGUCACUAAUGGGCAAAUAAGUUUUUGAAUCUCUGGCCACUUGAUGUUUCAAAAACAAAUUCAGCUUCUGUGAAGACUUUGUCAUUUAGGCUUAGACGCCUGCGGUGAUCAGCACGCCAUUCAUUGUUCCGCCAGAGAACGCCAAACCUCAUUACCUUGAGCACACUUUCCUCCAGAACAAAGAACCUGGCCAAUUUAAUCUCAGAUGUGCUACCUCGGUAGUCGAUCAAAUAAAUAUCUGUAAGAUGGAGAUCAAGGCAUAUUUGGAUACAAAGGAAUGGGAAGAUCUUCAGGAAUGAAACACCUUCUUUCAGGGCAUGGAGGAGGAAUUUUUUGCAGGACAUCUCUCUUUUAGCUCAUAGAAUCAAAUGUAAAUAUAGGAAUAGUUUAACCUCUUGGAUAGCUUCCUUACCCUAAUCACUUAUUUUGUAAGUAUUACUCUCUCCUCCUCUCUCUUAACUUUGUAACUUUGUACUACUUUGCUUUGAGUUUUAAUAAAAGACUGUGAGGCUGUUGCCUUGCAGUACAUAGUCAAAAAAAAGAUGGAGAUCAAGGCAUUUGAUGAGAUUUUUAUAGUGCAACACAUUUUUCACUUUUGGGUCUUUUUUUAUCUGCAAAAGAAGAGAACAUAUUAGAGCAGCUGGCUGUAUAAGAUUGUCGUGUCAUCAAGAGGUACCAAUAUCAUUCGCUCAUACGAUAGGGUUGGCUGGCUAGUGAUAUUUUUUCACUCUCUCUCUUUAUAUUUCCUCUCAUUUAACUAGGAGCACGUGAAGAGCUUGGGCAUUUGUUGCCUUCCACUAUGUGGCUGAUGCCAUAUUUCGCAAAAGUAUGCCACAUAAUACGCAUCAAUGUCAAAUCAAAAGAUUUUGGCACCGCUCUCGCGAUGUGAGAGAGUUGGCACCGCUGUGCACACAGACCUACAUGUAUAAACAAAUCAAUCAAACAACCUACACCAGCCUCUCACUCUCCCAAACAAGUGUUUUUUAUUGCCUCAGUCCUCUCUCUCACCCACGCAGUGUUUUUUCAUUGCGUGAGUUAAUUUGGCACCGGAGCAAAGUAGGUGAUCCAGAUUGGGGCACUAGGUGAGCAAUGGAGGGGCAUCGAUGCCAAAUGCAUCACAAGUAAAUUUGGCACGUGUUUUGGCCUACAUAGCCCACUUUUGUACUCCCUCCGUCCCAAAAUUCAUGUCUGAAAUUUGUCUAAAUAUGGAUGUAUCUAGUUACAUUUUAGUGUUAGAUACAUCCGUAUCUAAACAAAUGUAAGACAAGAAUUUUGGGACGGAGGGAAUACUACCUCGUAUUUAGUAUAAAAUUUUGACCAUAGAUUUACCUAAGAAAAUGCCAAUGCAUGUCACUAAAAAUUACACCAUUUGAAAUUAUGUUCAAAUAUGAAUCCAACGAUAUAGUUCUUAGUGACAUGCAUUAACAUUUUGUUAGUUAAAUCUAUGCUCUUAGUACAGCAUAAAAAUGAUGCAGGUGAUCACGUGAGAAAAAAUACUAAAAAUAUUUCUUUCGAUGCAGUGCGUAGAUGCAGUUUUGAACACUUCACUUGUCAUCAUAAUUUGGGAAAAUUACGAAAAAAUUGAGCUACGUUGUGAUUACUGUUUACUAAUAGGAAAGAAGUUUCACCUCGAUGAGUAGCUUCUCCGUGCAAGGAAAGCAUGCAAGGAAUCCAACAACUUGAUCCAGAUUGGGGCCGAUAGAUUUUAGUGCCAAGAUCUUUACUAUGCGCAUGGACUGGGUCAAGCUUGUGGGAAUCAUUUUCUGGAAGACGGUCGUAAAUACAUCAAGAAGAAAUUUAAAAAGUGAAUUUCAAGAAGACGGAGAAGAAGAUGAGUGUUGUACCUAAACGAUUACGGAUCCAAUAAAGAGUUCGGAGAAUUUGGCAAAUGAGUACACCAACACUGUCAAUUUCGGCGCGUCAAUGACCCUGAUUUUUGUUGGACCUUCUAGAUCCGAUACAAGCAAUCUCUCAAGGAAAGGCGCAUUCUCAAUAACCAUAACGUGGAACAGCUAGAGUGAUCUCUUCCCAAAUGAUGUCUUGUUGCGGGGCCAGCAAGACACAUAAAUCCAUCGGAGAUUCGUCGAGGCGAUGUGGAGGCUAAUGAACCCGUGGAUCUGCUCAAGACGAAGGUACUCGAGCGCAGUACAGCUACGGAGCAGGUGCUCCAUAACCUUCUUCGAGAUGACAACAUUGAAGAGGUCGAGCUGCUUGAGUUGAGGGAGAAGAAGGGCGGGCGCGACAUUAAUCUGGGGAAGAUAGCAGGAGCUGAAGCUGGUGCGACGCAACAUUGUCGUGAGGCGGAGCGCAGACGGCCGCAGAGAGCGACAUCGUCCAGCUUCAAAGCUGAGCUCCUUGAGCUGAUCUAGGGUGGGGGAUAAGAACCACUCGUCAAACUUGAGUUGGACCUUGUAGUUGGUACUGAACAUGCGGAUGUCAAGGCAUCUGGCUGGCCCAGGGUGCGAUGAAAGGAUCUUGGAGACUGCGGCCAUGCGUUUGCAAUCCCCGUCGCAGAGGCAGCUGUCAACGGCGAGGUUGAGGGGGACGCGGUGCCAAAGGGCGCGCGACCGACGGGAGAGCAGGGUGGUUCGCACAGCAAAUUUGGUGGGGAGGAGGCCGAUGAUGACGAGGAACAUGUUUUCAGGGAGGCUGCUGAUGAAGUCCAGGCUCACCUGAUGCGGUUUUGGCUCGAGUCACCUCUGCUUGUUGGCUGCCUCGCCGUCCAUCUCAAUUGGUGGCGACGCCGGUGUACACCGGUGCUGGUGUGUGUUGUGUGCUAGGUGUGCGUGAGUGCGUCCUUCUGUUCAUGACGCUGUGCAGUGGCGAAUUGUGCGCGAGUGCGUCCUUCACGCGCAAGAAGUGUGUCCUCAAUGUGCCCUCAAUUUACUAGCAUGCGGGGUGCUACCUCGAGUGGUUUCAACUUUGUUUACUUCACCGCAUGUCAGAUGGGCCUCUAGUUUACUUAUUUUCACCCACUGCCACAUGGGCCAGCACACGAAGAUACAGAACACGAGCUGACAAGGCAGCAUGUGGACUGGUUGACCGGUCAACUAAACAAUAUACGGAGCUAUAUGCUAACACAAUGAGCAUAUAAUCCGUCGGUAUAGAGAGUUUGAGUGUGAGGGGAGGCCCGUGAGAGAUAGCAGAGAGAGAGAGAGAAAGAGCUACUCCCACCGUUCGAUAAUGUAGUUCCAACAUUUUUUUUAAAGCCAAACUUUUCAAACUUUGACCAAGUUUAUAAAGAAAUUACUUAUAUCUACAAUACCAAAGAUAAAUGAUAGUAUGAAGUAAAUACAUGUUGUGAUGAAUCUAAUGAUCGUUCCAGAUGUAAAUGAUUUUCUCCACAUAUACCUGGUCAAACUUUUCUGAGGUUUGACUUUUCAAAACAUCCAUAUGCUUAUGGACAUGACACAGUCCCUAACUAGAGAGAGAGAGAGAGAGAGCAAGAGAGAGAGACAGAGAGAGAGAGAGAGAGAGAGAGAGAAAUAGAAAGAGUGAGUGAAAAAAGUGUGUGUGCGUGUGUGAAAGAGACAUGGACAACACAUGACAAAAGUAGAGAAAAAGCAUGCGUGUCUUAUGCAAACAUAUCACACAUGCAUCUUUGACAACGGAGGCAAGGUGAGGACAUAGUGUGUGGUUGUUUGGAACCGAGAGAGCAAGACCCCUAGCACGUGGCCAAGAGGGGUCUGACAAACAAGGGAGAGAGGUCGAGAGAGACGUACAGAGAAAAUGCAGACAUGGGGAGGAGAGAGUAUAUGUUUGUCAUACAGAGAUCCCAUGGAGAUCGCGAUGGGACUACAUGGGUGGGAGAUCGAGUGACAAGGUGUGUGCGCGAUAGAAGAUGCCCCGAGAGAUAUCGAGAUAGACGUGUGGAUGGAAGGAGACAAUACGUGUGUUCCUGAUGGCUAGUAAGAGAUAAUCAUACUUAGGAGGAGGGGGGAGUGCUUGCGCCUAUGAUGGAGUGAGGGAUUAUGGUACUUAUGGGGGUGCGUGUCACAUGGAGAGAGAACAAGGGCGGAGAGUGUUGGAUGAGUCUAUAUGUAUAGCACGAGCGAGACAUGUGUAUGUGUGAACCUGGGAGAUAUAAGGUCAGUUUGGCUUGUGUCCUGAGCAUCUUUUGCCUGGCCUGGGGUUGUGGCUUGAUUUCAUGCGCGCUUGUUUGGUUGCUACCCUGUGAAAAAGAAAGCCCGCCUGGCCUGGAUUCCCUUGCACUUUAAUUAGCCUGGCUAGACUCCAGACACUACAAGUAGCUUGGCCCAGGCGACCGAUUUCGAAUGCCUAGCCAUGCCUGGUCGUGCAGCCACGAGGAUAAAAGCAACCUAGAUGGAUAUUAGCAUUAAAUAAUUGCUGCAUGGAUUGAUUGAUGCGACGUUGAUGCUUUGCCUGGCCCAGGCACGAACCAAACGCUUCUGCACCACACAAGCCUGGCCAGGCAGAAAUAUUUUACAUCUCACGUCCACGCCAGGCAGUACUGGCCAUCAAGGCAUGAGGGUGAGGUCAGGAACCAAACUGACCAAUAAAGUUUGAAAGAGAUUGAGGAGCCCCGAUAAGGCUGAGUGGUGCGUUAGAUAGCUGAGAGGGGGAAAGAGAUAUUCCAUCCGCUCGAUAAUGUAGUGCAUGUAAAUUUUUUAGAAGUCAAACUUUGGAAACUUUGAUCAGGUUUACGCAAAUGUUAUUUAUAUCUACAAUACCAAAGAUACAUCAUACACAACUACAUAUCAUGGUGAAUCUAAUGGUAUAUGUUUGCCGUUCUAGAUGUAAUUUUUUUCUCCACGUACAUGGUCAAACUUUGUGAUGUUUGACUUUUCAAUAAAUCUAUAUGCUAUGGACCAAGGAGAGUGCCUAAGUCGAAACAGAUCAAGUGUGUGUGAAGGAGAAUGAGUAAGUGUGCAAAAAGAGUAUGUGUGUGAAAGAGAAAGUACAACAAAUGAUAAACUAGAGAGUGUGUGUGUUUUUUCGUUUCUUAUGCGAACAUAUCACGCAUGCAUCUCCGAGAUAGAAAAGCGAGGCGAGGAGAUACACAAAGAUAGCUAGUGUGUGAUUGUUUGCAACAGAGAGAGACACCCCUGUAGCACAUGUCCAAUAGAGGUCUGGCCAACAAGGAACAAAUGUCGUGAGGGACACAUGGAGGACAUGGACACAUGGGGAGGGAGAGAGGGUGUGUUUGUGAUAGAGAGAUCCCAUCGAGAUCGUGAGGGGACUAUAUGGGUGGGAGAUCGAGGGAGGUGCGUGCGUGAUAGAAAGAUGCCCCGAGAGAAAUCGAGAUAGACCAUGCACAUGUUUGUGAUGGAGACUAAGAUUAGCUAGUCAUAUACAUAUAGGGGGACUACGCGUGCCUACAAUUGAGUGAGAGACCAUCAUACUUGGCUAGCUAGGCAUGAGAUUGUGUGUGUGUGUGCGUGUGAGAUGGAGAGAGAAUGAGGUAGAGAGAUAUAGUUUUAGAUGGGCCUAUCGAGUGCGAGUGAGAUAUGCAUGUGUAUGUGUGACCCAGGUGGAUCGAGAGUUUGAGAGGGGGGAGAGCUCCGAGACGACAGAGUGGUGCGUGAGAGAGUUACGGGCAACGAGCAAAGGAAUUUGUGUGCGUACCAUGAGUGCGCCCAAGAUAUCUAGCUUGGAUUAGCUAGAGUAUCAUACAUAGUGUGCGAGAGAGACCUAUAUAUGGUGUAUAUAUAUGCAUGCGAACUAGAAUGAUCCCCCCACACACACACAAAGAGAGAGAGAGAGAGNNNNNNNNNNNNNNNNNNNNNNNNNNNNNNNNNNNNNNNNNNNNNNNNNNNNNNNNNNNNNNNNNNNNNNNNNNNNNNNNNNNNNNNNNNNNNNNNNNNNNNNNNNNNNNNNNNNNNNNNNNNNNNNNNNNNNNNNNNNNNNNNNNNNNNNNNNNNNNNNNNNNNNNNNNNNNNNNNNNNNNNNNNNNNNNNNNNNNNNNNNNNNNNNNNNNNNNNNNNNNNNNNNNNNNNNNNNNNNNNNNNNNNNNNNNNNNNNNNNNNNNNNNNNNNNNNNNNNNNNNNNNNNNNNNNNNNNNNNNNNNNNNNNGUGUCGGAUGCGUGCGACAGGAUUGAAGAUUGUCGGAGAGAGAGAGAGAGCGAGAGAGAGAGAGAGAGAGAGAAAGAGAGAGAGAGAGAGAGAGAGAGAGAGAGAGAGAGAGAACAUGAGUCUGGGAGAGGGGGAGGUCGCGUUUUAUGCAUCAAAGACUGAUAUAAACCAUGUCUCGAUAUAAACUUGCAUUCAAAUAUUUAAAUUGGAAAACAUGUUGUUUGCAAUCCACACAUGAACGGAUAUAUGCGUAUAUCAAACAAGUUCAUCAAUUUGACUUUCAACAUGUUCAUGGAGUACUAUAAUACUAUACAACACGCUACUUGAUUGAGGUGUUCAAUUUUGGAUUUAGUUCACUAUUUUGACCUAGUGAACGAGCUAUUUCAUUGAAUCGAGAUAUUUCAUUUUGGGUUUAAUUCGUGUUUUUGAGUGCGUCAACUAUUUGUCAUAUAGUAAAUCGCUAGCAAUGAGCAUGUAAAAACACAUUACUCCCAAGCAUCAUCUCUCCAUCUAAAAAAGAAGUGGCAAGCUAAUAUUUCAAAAUUUGAUUCGAAUCGACUUGGUAAGGUAGACGUGGAUGCUCGAUCUCCUAAAAUUUGAAUGAACCGUUAAACAUCAUCUACUCGGUGGAAUUCGCCCGAGCAAAUAAAUGGGAGAUGCGAAAUUACCGUCCUAUGUGGGACACACAUCUAUUGGCCCGUUGUACAUCGCGGGUAGGUUCAUAACUUCAUCCAAGCGCGCCUUCUCUUCGGCCAAAAUGACAUGUGCCGAAUAAUUCAUAAACCAUGGUCGGCAAAACACGCUCUCCUCGCCUAAAAUAGCUCGCGCCCACUAUUUCAAAACAUGCUCUCCUCGCACGAAAUUGUUCGCGCCCACUAUAGUUCAAAACACGCCCUCCUCGCCCGAAAUCGCUCCCGUCCACUAUUUGGGGAGAAGCAAAGUUACUCUACUAUCCCCGACCCUCAGUACACAGACCCAAGCCGAGAAGCCUAAAGGCAGGGGUAGAACUGUAACUCCCCCUCACAUUUCAGACAAAUGCGUCUGUAAGACAUGGUUCCACUCCCCUCACAAUUCCCCUCCCCCCCUCGCCCCCCAUUCAUACCUCGUGGGCGCAAAAUCACCUUCUCCCCAGGAAGCUCCCUUCUCCCGAGCCGCGAAACCUCAGCCCCUCCUCCAUGGCGCCCGCACCGCACCAAUUUCACAGCUGCCCUCCUCCCUAAUGCCGGAGAUGUUGUCCAUUUGCCGUCGUGCACUAGGCCGUGUGCCUCUUACUCCGUGCUGCUAGAGCUGCCUCGACGACGGCCGCGUGAACCGUACCGGAGCCGAUUCACCCCCGCCAUUGUUCAUGACGCUGGAGCGGCUCCAACUUCGGAUCCGUCCAGAGUCCAAGUGCUGCUUCCCCAUAGCCGUCGACCGUCGCGACAUUGUUGUUUCCCUGUCGCAGGUCGCCACCGCAACUGCGCCGGCAUCACUGACUCGGCAGCUGGACCUCCCUACUUCACCAUGCCACCAGAUAGGUCGCACCCUCAUCUCAAAUCACUUUAUUUAGGCGUCAGUUGUCUGAAUUUUUAUUCUGGGCCAAUCGAUUCCUAAUGGGAAGCAGCAUCCCUCGAGGCGGCGGAGCUCCCGGUUAGCUGGUGUCUAACGUAAGGGUGCGGGGCCGCAAGUUCGCCGCGGAAGCAGCACUUAGAUGGCUAAGUUUUAGAGUUGUGUGGGUUGAAGGUACUAGCGCCAUCGGAUCUGGAUGACGGGGCGUCUUUGUGGAUUGGCCCGGGGGCGGCGCAACCACGGCAGUGCGGUGGGGUGGGGAGCGGGGUUUUGGCCAGGGCCACGGACAUCGGAGGUAGGCUGCUCUGCCGUUGGUCGCUAGCUCUUCGGGGAAGAUUCCGAAUAGUGUCAGCCGGGAGGCACAAGACGACCAUCAAGCCAUCCAGCGUAGAUCGGACAAUACCAAAAUAAAAUAAAAUCAUGUGACCCCAAUUUAGUCUUCAGUCAACAGAUGUGUGACCACUCUCGUACCUUGCUGUUGAUCUCUUAGUGUAUUUCUUCAGAUCAAAGAGAUAUGUCAUUCUUAACAUUAUGCAUUAUCUGCAUCUUCAGACACACCGUCUUCCGACUCACCACAGCUGCUCCAACAAGGGAAGCAUACACCAGAAGGGAGCUAUAGUCCCCACUCAACAGUUCCCUGCAUUGAAUGCGCUUGCCCGACAUGGACAGCCACAACAACUGCAGGGCCAUCGACAAGUCAACACAUGAUGCUCACUCCUAUGGAUGGCAGCCAGAUAGGUUGUACCCUCAUCUUACUUGUGUGCAACAUUUAUGGCUUUGUUAUUCAUCUAAGCAUGGAAAAUAGAUCAUCACAUCUCACUUUAUAUUCAUGCUGAUCUCUUACGGGUCUUGUUCAGGAGUUAACGUUGUUCCAUAGUUCAGCUAAGAUACUUGUUCUUUAGGUAACGUUGUUCCAUAGUUAUCAUCUAUCAGCCAAUUCUAUCCCACAGGCUGGUGAUUAUAGUAUUAUAGCACUUCUAGUAUUACCUAUGUUGUUCUUUAAUACUUUUGUGUGCCAUCUAGUUAAUCUCGAGUACAAAUGAUACAUAUUCCAUAGCUUUCAUCUAUGUUCUCCCUUUAGUUUAUGAGACUUGUUGCUGCUAGUUAACCCUAGUCCUACUAUUUAUGUCGUCUCCUACAGGCACUCAUUACAUAAAUCUAACUACUAGUUGUCUUCCAUGCAUGUCACAUAUAAUUGCACACACUGAUAUAUCCACAAUAACCUCACGGAGCAAUGUAAAGGCCAAUAAACUUGAUGUCAAUGAUACCCAAUAUGAUGGAACUUGUAAAGGCAGUUCUUCAGAAGACUUGCAGAAAGAUAAUGAAUCCUCUUCACCCCACAAGGUCCUUACUCUAACAUGGCCUGUGAUAUGGGUACGGCAUGCAUAUAAUGUCCUGGAGUGUAUCUACUCUGUUGCAAUGCCAUGUCCUUAGCAUGCUGAUCAUGCAUGUAAAUAUGUCAUGCCUUCCUGUUUUUCAGUACCUAUUCCAUUCAUGGUAACAUGUUUUCAAAUUCAAGUACUGUCAUUCUACUCUAUCGCAAUGCCAUCGGCUUAAUUUGGACAUCAUGCUUCUGAAUAUCUUAUACAUUGUUAUUCAUCAGUAUGUACUUCAUCUGUCUACCAUACCAUGUUUUUUACAUUGAAGUGUUGUUCUAGUGCUCUGUUGCAAUGCCACCUUAGUUUCCCAAUCAUACACGUGUAUGUUGCCUUAGUUAUUUUUGUACGUAUUCCGCUAGCAUACAGUUUUACAUUCAACUAGUGUUUUUUCUUGCUAUGUUGUCCUGUCGUAUCCCUAGCUCUUACACCAUACUCCCACCGUCCGGAUUACAUGUUGACGAAAUGGAUAAAAAAGGAUGUAUCUAGAACUGAAAUACGCCUAGACCCAUCCAUUUUGUUCCGGAUGGAGGGAAUACAUGUCAAUAUGUCAUGCCUUUCUAUUCUUCAGUACCUAUUCCAUCUCUCUGCUGUAGCAUGUUUUAUAAUUAAAGCACCAUUCUUGUAGGCAUGCAAGGGGAAGACGACUAUGUUAGAAUCAGAAGGGUUACAAACAAGGCCUUUGCAAAAGAUCCAAACGCCAGGAGAUAAUAAACCAACUCCAGUUUUUAUAGAUACUGCUCCAGCACAGAGAAACCCAACUCCUACUGAUAAUAAGCAUAUUCCAGUGGCCAAAGAACUAGUCCGCUCCAGUCCAAAAAAAUAUGUCAACUACAUUCUAAGAAGCGUGUGCAUAUCCUUGCAUCAUGAAAUUUUAUAGGAUGCUGAUCAUAUUAUCUACAUGUUUCUUACCCAUCUCUCUUUUAGAAAAUAAGCUUAACAGAUAGUAGAAUUUCUGCACUGGUAUCGUAUGUGAGGAAAGAUUCUUGCAGGAAUUCUCUUUGCUCCAAUGCAGAUGUAAGUACCUGUUGUAUAUCACUAUAUUUUUACAUCAGCAUGUAUUUUGUUAAUCGGCGUGAAUCCAACCUGUAUCUGAUCUAAAUUUAGUUGUAGCAAAAUGUAUGAUUAAAGGCCACAAUGUUGAUUUUUGUAAGGAAAACUGCCUGGUAGUUUUGCAUCCUGAGCUGCAUGAGUUUACUAUCUCAUAUCAGUGGGUUCGAAUACUUUGGUUCUGCAGUGGGUUUUCAGUGUUUUGUUGUCCCAUCGUAUCCCUAUCUCUUACAUCAUACUCCCUCCGUCUGGAUUACAUGUCGCAGAAAUGGAUAAAACUGGAUGUAUCUAGAACUGAAAUACACCUAGACCCAUCCAUUUAUUUUCGGAUGGAGGGAAUACAUGUCAAUAUGUCAUGCCUUUCUAUUCUUCAGUACCUAUUCCAUCUCUGUUGUAGCAUGUUUUAUAACUGAAUCACCAUUCUUCUAUAUAAAGCAUGCAAGGGGAAGACGGCUAUGUUAGAAUCUGAAGGGUUACAAACCAGGUCUUUGCAAAAGAUCCAAACGCCAGGGAUAAUAAACCAACUCCAUUGUUCAUAUAUACUUCUCCAGCACAGAGAAACCCAACUCCCACUGAUAAUAAGCAAAUUCCAGUGGCCAAAGAACUAGUCUGCUCCAGUCCAGCAAAAGAAUGUCAACUCCAUUCUAAGAAGCGUGUGCGUAUCCUCGCAUCAUGAAAUUUUAUAGCAUUCUGAUCAUAUUUUCUACAUGUUUCUUACCCAUCUCUCUUUUAGAAAAUAAGGUUAAAUGAUAGAAGACUUCCUCCAUUUGGAUCGUAUUUGAGGAAAAUAUCUUGCGGGAAUUCUCUGUGUUCCAAUGCUGAUGUAAGUACCUGUUGUAUAUCACUAUAUUUUUACAUCAGCAUGUAUUUUGUUAAUCGGUGUGAAUCUAACCUUUAUCUGAUCUAAAAUUAGUUGUUGCAAAAUGUUAAAGGUGCCAAUGUUGAUUUUUGUAAGGAAAACUGCCUGGUAGCUUUGCAUAUUGAGCUGCAUGAGUGUACUAUCUCAUAUCACGCACAUUACUAAAUUGUAGUGCUUCUCUGGUUGCCCAUUCAUUCAUUGUGUCAAUGUUGCUUUCGUAUUACGUUACCUGGCUGAUGAUAGUUGUGCAAUAUUGUGUUAAUUUGGUGUAGGCUAGUUUCCCAAACGUUCGUUGUGUCAAUUUUUCUUUCCAAUUAUCUGACUUGGCCAAUGAUAUCAGUGCUAGUGUGUUAAUUUUGUGUAGGCUGCUGAAGAUAAGAAGACAAACUCUGAAAACAGCAAGGCAACCCCAUUGUUUCUUUCCAAUAAAUCUAGGCCAGGUAAUAUGGCAAUAACUCAUGAUUAAUCUGUUUGGUUCCCUUCCUAAUUUAUGUUAUGAUGCAGUGGUCGAGACACUCUCCACUAUCAAUAAUACAAGCCUGCCAAAAUCGCCAUCUGAAUCUGUUCAGUGUCCUCCAUCUCGAAUGCAACGGAAUAAAUGUAUGUUUGUGAACCAAUUAAUGGCUGAAGCAAUGAUGGAAAUGGUGGAUGAAUCAGAGGUGCAGAGUUGUGCGACACAACAACUGAUCAAUGUUUUCAAAGACAGUGUAGCAAAGCAGCAAGAACUUGCCCACAUGCUUAUGGGCGUCAUCUGUGCUGAGAUUGCAGAUUGUGACGUUGUAGAUGGUUAGGUUCUGCUCAUUUAUUUGCACUGGCAUCAAUCUUUGAUUGCCUAGUGGAUGUAAUUUCCUAUAAUAUAUGCUGGAUGUGCAACGUUAUUCCCCGUAUGCCGUACCUUUGCUUGAUCGGUUUUGGUCCUGUGCAUAAUUGCUCGUCAUAAUGGGCCCAAAUUAUCUAAUUUGGCCUAAAGAUAUGUACGAACUUUAGUGGGCCCAUUAAGUUAAUGGGCCGUUACUAGGCCGAAAGUUAAUUCUCGGCCCUCUUACCUCCCGGGUCGUUAACAGGCCGACAUCGAAGUGGGCAAAUGGUGGGCCCAAUUUAUUUCACGGGCAGUUAACAGGCCGUUACUAAGUUUGGGCUACAUAUGGCCCAACUAUACUGUACGCCAUUAGCAGGCCGAAAGAGACAGCGGGCUUGUACUGGACCAUGAAGAGCAUGGGCCGCUAAGAGGCCGAAUGUCAGGUCGUAUUGUAAAUGGCCCAACUAUGUUGUGGGCCUUUAGCAGGCCGAAAGAGAAAUCGGGAUGGUAUUGGACCAUGAAGGGCAUGGGCCGUUAAAAGGCCAAAAGUAAGGUCCGACUACAAAUGGCCCAACUCAUUUAUGGCCCGUUAACAGGCCUGUCGGUGUCAAAACCAGCAGAUCUCGAGUAGGGGGUCCCGAACUGUGCGUCUAGGCGGAUGGUAAUAGGAGACAAGGGACACGAUGUUUUUACCCAGGUUCGGGCCCUCUCGGUGGAGGUAAAACCCUACUCCUGCUUGAUUAAUAUUGAUGGUAUGGGUAUUACAAGAGUUGAUCUACCACGAGAUCAGAGAGGCUAAACCCUAGAAGCUAGCCUAUGGUAUGAUUGUUUUCUGUCCUACGGACUAAAACUCUCCGGUUUAUAUAGACACCGGAGAGGGCUAGGGUUACACAGAGUCGGUUACAAUGGGAGGAGAUCUUCAUAUCGUAUCGCCAAGCUUGCCUUCCAGGCCAAGGAAAGUCCCUAUCCGAACACGGGACGGAGUCUUCAAUCUUGUAUCUUCAUAGUCCGGGAGUCCUGCCAAAGGUGAUAGUCCGGUCAUACGGACACCCCGUAAUCUAGGACUCUCUCAGUAGCUCCCGAACCAGGCUUCAAUGAUGACGAGUCUGGCGCGCAAAUUGUCUUCGGCAUUGCAAGGUGGGUUCUUCUCCAACUUCAUAUACUUGUAGAAUAGUGUCCAGCUUCUGAUAAAUGUUGCGCUCCUUGGCUUCCACGCCCAAUAAAGGCCAUUUUUCACGUGUCGAACGAAUGCGAAAAGCUAAGGUAUUUUUGCAUUUUCCCCCCUAGCGACUCAAAUAAGCUGUCUAUAAAAAGAGACGGGGAUCUAGAUCCGAACCACGCCAUCUCCCCUUCACAAGCUUUCAUCGGAGCACGUCUGACCAAAAAAUCCAUCAUGGACAGCCGACGCGGCUCCUCCUCUCGCGCUCCCAGCCCCAAGCCUGGGGAUUGGGAGAGAUGCUCCAUCCCGGAUAGUGAACUCAUAGUCCUUCAAUCCAAGGGGCUCCUUUCCCCAGCAUAUAUGGUCCCAGUUCGAGCUGGGAUCGCCACUUAUAGCGGCGGAGAGCAAGCAGAGAGCAUCCCCCAUCCCUCUCGAGGAGAGCGGGUAUGCCUAGUCCCUUAUUUAAUAAGAGGACUCGGAUUUCCAAUUCAUCCGUUUCUUCGAGGGUUGCUGGAGUUCUACGGCCUCCAACUUCACGACCUCACGCCUGCCUCCAUUCUGCACAUUGCGGGCUUCGUGGCCCUCUGCGAACUAUUUUUGGGUGUUGAGGCCCAUUUCGCGCUGUGGAAGAGGUUGUUCUACCUCGUGCCCCGUUCUCAGGAGGGGUCUAUUUAUCAAGUGGGCGGAGCCGAACUAUGGCGCAUCACUGGGACCGGAUAUCUAUCCGGUACCCCUAAGAGGACGUCGGAGGACUGGCCCUCGAAGUGGUUCUAUAUAGAUGAUGUCCCUCUGCCGGACCCUGUACGGAUCGACCUCCCUGAGUUCAAUAAAGCUUCGUUGAAGAAGCGCCUGAGCUGGCGCCCGCGGAACCCUCAGAGGGAAACUGACAGGGACGUCCUUUACCGGAUGAGCCGGAUAAGGUUGUUGGCUCAUUCCGGACUGACCAUGAUCAAGGUCAUGGCCAUAUGCAUUAUGCGAGGGGUGCAGCCGCUUCAAUACAGAGCACACCCCAUGUGGGAUUUCAACGGGGAGGACGAUGCCACCCGGUGCGGUCGUAAGGGGCCAGAUUCGGCCGCCACCUUAACGAGAAUUUUAUCCGCUUUGUAUAAGGGAGAAGAAGAGGAAUUCCUCCGUGCCAACCCGGAGGGCGGAUUCUCCAUGUACAAUCCUCCAAGUUGGGUAAGUGAACAAUUUCACUUAUCUACCCGCCUUUCGAAAUUCCCAUGGUUGAGUAUUCAGUCUGGUGAUAUUAACGCAGGAGUUACGCCAGACGGUGAAGGAGACCAACAACUCUCCCCCACAGCCCGAGGACCCGGAACGGUCCCUCGACCCGGAUUCCCAAGAGGAUCCGGACUUAUGUGUGGAGUUAAUUGAUGGGGUGUUUCAUCAAUUGAGUAAGGAUAACACAUUAGUGGCCAUUACGGCCGACUAUCCUGGAUUACUUCCAGCCUCAAAGGUAGCCGAGACCGAAGUCCUGGUACUUUGAAGGAGAUCCAUCCAUGUCUUAUUUUGAAUGCUGUAGACCAAUAGUGUUUCGUUUUGCAGGGGAAAUCCUUGAGGUGGAGUGCCGGGCCCGCGAUGGGCAGCCAACAAGGGCCGCUAAAGCCAAGCGGGCAAAAAAGAAGUGCAGACCAGAUCGAGACUCUGGUGCAACGGUACGGCGUGCGAAUUUCACGCCUAGGGUCUAUGCCCUCAAGUCAUUCUAAUGCCCAUGUUCUCCUUAGGAAGAAGAGAGCCCGUCGGACUAUAUCCACCGGCCAGACUUCAAGGACGGAUCCGGAAGCAGAGGCGGACACGGGACGUGCGUCAGGUGUUCCCCCGACAGAGGAUGCAGACAGGCUAUUUGCCACCAAUUCAGAGGUGGAGAGUGCCAUGAACCACAGGCAUCGCCGGACUAUUCUUCAGGACGCAUGUUUUUCCCCGGAGGCACUAAACGCCUUUAAUAUAGGAGAUGCGUACCUCCGUGCCACUCAAAAUGGUCUAGCCAGGGCCACGGAGCAGUAUGUAAAAGACAUAUAGUGAGUAAAUCUGAUAGUUAUAUAUGUUAGUAGCCCCCGAGACUUGAAAAGUUAAGAUAACUGUUUUAAGGAUCAUAUGUUAUGCAGGGUCUUACAGAGAAGAACACACAACUGUCUUAGGAGUUGGCGGAGUGCAAGGCCCAACUCGAGGCCGCACUGCCGCUUUAGCUAUUGGCAAGGAGACCCCCUCAGGUAAUGUAUUCUCCCAAAAAAUAAUUAAAUUGCGAAGUGUGCAAUGCUAACGAUAACAAUGCAGAUGAAGCCGGAGUAAAUCCGGACAAGCAACAACUCCUACGCCAACUAAAGGCUGGCGAGAGCGUGCUGACAAGGGUGAGGCAAGAGAAGAACAAGCUUCAAGACGCCAAUACCCAGCUGGGCGAGGAACUAAAGGAUGUUCGUAUCCAGCUGUCUGUUUCCGUAAAGGAGAAUCAGCGACUCCGACGCGGCAUUUUUAGUAAGUGCUUGAGCGAAAUCUUGAAAAAAAAAAUCGGCGAAGAAGUCGAUUGACAGAGCUAUGUCUGUAGGUCUACUGUCGGGUCGUCCUGCAGAGGAAAUGCCCGGUUCAACGGGGGACCUUCUUCCCGAGUUGUUGCAACUGCACGAACAAGUUCGGCAGGCAAUGCGGGGCGUUAUCCAAGCUAUGUGGCCAUCCCUUUCCGCACCCGAAGGCUUUGGGGAGCUUGCAAAGAAGCUGGAGGGAGUGCGGCAGCGCUUCCGGUUGUGGAAGAUAUCGGCCUACCGCCAAGGUGCCAAUGAGGCCUGGGCCAUGGUGAAGACCCGGUACUCGAAGGCUGACCCAAACCACAUGGCCGAGGUCAGCCCUAUGGGUCCUGACGGAAGGGAGAUCCCUGUCAGCUUAGUAUAUGGCCAGGUAGAGCUGGCUGCAAAGUAUUCCCAACAGGACUGUAAAUUAGAUCGCCUGUUGGAUGGUAUUGAAGAAGAGUAUACCAAGUCGGAUUGACUCUGUAAUUAAAAAUGACAUAAAAAUGCCUUCUAGCCGGAUUGUAGAUCGUUUGUCAUUGCGGACAUUUUCGCUUCGACCUCCGGACCCUAUAGUCCCGAGUGUGUCCGAAUACCCUCUCGAUUAUGUAAGAAUCGGGGCAUGCAUGGAUACAAGGCGUAGGGGUCAUAAUUGCUUUAGCAGACAAGUGCCCAACUAGUUAUGUUAUAUUACAUGGUUAGUAAGAAACGUCUUCCAGGGAGAAUAGUUCCGUUAGGGGUUCCUUUCCCUGGGAGGCAUGCCCUAAAGUGCAUGUCCGGACUGCUAGAAAGAGCAGAAAAGCAUCUGGGGGAAGAUAAAUAAACAAGAAAAAUCAUCUUUUAAUUCACCAACCAAAUAUUCCCUUAAGAAUGCUAGCUUUCGGCUUCACCCAGUCUGAGGUACACAUCCGACUGACCCGGCAGUAACAAUCGCAGAGGUGCUCCCUUUACGACCUAGUCGAACGAACGGGAAUGUAGGGGUAAGCACAGGAGCCAGGCAACCCAGCUUGGCCAAAACUUAAGUCAUAUCGAUGCAUAUAAUGGUGUAUAAAAAGGUUCAUGCCGAAGUGUCACACAUGUUUUGGGCAUGAGGCCCACUUAGAUAAACUUCUGAUAAAGAAGCCCCCAGGUAGGAUGAGCGCGGGUGGCGCGUCAAGUAUGUGCGAGCAAUGCGCAAGCAAGCCCCUAAGGGCUUGGGAGAAAAAAAACAAAAAAGGGGGGAGAAGGAGAGAAAUGCCAGACAGCUAUAUGUGAAAACAUAAAAAAUGGGACAGAGGAGGGAGACGAACACGGAGUCCGGCGCUUAGGCGUAGAAUCUUCGUAGGCGUGCUGCAUUCCAUGGGUUCGGCUCGAGUCGGUUGUCCGAUGCGUUUCGCAGACGGUACGCUCUGCCAAUCAGUACUUGGUCGAUUAUGAAGGGACCCUCCCAUUUGGGCUUUAGUUUGUCUUUUUUCUUGUCCGGCAGGCCUAGAACUAGUUCGCCAACAUUGUAAGUUUUGGCCCGUACUUCUCUGCUUUGAUAUCUUCGGGCCUGUUGUUGAUAGAAUGCGGAACGGGCUUUUGCCACGUCGCGCUCCUCCUCCAACGCGUCCAAGCUGUCCUGCCGAUCGAGCUCGGCUUCUCUUUCUUCGUACAUGCGCACUCGAGGUGAGUCAUGUAUUAUGUCGCAGGGCAGAACUGCCUCUGCGCCGUAUACUAUAAAAAAUGGUGUGAAUCCGGUAGUGCAAUUCGGCGUGGUCCGCAGCCCCCAGAGUACGGAGUCAAGCUCCUCUACCCAUUGCGUGUUUGAUUCUUUGAGGGAUCGCACUAGUCUGGGUUUGAUGCCGCUCAUAAUAAGACCGUUGGCUCGUUCGACUUGACCGUUAGUUUGUGGGUGAUAGACUGAAGCAUAGUCGAGCUUGAUGCCCAUGUUUUUGCACCAGAGUUUAACUUCGUCGGCCGUAAAGUUUGUGCCGUUGUCAGUUAUGAUGCUGUGGGGGACGCCGUAACGGUGUACAACCCCGGAUAUGAAGUCUAUCACCGGUCUGGAUUCGGUCGUCUUUAUAGGCUUGGCCUCUAUCCAUUUGGUGAAUUUGUCCACCAUAACCAGUAGAUAUUUUUUCUUGUUGGUUCCUCCUUUAAGGGGUCCAACCAUGUCAAGCCCCCAGACCGCAAAAGGCCAGGCAAUGGGGAUGGUUUGUAGGGCGGUAGGCGGCAUGUGGCUUUGAUUAGCGAAUAAUUGGCAACCGACGCAUCGCUUCACUAAAUCCUGAGCGUCUGCCCGGGCCGUUGGCCAAUAAAAUCAGGUACAGAAGGCAUUGCUUAUGAGGGCCCGGGCUGCGGCGUGGUGACCGCCGAGUCCGGCAUGGAUUUCAGCCAGAAGGUUUUUCCCUUCCUCUUCGGAGAUACAUCUUUGAAGGACUCCGGUUGUGCUUUUCUUAUAAAGCUCCCCCUCGUGGACUUUGUAGGCUUUAGAUCACCGCACUAUGCGACGGGCUUCGUUUUGGUCUUCAAGAAGUUCCUGCCUAGUUAGGUAGGCUAGGAAUGGUUCUGUCCACGAGGUAAUGACUGCCAUUAUUGUGUGGGCUGACGGUGUUGUUUCGGUGGCGGAGCCACCAACUGUGUCAAAGUGUUCGGUGAGAGGCAGUGUGGUUGUGUCCGGGCUAUUGUUUCCAGACUCUCCCUCCCAUGAAACUGACGGCUUGAACAGCCUCUCAAGGAAGAUGUUGGGGGGGACGGCAUCGCGCUUCGCGCUGAUGCGUGCCAACACGUCUGCUGCCUGGUUGUUCUCCCGGGCUAUGUGAUGAAAUUCGAGCCCCUCAAACCGAGAUGACAUUUUUAAGACAGCAUUGUGAUAAGCUGCCAUUUUCGGAUCCUUGGCGUCAAAGUCUCCAUUUAUUUGGGAUACCGCGAGGUUUGAAUCCCCGCGGACCUCUAGGCGCUGAAUGCCCAUGGAGACUGCCAUCCAGAGACCAUGUAGAAGGGCCUCGUAUUCGGCUACGUUGUUGGAAUCCGUGUACAUUAUCUGAAGUAUGUAUUGUACUGUAUCUCUAGUUGGGGACGUCAGAAUGACGCCAGCCCCAGUCCAGCCAACAUUUUGGAGCCGUCGAAGUGCAUGAUCCAAUUGGAGUAUGUGUCGUACUCUUUAAGGAGCUCGGCUUCAGUCCAUUCGGCGAUGAAGUCGGCCAAAACCUGCGACUUAAUGGCUCGCCUUGGCUUCUAAGUUAUGUCUAACGGGAGGAGCUCGAUGGCCCAUUUGGCAAUCUGGCCCAUUGCGUCAUGGUUGUUUAUAAUAUCAUUAAGGGGUACUUCGGAUGCCACUGUUAUUGAACACUCUUGAAAAUAGUGUUGCAGCUUCCGGGAUGCCAUGAACACCGCGUAUGCUAUCUUUUGAUAAUGCGGGUACCGUGACUUGCAUGGAGUUAGGACAGUGGACACGUAGUAAACUAGUUUUUGGAGAGGGAACUUGUGUCCGUCCGUUUCUCGUUCGACGACGAGCACCGCGCUUACAACUUGGUGGGUUGCCGCGAUGUAUAAUAGCAUUGGUUCGCCUGUGUUGGGCGCGACCAGGACCGGAUUUGUUGCCAGUAUGGCUUUGAUUUCUUCGAGUCUGGCCGUGGCGGUAUCCGUCCACUCGAAAUGUUCGGUGCGCCGUAGGAGGCGAUAAAGGGGUAAUGCCUUUUCUCCUAAGUGGGAGAUAAAGCGUCUUAGAGCCGCCACACAUCCGGUCAAUUUUUGUAUUUGCUUGAGGUCUUUUGGGGUAUCCAAUUGUGACAGAGCUCAGAUCUUGGCUGGGUUUGCUUCAAUUCCUCUACCGGAUACGAUGAAGCCCAAGAGUUUUCCAGCUGGUACGCCGAAAACGCAUUUUUCCGGGUUGAGCUUGAUGUCAUAUGUUCGGAGAUCGUCGAACGUGAGCCUUAAGUCGUCUACUAGAGUAUCGACAUGUUUGGUUUUGACGACCACGUCAUCUACGUAUGCUUCAACUGUUUUGCCGAUCUGGUUGGGCAGACAUGUCUGAAUCAUGCGCUGAUAUGUUGCGCCGGCGUUUUUGAGCCCGAAGGGCAUCGUGUUGAAGCAGAAUGGGCCGUAUGGGCUGAUGAAUGCCGUUGCGGCUUGGUCUGACUCUGCCAUCUUGAUUUGGUGGUAGCCAUAGUAUGCAUCAAGGAAACACAAUGAGUCGUGCCCUGCGGUUGCGUCGAUGAUUUGAUCAAUUCGGGGGAGCAGGAAAGGAUCCUUUGGGCAGGCCUUAUUCAGGUCUUUGAAGUCGACACAUAGGCGCCAGGAUUUGUCCUUCUUUGGUACCAUCACCAGGUUUGCUAGCCAGUCCGGAUGUUUUAUAUCUCUGAUGAAUCCGGCUUCCAGUAGUUUUGCUAGCUCUUCUCCCAUGGCUUGUCUCCUAGGUUCGGAGAAACGCCGUAGAGUCUGCUUAAUGGGUUUAAACCCCUUUAGGAUGUUCAGGCUGUGCUCGGCCAGCCUGCGUGGGAUUCCUGGCAUGUCUGAAGGGUGCCAGGCAAAAAUGUCCCAAUUUUCUCGCCGGAAUUCUCUGAGUGCGGCAUCUACAUCGGGUUUUAGUUGUGCCCCGAUGGAUGCCGUUUUUGUGGGGUCCGUUGGAUGGACUUGGAAUUUGACUAUUUCGUCCACUGGUUUGAAAGAGGUGGACCUGGAUCUCUUAUCUAGUAUCACAUCGUCCCUGUCCACCAUGGAGCGCAGCGUAGUUAGUUCCUCAGCCGCUAGGGCUUCGGAUAAUGCCUCCAGGGCCAGUGCGGCUGUCUUGUGGCGCGGAGCGCUGUGUCCGGAUCACUUGCAAGAGUGAUGAUUCCGUUGGGUCUGGGCAUUUUGAGCUUCAUGUACCCAUAAUGAGGUAUGGCUUGAAAAAUUGUAAAUGCUUCUCGCCCUAGCAGAGCGUGGUAUCCGCUGCUGAACGGGGCCACUUGAAAUGUGACCUCCUCGGAUCUGUAAUUAUCCGGCGUGCCGAACACCACAUCCAGUGUGAUUUUUCCUGAACAGCACGCUUCCCGGCUUGGUAUUAUUCCUCUGAAGGUUGUGUUGCUUCGCUCAAUGCGACUCCAGUCUAUUUCCAUUUUUCGCAGGGUUUCCUCGUAGAUGAGGUUAAGUCUGCUACCAUCGUCCAUGAGUACCUUUGUAAGUCGUAAGCCGUCCACUAUCGGACUGAGGACCAAUGCGGCUGGUGCUCGGGCUGUCCGGAAUUUAGGUUCGUCACUGGCAUUAAAAGUAAUAGCCAUGUGUCGGUGUACUAGAGUAGGGGUACCCUAGUAUCCCGAACUUGUGCACGGGCAGUUGCAGCACCCCGCAGCAAGGCUUGCCGGGUGACCGCCAAGGUCCUCCGUGGUUCCUUUGGAGCCAUUCAAGAACAAAGUAUUCAAGACAAGGAGACAAGGCCCCGGCAAGAGGAGCUUGCCAGGAAGGCCAGCCAAGGCAUCUCAAGGAACUUGCCGCGACGCGCCACGCGUCCCGGCAAGGCCCGGUGAGCGACAAGCUUCCGGACGCGACAAGACAACGAUCGCGGCAAGGCGCUUGCCGCGGCAAACUACCACUCUGUACCCGCGCUCCAGCACAUCCACCAACGUGUCGCCCUGGGACCUUUCCAGGCGCGCGUGGCAAGAGGCUGUGCGGCCAGCGGUGCACGGUGGCAAGCGACGCUAACAAGAUUGCCAUCGUGGCAAGCAGUGGCGUCCCCGACGGUCCCUUUUUGCACUAUUUGGGCGACGUAGAUGGGCAUUUAAUGCCUUUGUCCCCUGCCGUCAGGGUUAGGUAUGAUACACUGUACAGGUAGUUGUACCAACCGCAAUUCCUUUUCCAUUUUUACCCUUGUCUACGUUGCCACCUGUCGGUGACCCCUUAAGCAUAUAAAAGGAGGCCCAUGCGCAACGUAGAGGGGGGAUCAAAAGCAGAAAAACACUCACGCUCGGUCUCGUUAGCAGCUAGUGUAUACUGUAGGACUCAGCGCUCCCGAGCAAGAACUCAAUACACUCAGACAUGCAGCAGUAGGAGUGUUAUCUCUCCGGAGAGCUCCGAAGCUGGGUAAACUGCUCGUGUGCUUCGCCUUGAUCCGCUCUUCAUGCGAUCUCCGCCCCCGCCGAACCGAAAGGGGCUCGGUCCGCCGGUCCCAUAGGUGUUCGUGGAUCAGUUUCCCCGACACCGUGUCACUCCAUGGGUUUAUUGUUGCUACUUGGUAGACUUCGGCGAGGUUGCGGAGGGUUCGUUUCCUUGCAUUGUUUGAUGCGAAGGUCUCGAAGACUGUCGACACCGUACUGGCGUUUCUGGGGUGGUGUUCUUUGGAUUCUGGAGUUAGAAGCUCCUCGCCACUUCUGGCCACCUGCCGGAGUAUCCAACAUGCUCUAAGGCUGUGAGUUGGUGUGACUUCCCCUGAACUAUGAAUUUUACAGGGUCCAUUGAGCCACCCCUCCAGUACGGUCCCAUACCCUAUAGAGGGUUUUUGUUUUUUGAUGUUUGGCUCAGGUGCCUGGCGAUAAUGCGCCCUUUUGUUUCGGACUCGUGUUGGGUUCAGGGCCGGAUUGUCCCAGAAUUUAUUUUCGGUUUUCCGAACGCUUUCUGUCGCACAGUACUUUCGUACUAUGGAUGUCAAGUAGGCGAAGGGUGUAAUUUCGCGGCGACUUAUGGCAUUGAGGAUUCCGAUGUCCGUGCAGUUGUUACAGAAGAAUGAAAUUGCUUCUUCCUCACGGCAGUCCCUUAUCCUGUUCAUAACCAGGAGGAAUCUGGCCCAAUAAUGGUGUACUGUUUCCCCGGGCGCUUGCUGUAUUUGGGAUAAAUCCCUUAUAGUUGGGUGGGCGGGUGGAUUUAAAUCCAGAACCCUGCCCGUUAGAAGAUUCAGGGGCCAAGAAGUUUCCGAAUUAGGGAGCUUGUUUUCUUGGAGAUUAUUCAAUGAAUCAGGCCUGCUACCUGACUUUAGGUUCAGGACUUGGGCAACAUCCUCCCCUCCGCGGGUAUCCGGCUUGGAGGGGUCGGGAAUCCGGACACAUCUGGUCCUUAGAGCAGGCGAAGAUGCGCUGCAUUGUUCUUCCACCACUUCAACGUGGUGGGUGACCUAGGGAGAGUUGAUCCCUCUCUAGUCGGGUUUAAGUCCGAUCUGGCCGUAAUCUGUAGCGACUCCCAGGGCGGCAAUGCGAUCGAGGAGCUCAUUCAAGGAAGAGAGCUCCGUCGGAUCUAACUGCUCGGCGAGUUCCGAGCUGAUGUGAAGAUUGCUUUCGAUGGCCUAAGAGGUCAUCGUCGACGCGCGGCUGAACAGGCGGUCAUCAAGAACCUUCCUAGCCAGAGAGUUUGACCGACAGCCAAAGCUCCUUUAGUGACAGCGCCGUCUUUAAAGACGGGGUGCGGCAUCCUUCCUGACGGUGACAGCAUAGAGGAACUCCCAAUGAAAGCACCAAUGUCGGAGUCAAAACCGGCGGAUCUCGGGUAGGGGGUCCCGUGUAGGGGAACGCAGCAGAAAACAAAAAAUUUCCAACCUACGCACCAGCCCAGGACCACUAUGGAGACUGCAUACAUGGUUUGAUCCUUUUUGUUUCCACUCGUAGCACAGCGGGAAGUAGAGUCGAUGACGAACGGCGGUGCAGAUCCCCGCAGCUAGGAUUUACAACCUCCCAACCGCAAGGAUGUAUACCCUCAUCUUCUCCUUAGACAGCCCUCCGGGAGGCGGUCGAACAGCCCCUCGGACGGUGUCGCGGACAGCCCUUCGGGAGGACCUUCGAAACUCGAACGGUCACUCGGACAGCCCUUCGGGAGGACCUUCAAAACUUGGACGGUCACACGGACAGCCCUUCGGGAGGCACUCACGAACUAAGACCGAAACUACGAUCUCUCUACAGAGUUGCACACAUACGGUGUCAUCUAUUCGGCAGGGCUUCGCCGUCCAGAACUAGUUCCUGCCGGAACCCAGACAGCCUUGCGGCUCUACGAAACUCUUUUCAUGGGAGGGAGAGAAGAAGCCAGAUCAUGCAUGGCACUUGUAUGUGAGAAGGGAUGAUCCUUUAGGCAGCCCCCUCCACCCCUAUUUAUAGGACAAGCCCAAGGGAGGCUUCUCCAAGAAGCCAAGGGGAUAAUACCAAAAGGCCCUCAAGGUGGCUUCUCCAAGAAGCCAAGCAAAAAGCACUUUCACUAUUCAUGACGACAUUUUUAGCGUCCGUUCGAACUGUAAAUAUUUAUGUGGGAUCAGAACAUUUCCAUUACCCACUAAAAAUAAUUUUCAACACGUUCCAAAACAAUUUCGGUUUAGUGAUUUUCAUCUGCGCAAAGCAAACAAGAAUGCGUUUUUACUAUUCAUGAAGACAAUUUUUCGCGUCCAUUAAAUCCGAAAAUAUUUCUGUGGGUCUUAGAAUAAUUCCAGUACCCAGUAAAAUGAUUUUGGAUUUGUUCUGAAACAAUUUCAGAUUAGUGAAUUUCAUUUGCGAAAAACAUCUGAAGUGGUUCCGGCAGCCCCGGAGCAUAUCCGGUUAUUAUCCCGGAAAAUUCCAGAAAGCUUCCAGAAUGAUUCUGUCACCCUCCAAGAAUUAUUAGGCAUGUGCCAAAACCAAUUUGACUUAACGGUAUCCCCUGAAACAACUUUUCAGUUUCACCGAAACUCAUCCGAUGACCUCUCUCUGCGGUACGAUUCCGCUGUCCGAAACCAUUCCGGUGUCCGAAACUUUUUUCGGUGAUUUUCUCUCAGACUCCCUGUCUAGUAUUCAGAAGAUAGAUGACCCUUAAGCAUGUGACCCUAUAGGUUCGGUGAAGUAUAGACAUGACCCGGAACCCCUUCCGAUCAAUGAUCAACAUCGGAGCCGUGGACACCCAUAUUGACCCCUAUACCCACACGAAUGAAUAUUCGAGUGAACCUCCAGUUGCUGUGUGCUAUUCCUGUUGCUUCGUGAUAUGUUACAAAUACCCGAGGUGAGACAUGUUGGCAUUCCCAUGGAUCAACAACUUGUCCACUAUGCCAGUUACCUCGUUAUCAGUAUUGUUCUCUUUACUCGUUACCGUGUUCCGGCAUCCCCGUGAUCAAAUCACAAAGUGUCUAGCCAGACGAUGAUAGAUACCGUAACACCGAGAGGGCCCAGAGAUAUCUCUCCAUCAUUGGAGGAGCAAAUCCCAAUCUUGAGCUAUUAAGUUACUUGACAGACUUUUCCAUGAACCCGUAAGCCGCUGUAAUAGCCACCCAUUUACGGAUGACGUUUAACAAACCCCAAAGUUCAUGAAGCAAGCAUGAAGAAACUCGAUACUCUCAUGGUCUAAGGAAUCAUGCAAACGUUAACCAUAUCUGUGUUAUUUACCAUUAACUUCUGACGAAUGUAUCUCAUAGCAUAACAUCAAUUCGGGUCGAUUCAACACAAAUGUUCUCUUAACAUUGUGCCCUCAAAGUUGCUGGCAUAGACAUGCCCAUGAUCAGGAAAACGGAACCAUCAUGCAACCCUUGAGCUAGUCUUCGAGGCCAAACUAGGAAAACUUCUUACCGUUUAUUAUUCCACACGUGCAUAUGAGUCUUCCUCCGAGCCUCGUGGAUAUUGUAGACUCGAGAAUCAUUGCAGUUAUAGCAUGGAACAUAAACAUAAUUAUGAACUCGGAGAUAAAUAAUAUCAUUUAUUAUUGCCUCUAGGGCAUAUCUCCUACAGACUCCCACUUGCACUAGAGUCAAUAAUCUAGUUUAAUGCUAAUGCACUUCACACCUAUGGCACAUCGGUGUAAAUAUGCUUCGCUUGUGGUAUAGCCUGAUGUCCAUCAGAUCUGACAACUUCAGCUCCGUGUCUAUCUCUGCAUAUCCUCGCGUUUUCACACUUUCACAAAAUUCAUAUUUUGUGCGGACUUGGCUUUGUAUAAAUGUGAAUCACAGGUUGAACCUGGAUUCCUCAGACUGAGUUAUGGAGAAACUACCUGCAGUAGUGUCCCAUUGACAAAGGCCAUCUUAGAACCAUACUAAGUUCAUGAAUGAACUAUAUGAUUCAACAUCUUGUUUGUCGCUUCUAAAGUGUCAACAUACUUAGUCAUUUGUUAUAGAAUUCUCCACAGUAUCCUGUUGGGAACAAUUUCCAACUACCGUGCCACCAUAUUGUGUAUUACACAAAACCCUUAACUUAAAUCAAAAAUUGCAUGGAGAAAAGAUGAAGAUUGUAUCGAUGUAACAUUUUACAACGAACUCUUCAUGAUCUCCGCUUGCGAGAAAACAUAUCAUCAGUACUUACUCUAGUACUCAAUGACAUCUUUCAUUGUUGUCCCAUGAUUAGUACUUUGAUCACUUUAGUAUCCAUACUAGCAACACCUUGGGAGUAUCGGACAUAUCUGGUUGUUUUACAUACCAUGGAAUACAUGAUUAAUCCAAACACAAAAGUGUGUGGAAUCUGCAUCAUUUAUUUUGCUCAUCAGUGUUUUGGGACACCGAGUCUUGCAAAAAACACUUCCAUGUGACUCCGGCAAGAAUCACUCCUUGGCAGUUUUAAAUGGUAAAAGGUUUUAGCACCUUGUCAAUAUGUAUUCAUUGCCUAGCCCUAUUAGGUAAAUCUAUCUCCAUAGAUCAUUAUGCCUAAUAUUGAGGCUAUUUAGCCUAAGCACUUCAUCAAAAAACUAUUUUCAAAUGAAGUCCUAAUUUGUGUCAAGAAAUUUAUUUCCAAUUAACAAUGUGUCAAGCACACAAGGUUUUUAGAAAUAUUAUUAAGCUCCCACUUAAUUUCUUGAAUUACAAGCAUCUUCAUUACCCAUUGAUGAAGUCAAACCCCUUUGACCAUUUCAUCAAAGCACGAAGAUUCCAACUCCAUUUUGUUGUCUUCUGUCCAUCGCUGGAACUCUGAAGUUUGCACCCUUACUAGCAUCCUCUGGAUAGACAAAAUGCCUUGGACUGUAACACAUGCAUGUCCUUGGUUUCGUUUCCAUCAGAUAGAAAUCCUAUUGUCAUCCAUGUUUCAUAUCUCAUGAUUGAAAUAUGUAUUAAUUGCUAGUUCAACCCGAACUGACUUUAAGCAUCGCUACAAUGAAAACAACCUCAUCGUAGUCAACUCUUGAACUUGUUAUUUCAACAAGUCGAGCUUUAUGGAUAAAACAUUUUUAUCCGUAUCAGUUUUAAGUUCCAUAAAUAUUUGAUAGACUCUAAGUCUUCCGAAAGGUGUAUCAAGGUUUUAAUCUUGAAUUACUUAUAUGGAAACUAACUCAGGUUGUAUUGGCAUUUAGCCAAUUCCGGAGUCAGGGCCCAUCAACGCUUCCUUGUGUAUCGUAGGUAUAAUGUUGUCUAACAACAAUAUCUCGUUUGCGCACCUGAGAGGUUUGCACGAGCCUUGCCUAUGUGGUUCAGCUGCAAGUUCGACCGAAGUUCAUACAUUUUAUUGUAGAGACUUCCGUAUCAGUCGUAGUAGGAAACUAUGGAAUUACUUCCAAGGUCUCUUUCCUUUGAUCUGAUGAUGAAGAUACUGUUUAUCUCAUCAAGUUGCACUAUUCUCCCACUCACCUUUUUGAAAGAACCAUUCUCUUUAAAAGCACACUGUUUCACGCCAAAACUAUUUGCCUCGGUAUGGUGAGGGAGGAAUACCCAACAUUUUGGUAUAACCUACAAAGUAGCACUUGUCUGAUUUGGGAUAGGUUUGUAACUUUUUACACAAGCCCCAUAUUCCAAAUGUUAAGAAAAGAUAUAACAUGGUUGGGCGUACCAUACCAUGGCUUCAUUUCAACAGACCCGAUGUAGCUCUUUUCAGUGUAAAAGCUGCAGUCUCUAAAGCAUCACUUUAAAAAGGGACAAUGGCAAAUUUAUUUAUGUCAUCUUUGAUCUUACCAUGUCAUAAAUGGUUAGAUUACAUCUUCACAGACAUUCCACUCAUAGUGGUGUUCCGGGAGGUGUAAGUUAUGAAACUCUUUUCACAACUCAUCGGACAUUCGCUAAACUUGUAACUCAAAUAUUCCUUUCUGCAAUCAAAUUGUAGAAACGUAAUUUCCUUGUUACAAUAACUUCUACUUCAUUUUUGAAAACCUUUCGAAUGAUUUCAAAAGACCCAGACUUACGUCUCAUCAAGUAAAUAUCCAUAUAUCUACUUGAGUCAUUUCUGAAGAUAAAUAAAUCCACCACUAACAACACUUAUCGGACUACACACAUCAAAUGUAUGAUCACUAAUAAGUUUGUUGUUCGUUCCUUAUGGCCUGUGAACGGUAUUUUAGUCACUUCACUUCUCGGAGGAAAGUUGCAAGUGUCAGAUGAUUCAAAAUCAAAAAGACUUCAAAAUCCAUCAUAAUGGAAUUUUCCAUGCGGGUUUCUCCAAUAUGACCAAAUGUAGUGCCACACUUGUGUGGUAUUCUUUUAGUCUUGCGACAUUUACCGUCAGUGUUAUGGAUGUAUCAUAUUACCAUCAAUAUUCAUAACAUACAUCCCAUCUUGGAUGGAAGCAUGGCCCUUCAUGUUAUUCAUAAUACUUAACAACAAUUGUUGUUUUUAUGAACAACUCUUUUGCAUCAAACAUUGUGCAAUGGGCUAGUGUGUAUGAAACUCUAAAAUGAAUUAUGAAAGUAAACCCAGAGGUAUUGUAUUAUUAUCAAUACUCAUAACAUACAUCUCAUUCAUAAUGAAAGUAUGGCCCUUGUGUUAUUCAUAACAUCGAACAUAAAAAGUUCUCUUAUGAACAACCUUCUUGCAAGAUACCUUAUGCAAUGGGCUAGAAUUUGUAAAACUCUAAAUGAAUUAUGAAAAUAAAUACAGACGGCCAUACACUAAUGGAAGGUAUAGUAACAUUUACUAUGUUCCCUGUGUAUACCUUAACCUCAUUUCUGGCUAGCCUUUUUGGCCAUAGUAGCUCUUAGAUUGAUUCGUAACAGAAUGCAAUCGAGCGGGUAUCUUUGAGAUUAACUCACAAUACCCAAGAAUUAGUGAUUAACAUGUUUAACCAUAAUUCCCAAGAACUAUAUCUUUGACCAGCCUACUAUACAUCAAAAACUUGUAUGACAUUCAUACAUGAGCUGGAUAUUCCAGUCAUCUUUCUUUCUGCCUUUAUACUUCUAAUAGUUUAACUUUUAGUAUUUCUCCUACUCGCAAAAGAAGCACCCAACAUAAGAGUGGCGUUAGCCCCGGACUUCCUAGGCGUGUAAGUCAUACUAACACCCUUUGGACACUUCCUUUCUCUUUAAGUUGUUGUUUUAUUCACCUUUCAUUAUAUGACAGGCGUUCUUCUGGAUCCCUUUCCCAACAGUCAAAUGCAUAGUAAACACUUUUACUAAUACUUGCAAACAAACAUUACUUUGUUUGUAUCUGAAAAUAAUUUUCAGUUCCAUGAAUAUCAUAUAACUAUCCCAACUUUCGAAGUUUGCGUUUCAUGGAAGCAAACAUAUUCCACUUGACCGUAAUAGAAUUCUAGCUUUUGGAUCGAAGGACGGGAGUCUCAUCAUAGAUAGCAAUUAGCGGGAGUAUACGGAAAGCAUGCAAUAGGACAAAGUCCUUCUCGGCACUUUUGAGGACAAUCCUCAUAUUACGUUACCAAUCGUAAAGUUUUAACCAGAUAUUUAACAGCUAUUCAAUUUUAACAGGGAAAGAGGAAACGCGAGCCAUUAUUCUACAACUAUGUUGCAAGAAACACUUAGACAGUGUUCAUAAUUAAUUGCACUAAGAAAUAAACAAGUUAAUUCUACAGUGCGCUCCCACUCAAAUCAAUAUCUCUCAUAAUUGAUUGUGAGUGAUACAAGAUCCACAUUUCAAUUCAACGCCAUUGGUGUGGACAUCACUGAUGACGAGAAUUUCAAUUGGUGGGCAAACAUGCCGAUCACAUCUCUAUGUGACUCCUGUUCAUCUUUCGAUGGGUGUGUUCCGAGCUCAGGACGAUCAAGCCAGAACGUCAAGACAACCAAGUGAUCUUGCUGCGAGGUCUGACCUCACCCGCCUCACACUUCUCUAAUCGUUCGUACCCAUGUGGACAUGGCGCACCCCGAAAAGUUAGGUGCCGUGACGGUGCUACACUUGGGAGAACACUAACUACUUCAUAUUUUUGUGAGAGAUCACCCUAAUAAAAAGCGACUACCGCGCAAUCAAGAAGGGUGAAUCAAAGGGAUAAACAUUUCAUGCAAUUCAUAAUAACAUGAUAUGGUAUAGCCCUUUCUGACGGAGAAGUCUUGUAUUUCUUCGUCUUCGGCAUUCGCAUCGGUGUUCACCUUAGCAAAGAUUGCCACCACCUUGUCGGUGCAGCAGAUAAUAUCGCUAUCUCCAUAGCGGAUAAAAUAAAUGCAUUACUUAAGGUUGACACGCAGGUCAUUAAAGUGCAAUCAUAUGGCUCCAGCCAUCAUGCCGAAUCAUGACACGCAGGUCAUGUUAAUUACAUUAUAUAGUCAUCUCAUACAUAAUCAAAUUAUUAUGAGCACUGCUAUACCACAUCACAUGCAAACCAUCCUGCAAAACCAAGUUAGACGCCUCUAAUCGGUUCAUACAAAAAAAGUUUUACGUGGCUUCUAAGGUUUCGACUUAAACUGCAGCUACCAACGUUUUAUCAUCAAGUAUGAUUAUUCAAGUUCCUAGAUUAACAUCUCGGGAUGUAUGAUGCACGAGAACAUAAAAUCUCGAACCCCAUACUAAACUUCGUCAUACGCAUGACCCCCGUGCAGAUCAUAUCUGCAAUGCCCUUUCAUCUGCGAAUUUCAUCUUUCUUUUGACUAUGGCAGAACCCAAAGAACUGAUAGCACUUCCGUGAUCAAUCAGGAUCACGGAUUGCCAGAACUUUGUCAAAUUCCACCAUGCUGUCUCGAGAUUGAGCAAACGCAAAUUCUAGGGAAGCAACAAGAACGUCGGGUAACAUAUUUCAUCUGUUACCCGCAUAAAUAAGUUUCAGCAAUAGAUCUCAUCUACUCCAAAAUUAUAUUAUGCAAUACCCAUACAUCUCCAUGUAUUCUAGAUCACAACCUGCAUCUAAGCAUAGCACGGCUCAUGAUGCCACUGUAUGGGAACACAGCAGAAAACAAAAAAUUUCCAACCUACGCACCAGCCCAGGACCACUAUGGAGACUGCAUACAUGGUUUGAUCCUUUUCGUUUCCGACUCGUAGCGCAGCGAGAAGUAGAGUCGAUGACGAACGGCGGUGCAGAUCCCCGCAGCUAGGAUUUACAACCUCCCAACCGCGAGGAUGUAUACCCUCAGCUGCUCUUCAGACAGCCCUCCGGGAGGCGGUCGAACAGCCCCCCGGACGGUGUCGCGGACAGCCCUUCGAGAGGACCUUUGAAACUCGAACGGUCACUCGGACAGCCCUUCGCACGGACAACCCUUUGGGAGGCACUCACGAACUAAGACCGAAACUACGGUAUCUCUACAGAGUUGCAUACAUACGGUGUCAUCUAUCCGGCAGGGCUUCGCCGUCCAGAACUAGUUCCUGCCGGAACCCAGACAGCAUUGCGGCUCUACGAAACUCUUUUCGUGGGAGGGAGAGAAGAAGCCAGAUCAUGCAUGUCACUUGUAUGUGAGAAGGGAUGAUCCUUUAGGCAGCCCCCUCCACCCCUAUUUAUAGGCCAAGCCCAAGGGUGGCUUCUCUAAGAAGCCAAGGGGAUAAUACCAAAAGGCCCUCAAGGUGGCUUCUCCAAGAAGCCAACAAAAAGCACUUUCACUAUUCAUGACGACAUUUUUCAGCGUCCGUUCGAACUGAAAAUAUUUAUGUGGGCUCAGAACAUUUCUAUUACCCACUAAAUAUAAUUUUCAACACAUUCCGAAACAAUUUCGGUUUAGUGAUUUUCAUCUGCGCAAAGCAAACAAGAAUGCGUUUUUACUAUUCAUGAAGACAAUUUUUCGCGUCCAUUAAAUCCGAAAAUAUUUCUGUGGGUCUUAGAAUAAUUCUAGUACCCAGUAAAAUGAUUUUGGAUUUGUUCUGAAACAAUUUCAUAUUAGUGAAUUUCAUCUGCGAAAAACAUCUGAAGUGGUUCCGGCAGCCCCGGAGCAUAUCCGGUUAUUAUCCCGGAAAAUUCCAGAAAGCUUCCAGAAUGAUUCUGGCACCCUCCAAGAAUUAUCAGGCAUGUGCCGAAACCAAUUUGACUUAACGGUAUCCCCUGAAAGAACUUUUUAGUUUCACCGAAACUCAUCCGAUGACCUCUCUCUGCGGUACGAUUCCGCUGUCCGAAACCAUUCCGGUGUCCGAAACUUUUUACGGUGAUUUUCUCUCAGACUCCCUGUCUAGUAUUCAGCAGAUAGAUGACCCUUAAGCGUGUGACCCUAUAGGUUCGGUGAAGUAUAGACAUGACCCGGAACCCCUUCCGAUCAAUGAUCAACAUCGAAGCCGUGGACACCCAUAUUGACCCCUAUACCCACACGAAUGAAUAUUCGAGUGAACCUCCAGUUGCUGUGUGCUAUUCCUGUUGCUUCGCGAUAUGUUACAAAUACCCGAGGUGAGACAUGUUGGCAUUCCCAUGGAUCAACAACUUGUCCACUAUGCCAGUUACCUCGUUACCAAUAUUCUUCUCUUUACUCGUUACCGUGUUCCGGCAUCCCCGUGAUCAAAUCACAAAGUGUCUGGCCAGGCGAUGAUAGAUACCGUAACACCGAGAGGGCCCAGAGAUAUCUCUCCAUCGUUGGAGGAGCAAAUCCCAAUCUUGAGCUAUUAAGUUGCUUGACAUACUUUUCCAUGAACCCGUAAGCCGCCGUAAUAGCCACCCAUUUACGGAUGACGUUUAACAAACCCCAAAGUUCAUGAAGCAAGCAUGAAGAAACUCGAUACUCUCAUGGUCUAAGGAAUCAUGCAAACGUUAACCAUCUUUGUGUUAUUUACCAUUAACUUCUGACGAAUGUAUCUCAUAGCAUAACAUCAAUUCGGGUGGAUUCAACACAAAUGUUCUCUUAACAUUGUGCCCUCAAAGUUGCUGGCAUAGACAUGCCCAUGAUCAGGAAAACGGAACCCUCAUGCAACACUUGAGCUAGUCUUCAAGGCCAAACUACGAAUACUUCUUACCGUUUAUUAUUCCACACGUGCAUAUGAGUCUUCCUCCGAGCCUUGUGGAUAUUGUAGACUCGAGAAUCAUUGCAGUUAUAGCAUGGAACAUAAACAUAAUUAUGAACUCGGAGAUAAAUAAUAUCAUUUAUUGUUGCCUCUAGGGUAUCGCCAAGCUUGCCUUCCACGCCAAGGAAAGUCCAUAUCUGGACACGGGACGGAGUCUUCAAUCUUGUAUCAUCAUAGUCCGGGAGUCCGGCCAAAGGUCAUAGUCCGGUCAUCCGGAAACCCCCUAAUCUAGGACUCCCUCAAGGCCGAAAGGCACAAAGGGGCGCAAAUUGGCCCAACACUUAAAUGGGUCGCUAAAAGGCCAAAACUCAGGUCCGACUACAAAUGGCGCAACUGAUUUAUGGGCCGUCAAUAGGCUGAAAGUGACACCGGGCCGGAAAUUGGCCCAACACUUAAAUGGGCCGCUAAAAUGCCGAAACUCAGGUCCGACUACAAAUGGCCCAUCAGAUUUAUGGGUCGUCAAUAGGCUGAAAGACACACCGGGCCGGAAAUUAGCCUAACAUUUAAAUGGGUCGCUAAAAGGCCAAAAGAUGUACAUCCUGAAAAUUGGCCCAUCCAUUGAAUGGCCCGUUAACAGGCCGAAAUCUCAUCGGGCCGAUAUUGAGCCCAAAUAUAUAGCGGGCUGUUAACGGGCUCGAACUGACGAUGGGCUGCAAUGGUGUCAAAUCUUUAACGGGCUGUUGACGGGCCGAAUUUGCACAUCUCGUAUGGGCCGUGGGCUUAAAUGGGCCGGCCUGCUAAUUUUUACUAGGCCGGCCAUUUUCACUGGAAUGGGCCACUGUUGGGCCGUGCCACGUGUUGACCUAUCAUAGGCACCUCCAGUCCAAUGAGUGGAUGACAUCUGUCCCAACGGUGAGGCAACACGUGUUUCCUGCGGCCAGUGAUUAUUUUACACGUGGAAAAUCCCCAUUAGUUCGGGCUGUUAACGGGUUAUCGGAUCCAAAACCGGAGCCGAUAGCUGUUGGGGAACGUAGUAAUUUCAAAAUUUUCCUACGCACACGCAAGGAUCAUGGUUAGAACAACGCGGUUGAUGUAGUCGUAUGUCUUCACGAUCCGACCGAUCCAGGUACCGAACAUACGGCACCUCCGAGUUCAGCACACGUUCAGCUCGAUGACGAUCCCCGGACUCCGAUCCAGCAGGGUGUCGGGGAUGAGUUCCGUCAGCACGACGACGUGGUGACGAUGAUGAUGUUCUACCAACGCAGGGCUUCGCCUAAGCACCGCAACAAUAUGACCGAGGUGGAAUAUGGUGGAGGGGGGCACCGCACACGGCUAACGAACGAUCACGAAGAUCAACUUGUGUGUCUAGAGGUGCCCCCUGCCCCCGUAUAUAAAGUAGCCAAGGGGGAGGGGCAACCGGCCAAGGAGGGCGCGCCAAGGGGGAGUCCUACUCCCACCGGGAGUAGGACUCCCUUCUUUCCUAGUUGGAGAAGGAGAAGGGGGGAAGGAGGAGGAAGAGGGGAAGGAAAGGGGGGGGAGGGCGCCGCCCCCUCUCCUUGUCCUAUUCAGACUAGGGAGGGGAGGGGGCGCAGCCCACCUCUUGCCUCCUCUCUUCCUCUCCACUAGGGCCCAUGUAGGCCCAUUAAGCCCCCGGGGGGUUCCGGUAACCUCCCGGUACUCCGCUAAAAUCCCGAUUUCACCCGGAACACUUCCGAUAUCCAAAUAUAGGCUUUGAAUAUAUCAAUCUUUAUUUCUCGACCAUUUCGAGACUCCUCGUCAUGUCCAUAAUCUCAUUCGGGACUCCGAACAAACUUCGGUACAGCAAAACAUAUAAAAUCAUAAUAUAACUGUCAUUGUAACGUUAAGCGUGCGGACCCUACGGGUUCGAGAACUAUGUAGACAUGACCUAGAACUGUUUCCGGUCAAUAACCAAUAGCGGAACCUGGAUGCUCAUAUUGGCUCCUACAUAUUCUACGAAGAUCUUUAUCGGUCAAACCGCAUAACAACAUACGUUGUUCCCUUUGUCAUCGGUAUGUUACUUGCCCGAGAUUCGAUCGUCGGUAUCUCAAUACCUAGUUCAAUCUCAUUACCAGCAAGUCUCUUUACUCGUUACGUAAUGCAUCAUUUCGUAACCAACUCAUUGGCCACAUUGCUUGCAAGGCUUAUAGUGAUGUGCAUUACCGAGAGGGCCCAGAGAUACCUCUCCGACAAUCGGAGUGAGAAAACCUAAUCUCGAAAUACGCCAACUCAAGAUGUACCUUUGGAGACACCUGUAGAGCUCCUUUAUAAUCAGCCAGUUAUGUUGUGACGUUUGGUAGCACACAAAGUGUUCCUCCGAUAAACGGGAGUUGCAUAAUCUCAUAGUUAUAGGAACUUUGUAUAAGUCAUGAAGAAAGCAAUAGCAACAUACUAAACGAUCAAGUGCUAAGCUAACGGAAUUGGUCAAGUCAAUCACAUCAUUCUCCUAAUGAUGUGAUCCUGUUAAUCAAAUGACAACACAUGUCUAUGGCUAGGAAACAUAACCAUCUUUGAUUAAUGAGCUAGUCAAGUAGAGGCAUACUAGUGACAUUAAGUUUGUCUAUGUAUUCACACAUGUAUCAUGUUUCCGGUUAAUACAAUUCUAGCAUGAAUAAUAAACAUUUAUCAUGAUAUGAGGAAAUAAAUAAUAACUUUAUUAUUGCCUCUAGGGCAUAUUUCCUUCAGUCUCCACUUGCACUAGAGUCAAUAAUCUAGAUUACACAGUAAUGAUUCUAACACCCAUGGAGUCUUGGUGCUGAUCAUGUUUUGCUCGUGGAAGAGGCUUAGUCAACGGGUCUGUAACAUUCAGAUCCGUAUGUAUCUUGCAAAUCUCUAUGUCUCCCACCUGGACUUGGUCCCAGAUGGAAUUGAAGCAUCUCUUGAUGUGCUUGGUCCUCUUGUGAAAUCUGGAUUCCUUUGCCAAGGCAAUUGCACCAGUAUUGUCACAGAAGAUCUUCAUUGGUCCCGAUGCACUAGGUAUCACACCUAGAUCGGAAAUGAACUCCUUCAUCCAGACUCCUUCAUUUGCUGCUUCUGAAGUAGCUAUGUACUCCGCUUCGCAUGUAGAUCCCGCCACGACGCUUUGUUUAGAACUGCACCAACUUACAGCUCCACCGUUUAAUAAAAACACGUAUCCGGUUUGCGAUUUAGAAUCGUCCGGAUCAGUGUCAAAGCUUGCAUCGACGUAACCAUUUAUGACUAGCUCUUUGUCACCUCCAUAAAUGAGAAACAUAUCCUUAGUCCUUUUCAGGUAUUUCAGGAUGUUCUUGAUUGCUGUCCAGUGAUCCACUCCUGGAUUACUUUGGUACCUACCUGCCAAGCUUAUUACUAAGCAUAAGUCAGGUCUGGUACACAGCAUUGCAUACAUGAUAGAGCCUAUGGCUGAAGCAUAGGGAACAUCUUUCAUUUUCUCUUUAUCUUCUGCUAUGGUCAGGCAUUGGGUCUGACUCAACUUCACACCUUGUAAUACAGGCAAGAACCCUUUCUUUGCCUGAUCCAUUUUGAACUUUUUCAAAAACUUUAUCAAGGUAUGUGCUUUAUGAAAGUCCAAUUAAGUGUCUUGAUCUAUCUCUAUAGAUCUUGAUGCCCAAUAUGUAAGCAGCUUCACCGAGGUCUUUCAUUGAAAAACUUUUAUUCAAGUAUCCCUUUAUGCUAUCCAGAAAUUCUAUAUCAUUUCCAAUUAACAAUAUGUCAUCUACAUAUAAUAUCAAAAAUGCUACAGAGCUCCCACUCACUUUCUUGUAAAUACAAGCUUCUCCAAAAGUCUGUAUAAAACCAUAUGCUUUGAUCACACUAUCAAAGCGUUUAUUCCAACUCCGAGAUGCUUGCACUAGUCCAUAAAUGGAUUGCUGAAGCUUGCACACUUUGUUAGCACCUUUUGGAUCGACAAACCCUUCUGGUUGCAUCAUAUACAACUCUUCUUCCAGAAAUCCAUUCAGGAAUGCAGUUUUGACAUCCAUUUGCCAAAUUUCAUAAUCAUAAAAUGCGGCAAUUGCUAACAUGAUUCAGACAGACUUAAGCAUCGCUACGGGUGAGAAAGUCUCAUCGUAGUCAACCCCUUGAACUUGUCGAAAACCUUUCACAACAAGUCGAGCAUUGUAGACAGUUACAUUACCAUCAGCGUCAGUCUUCUUCUUGACGAUCCAUUUAUUCUCGAUGGCUUGCCGAUCAUCGGGCAAGUCAACCAAAGUCCAUACUUUGUUCUCAUACAUGGAUCCCAUCUCAGAUUUCAUGGCUUCAAGGCAUUUUGCGGAAUCUGGGAUCAUCAUCGCUUCCUCAUAGUUCGUAGGUUCGCCAUGGUCAAGUAACAUGACUUCCAGAAUAGGAUUACCGUACCACUCUGGUGCGGAUCUUACUCUGGUAGACCUACGAGGUUCAGUAGUAACUUGAUCUGAAAUUUCAUGAUCAAUAUCAUUAGCUUCCUCACUGAUUGGUGCAGUUGUCACAGGAACCGGUUCUUGUGAUGAACUACUUUCCAAGAAGGGAGCAGGUACAGUUACCUCAUCAAGUUCUACUUUCCUCCCACUCACUUCUUUCGAGAGAAACUCCUGCUCUAGAAAGGAUCCGAAUUUAGCAACGGAAAUCUUGCCUUCAGAUCUGUGAUAGAAGGUGUACCCAAUAGUCUCUUUUGGGUAUCCUAUGAAGACACAUUUCUCCGAUUUGGGUUCGAGCUUAUCUGGUUAAAGUUUCUUCACAUAAGCAUCGCAGCCCCAAACUUUAAGAAACGAAAACUUUGGUUUCUUGCCAAACCACAGUUUAUAAGGCGUCGUCUCAACGGAUUUGAUGGUGCCCUAUUUAACGUGAAUGCGGCCGUCUCUAAAGCAUAACCCCAAAACAAUAGCGGUAAAUCAGUAAGAGACAUCAUAGAUCGCACCAUAUCUAGUAAAGUACGAUUACGACGUUCGGACACACCAUUUCAUUGUGGUGUUCUGGGUGGCGUGAGUUGCGAAACUAUUCCGCAUUAUUUCAAAUGUAGACCAAACUCGUAACUCCAAUAUUCUCCUCUUCGAUCAGAUCAUAGAAAUUUUAUUUUCUUGUUACGAUGAUUUUCCUCUUCACUCUGAAAUUCUUUGAACUUUUCAAAUGUUUCAGACUUGUGUUUCAUCAAGUAGAUAUACCCAUAUCUGCUCAACUCAUCUGUGAUGGUGAGAAAAUAACGAUACCCGCCGCGAGCUUCAACAUUCAUUGGACCACAUACAUCAGUAUGUAUGAUUUCCAAUAAAUCAGUUGCUCGCUCCAUAGUUCCGGAGAACGGUGUUUUAGUCAUCUAGCCCAUGAGGCGCGGUUCGCAAGUACCAAGUGAUUAAUAAUCAAGUGAUUCCAGAAGUCCAUCAGUAUGGAGUUUCUUCAUGCGCUUUACACCGAUAUGACCUAAACGGUAGUGCCACAAAUAAGUUGCACUAUCAUUAUCAACUCUGCAUCUUUUGGUUUCAACAUUAUGAAUAUGUAUAUCACUACUAUCGAGAUUCAAUAAAAAUAGACCACUCUUCAAGGGUGCAUGACCAUAAAAGAUAUUACUCAUAUAAAUAGAACAACCAUUAUUCUCUGAUUUAAAUGAAUAACCGUCUCGCAUCAAACAAGAUCCAGAUAUAAUGUUCAUGCUCAACGCUGGCACCAAAUAACAAUUAAUUAGGUCUAAAACUAAUCCCGAUGGUAGAUGUAGAGGUAGCGUGCCGACCGCGAUCACAUCGACUUUGGAACCAUUUCCCACGCGCAUCGUCACCUCGUCCUUAGCCAAUAUUUGCUUAAUCCAUAGUCCCUGUUUCGAGUUGCAAAUAUUAGCAACAGAACCAGUAUCAAAUACCCAGGUACUACUGCGAGCAUUAGUAAGGUACACAUCAAUAACAUGUAUAUCACAUAUACCUUUGUUCACUUUGCCAUCCUUCUUAUCCGCCAAAUACUUGGGGCAGUUCCGCUUCCAGUGUCCAGGCUGCCUACGGUAGAAGCACUUAGUCUCAGUCUUAGGUCCAGACUUGGGUUUCUUCUCUUGAGCAGCAACUUGUUUGCUAUUCUUCUUGAAGUUCCCCUUCUUCUUCCCUUUGCCCUUUUUCUAGAAACUGGUGGUCUUAUUGACCAUCAACACUUGAUGCUCCUUCUUAAUUUCUAGCUCCGCAGCCUUUAGCAUUGCGAAGAGCUUGGGAAUAGUCUUGUCCAUCCCUUGCAUAUUAUAGUUCAUCACGAAGCUCUUGUAGCUUGGUGGCAGUGAUUGAAGAAUUCUGUCAAUGACACUAUCAUCAGGAAGAUUAACUCCCAGUUGAAUCAAGUGAUUAUUAUACCCAGACAUUUUGAGUAUGUGUUCACUGACAGAACUAUUCUCCUCCAUAUUACAGUUAUAGAACUUAUUGGAGACUUCAUAUCUCUCAAUCCGGGCAUUGCUUGAAAUAUUAACUUCAACUUGAGGAACAUCUCAUAUGCUCCAUGACGUUCAAAACAUCAUUGAAGACCCGGUUCCAAGCCGUAAAGCAUGGCACACUGAACUAUCGAGUAGUCAUCAGCUUUGCUCUGUCAGACGUUGUCAGUUGCAUCUGCAGCAGGCCUGGCACCCAACGGUGCUUCCAGGACGUAAUUCUUCUGUGCAGCAAUGAUGAUAAUCCCCAGGUUACGGGCCCAGUCCGUGUAAUUGCUACCAUCAUCUUUCAACUUAGCUUUCCCAAGGAACACAUUAAAAUUCAACGGAACAACAGCACGAGCCAUCUAUCUACAACAAACAUAGACAAGCAGAAUACUAUCAGGUACUAAUUUCAUGAUAAACUUAAGUUCAAUUAAUCAUAUUACUUAAGAAAUCCCACUUAGACAGACAUCUCUCUAGUCAUCUAAGUGAUCACGUGAUCCAAAUCAACUAAACCAUGUCCAAUCAUCACGUGAGAUGGAGUACUUUCAAUGGUGAACAUCACUAUGUUGAUCAUAUCUACUAUAUGAUUCACGUUCGACCUUUCGGUCUCCGUGUUUCGAGGCCAUAUCUGUAUAUGCUAGGCUCGUCAAGUUUAACCUGAGUAUUCCGUGUGUGCAACUAUUUUGCACCCGUUGUAUUUGAACGUAGAGCCUAUCACACCCGAUCAUCACGUGGUGUCUCAGCACGAAGAACUUUCGCAACGGUGCAUAGUCAGGGAGAACACUUCUUGAUAAUUUAGUUAGAGAUCAUCUUAAAAUUCUACCAUCAAUCAAAGCAAGAUAAGAUGCAUAAAGGAUAAACAUCACAUGCAAUCAAUAUAAGUGAUAUGAUAUGGCCAUCAUCAUCUUGUGCUUGUGAUCUCCAUCUCUGAAGCACCAUCGAAUUCACCAUCGUCACGGGCGCGACACCUUGAUCUCAAUCGUAGCAUCGUUAUCGUUUAUGCCAUCAAUUGCUUCUACGACUAUCGCUAUCGCUUAGUGUUAAAGUAAAGCAAUUACAUGGCGUUUGCAUUUCAUACAAUAAAGCGACAACCAUAUGGCUCCUGCCAGUUGCCGAUAACUUCGGUUACAAAACAUGAUCAUCUAAUACAAUAAAACAUAGCAUCACGUCUUGACCAUAUCACAUCACAAUAUGCCCUGCAAAAAGAAGUUAGACGUCCUCUACUUUGUUGUUGCAAAUUUUACGUGGCUGCUACGGGCUGAGCAAGAACCGUUCUUACCUACGCAUCAAAACCACAAUGAUAGUUCGUCAAGUUAGUGCUGAUUUAACCUUCGCAAGGACCGGGCGUAGCCACACUCGGUUCAACUAAAGUGAGAGAGACAGACACCCGCCAGUCACCUUUAAGCACGAGUGCUCGUAACGGUGAAACCAGUCUCGUGUAAGCGUACGCGUAAUGUCGGUCCCGGCCGCUUCAUCUCACAAUACCGCUGAACCAAAGUAUGACAUGCUAGUAAGCAGUAUGACUUGUAUCGCCCACAACUCACUUGUGUUCUACUCGUGCAUAUGACAUCUACGCAUAAAACCUGGCUCGGAUGCCACUGUUGGGGAAUGUAGUAAUUUCAAAAUUUUCCUACGCACACGCAAGGAUCAUGGUGAUGCAUAGCAAUGAGAGGGGAGAGUGUUGUCCACGUACCCUCGUAGACCGAAAGCGGAAGCGUUAGAACAAUGCGGUUGAUGUAGUCGUACGUCUUCACGAUCCGACCGAUCCAAGUAGCGAACGUACGACACCUCCGAGUACAGCACACGUUCAGCUCGAUGACGAUCCCCGGACUCCGAUCCAGCAAGGUGUCAGGGAUGAGUUCCAUCAGCACGACGGUGCGGUGAUGAUGAUGAUGUUCUACCUACGCAGGGCUUCGCCUAAGCACCACAACGAUAUGACCGAGGUGGAAUAUGGUGGAGGGGGGCACCGCACACGGCUAAGGAACGAUCACGAAGAUCAACUUGUGUGUCUAGAGGUGCCCCCUGGCCCCGUAUAUAAAGGAGCCAAGGGGGAGGGGGCGGCCGACCAAGGAGGGCGCGCCAAGGGGGGGAGGAGGAGGAAGAGGGGAAGGAAAGGGGGGGUGCCGCCCUCCUCUCCUUCUCCUAUUCGGACUAGGGAGGGGAGGGGGCACAACCCACCUCUUGCCUCCUCUCUUCCUCCCCAGUAGGGCCCAUGUAGGCCCAUUAAGCCCCCGGGGGUUCCGGUAACCUCCCGGUACUCCGGUAAAAUCCCGAUUUCACCCGGAACACUUCCGAUAUCCAAAUAUAGGCUUCCAGUAUAUCAAUCUUUAUGUCUCGACCAUUUUGAGACUCCUCGUCAUGUUCGUAAUAUCAUUCGGGACUCCGAACAAACUUCGGUACAUCAAAAUAUAUAAACUCAUAAUAUAACUGUCAUCGUAACGUUAAGUGUGCGGACCCUACGGGUUUGAGAACUAUGUAGACAUGACCUAGAACUGUUUCUGGUCAAUAACCAAUAGUGGAACCUGGAUGCUCAUAUUGGCUCCUACAUAUUCUACGAAGAGAUUUAUCGGUCAAACCGCAUAACAAAUACGUUGUUCCCUUUGUCAUCGGUAUGUUACUUGCCCGAGAUUCGAUCGUCGAUAUCUCAAUACCUAGUUCAAUCUCGUUACCGGCAAGUCUCUUUACUCGUUACGUAAUGCAUCAUUUCGUAACCAACUCAUUGGCCACAUUGCUUGCAAGGCUUAUAGUGAUGUGCAUUACCGAGAGGGCCCAGAGAUACCUCUCCGACAAUCGGAGUGACAAAACCUAAUCUCGAAAUACGCCAACUCAACAUGUACCUUUGGAGACACCUGUAGAGCUCCUUUAUAAUCAGCCAGUUAUGUUGUGACGUUUGGUAGCACACAAAGUGUUCCUCCGGUAAACGGGAGUUGCAUAAUCUCAUAGUUAUAGGAACUUUGUAUAAGUCAUGAGGAAAGCAAUAGCAACAUACUAAACGAUCAAGUGCUAAGCUAAUGGAAUGGGUCAAGUCAAUCACAUCAUUCUCCUAAUGAUGUGAUCCCGUUAAUCAAAUGACAACACAUGUCUAUGGCUAGGAAACAUAACCAUCUUUGAUUAAUGAGCUAGUCAAGUAGGGGCAUACUAGUGACAUUAAGUUUGUCUAUGUAUUCACACAUGUAUCAUGUUUAUGGUUAAUACAAUUCUAGCAUGAAUAAUAAACAUUUAUCAUGAUAUGAGGAAAUAAAUAAUAACUUUAUUAUUGCCUCUAGGGCAUAUUUCCUUCAGAUUUUACACGUGGAAAAUCCCCAUUAGUCUGGGCUGUUAACGGGUUAUCGGAUCCAAAACCGGACCCGGUAGCUUAACGACGUUCCGUUACGGUGGAUGCCACGUGUCGGUCACCCUUGACGAAAGCACUUAUGUGACGCGCGAUUUAUCGUCAUGGAAGUGGACACUUCCAUGAUGAUAAUUUUGGUUAUGUCAAGGAACACUUCUAUGACAGCACAGGCAUGACUAUCUUGAUUCUGUCAUAAAAUCGUCAUGGAUGUACAUGCAUGACAAAAAACGCGACCUACUGUGACAAAAACGUAUCAUCACGGAAGUGUAUCUUUUUUGUAGUGUCUUCAGUUGUCUUUCAUGUGGUCUCUGUCCUGCUGCUAUGAAUGCUCAAGUCCCUCCCUUGUUGGAUGUUGUGAUGAGGCGACCUUCGGGCUCUUGGUGUCGUCUCAGCUCAUCUUUGCUCAAUGAUGACACAAUGACGCCUCCCCAACUUGCUAAUCAUCUUGAACUUUCAUGGUGGAGCUCUCAGUCAAGGUUCGUGUUAACUUUCGGCACUCGUUGAUUGUGGAUGCCCCUCUGUUGUGCUGUGGAGUAUGAAACGCACGCUAGUGCGGUGCCUUAGGCUGCUUGUAGAGUCUCGGUAUUGUGAUACCUCGACGUACCCCUCAUCUACUUGGUCCUGUUAGUCUGCUAGUUAGGUCAUGACUUUUGUUCGGCAUCCCUGUUCUUCUCUUCUUCUUGCCACACUUGUUGCUUCUAUGGUUUUCGGCCCAGUUUUCCUUAUAAAUGGGGUCUAUUUGAUAAGGUUUUCGAUCCGGUUUUCCUUAUAAACUGGAUCAGACUCCUGGCAUUAUGGCCACUUUGAGUAAUAUAUUCAGGUGGAGGAACUCCUCCCCCGAUGAUUCUCAAAAAAAAAAUGUUCCUAACAGAAAUGCUAUUACAAAAAUUUAUGAACAGAAAAUGUGUGUAAAAUUUACAAAAAUGUUCACAAUUUUUUGAAACUUUAAAGCUGGCUUCUGAUUUAUUUUUUCAAAAUUUUGAGCUCCAUGGAGCUCGGUAUCCAAACAUCCACUCUCUACCAACUAUGUGCAUAUAUCUUGUAGCAAGCCAUAAGCUGAGGGUUGCUACAUGAUCAAUUGCUGAGUGGGCAGUGUGUUUUCUUCAUUUUGGGCAGAUCACAAGUGUUUGACAUCUCUCUCUACAUUGGGUAUCCUUUUCUACUUGAAUUUUAAGAUGCGUAGAAUGUGCUUUCCUUGUUGUUGCCUCGUCAUUCCAGCAUGGAAUCAAAGCCAAACUGAUAUUACUGCCCUUAAAAAUUGUCUCGCUAUCUAUGUCCAUAACAUGCCCAUUGGACUGCAUGGCGGAAAUGAAGGUGUUCGUCUAGCUGGCCGAGCAGACGCACUUGUCUGUGACCUCUGAUCUAAGAAUGACAUGUACUUUGUUGUGAGCCCAUGGUGCAUGUGGGUUGAAACGCUGCUUAGCAAAUCUAGACUUAUCUUGCAGGCAAGCCAAGAUGAGAUCUGUAGGCCCAUGUGAAUUCCAUCAAAAUCACGGUCAGUUCAACUCUGGUUCGAAUCCUAAUAAAAAAUAGAUCAGUGGUCCUGGAUGGAUAUGUCCAUCGCUAAAAAGUGCAGUUGUUGAAAGAGUCGAUAUGACUUGUAGCUAGAGGACGCCGACACCCCUCACUUCUUCUACACACACUAAACACACCCUAUCUUAUCCAACUCAAUUUGCUUUAAGGUUUGUGAGUGAAAGAAGUAGUGUUAAAACCAAACACCACACUCUUCAACCUAAGAAAUCAAUAGUAAAUUUACCUAUGGAUAUUAAAUCUAUAUACAUCAUACUUGAUUUAUCAAAUUGAUAAUACUUACUAUACAUAUUUUAAAUUACAAUAUUUGGUGCUUCACAGCCUGUUAUGAAAUUAUUGUUCACCCAUCCAAUGUAAUAAAAAGUAUGUGAAUGAUGUUAACGCACGCGUGUGAGAGAGAGAGAGAGAGAGUGGAGUACAUUUUGUCCUGAUGUCCAUCAUAGUUCCACGAUCAGUACACCUAGGAGGAGAUAAUCAAAAUAGGGACAGAAAAUAAAUAUUUAAUAUAUAAAUGGUUGGUAACAAAUCCAACCACAAAAUUGUGCAAGCAACCCACAAGCUAGUUUUAUUGAAUAUUAAAAUAACAUAGUUGAUUUCUAAAACAUACAAAAUUUAUUAUCUCAUCAACACAUAAUUAUUUUGAUAACCAUAAGGUUGAGAUUUAUCCACCCAAAAUAGGGGAGAUAACAAAACUAUUGUGUUGUUGUUGCUGGUGUGCAAUUAAUCUUGCAGGGACAGUUGAUGAAGCAUUCUCCAAGGUCUGGCCAGCACAA